Molecule: long non-coding RNA, 107733 nt
Filed under: Cucumis sativus (cucumber)
Lineage: Eukaryota; Viridiplantae; Streptophyta; Magnoliopsida; Cucurbitales; Cucurbitaceae
Description: long non-coding RNA (CSAT_LNC002731)
Source: RNAcentral
GAGAACUUCAGCCCCAUUUAACUCUUUCUGCUCUGCCUUCUCUUCUUCAACGAUUUCAUAUUCCUUAUUAUCCUGCAGCGAAAACAGAGUCCCCUCUCUUUUCGUGAUUGAAAUUCGGCAUCAGAUAGUCUCUUCGUUGGGCCUGUUCUCCGCACCUCGUCGCCAGCCGUUCCUCUCAACGUGACGGUUCUCAUCGGCCAGUUCCAAUUUCCAGAAUUCCCAACUGUGCUGGUUUUGCUCCCGCUUCCAGAAUUGCUCAGUUUUGUUCGUUCCCGAAUAACCAGGGAGGUUUGCUUCUCGUCUAAUAUCUUCUCUAUUUUCUACUUUCUGCGCGAUUCUCAUCAUUUGUGAUAAUCCUUGAGGCUCACAGAAAUCCAUCUCGGCUUGUAUCCAGGGCUUCAAUCCUGACAUGAACGUCUCUUCCACCACUUUAUCGGCCAGAUCCGACAGAGGUGCUACUAAUUUAUCAAACAAAUUGCGGUAUUCUUCCACUGUAGUCGUCUGUUGAAUGCGCAAGAACCGACCGUAUAAAGAUCCCUCCCUUGUUGAUCGAAAUCAGAUCAACACUCUUUCUUUUAAAUUUGCCCAAUCAGCGAACUUAUCCCACUCUUCUUGAGACCGAUACCAGUUCAGUGCGGGUCCUUCGAAGCUAAUCGUUGCCACGGUCAUCUUUCCGAAAUCAUUUAGAUUAUGAAUUUGAAAAUACCUUUCGGCGCGAAACAACCAUGAAUCCGGAUCAUCUCCAUUGAAGAUUGGCAUCUCCACUUUUUUGAAUUUGUUGCGGUCGUUGUUAGCGUCUUCACUCGUUUUCAUUUCUUCCUUCUUUGGUUCGUUUUCGCGAAUGGAAGUUCCUUCGCCGUCAUCGCUGUUCUUCAUCGGAGUACCCCGAAUUGAUAACUCGGUGAUCCUUUCGUUCAUCAUGGAUCUCUCUAGGGCGGCCGACUCCAUGAAUCGUAACAUCAUUUGGUUCUGUUUUUCCAUGUUUUUCGAUAUUUCGGUCAACGUUUUUUCGAUAAUUGGCAUUUUACUCAUCUCCUUCUUGAUGCUCUGAAUUUCCUGGUCAUACGACUCCAUCUUUUCUUCCAUCCGAGUCUGCACCAUCUUCGUUUACUUCUUCCAAGAUCACGCUCUGAUACCAAUUUGAUGGAACUCGUAGCCAAUCGACUGAGAAUUCAAUCUUAUUGUUUGCAUAAAACAGAAAAUAACACGUCUCUGUUUCCCUCUCUUCCAGGAGAUAACAGAAAGAUUCAAAUACUGCCAAAAAAAUCCAUAUCCCUCCCUCCCUUAACAAACUUAUUUAUAUGGCUAACUAACCUAUCCCUAACCAACUAAUUACUCACACGUGUCUCCCUCCCUUAACAACUUAUUUUACUUAUAUGGCUAACUAACCUAUCACUAACACGUGUCUCCCCCCUUAACAAACUUAUUCCCCUUCAAAGAUUCAAAUACUGCCAAAAAAAUCCAUAUCCCUCCCUCCCUUAACAAACUUAUUUAUAUGGCUAACUAACCUAUCCCUAACCAACUAAUUACUCACACGUGUCUCCCUCCCUUAACAACUUAUUUUAUUUAUAUGGCUAACUAACCUAUCACUAACACGUGUCUCCCCCCUUAACAAACUUAUUCCCCUUCCUCCUGUAGUGAUAUAAUAUUGGAGGUCUAACAGAUUGUUAUAUUAAAAUAAGUAUUCAUCUUGGCAACUUGAGUGUGGUUGUUAUAACAUAUAUGUGUGGGCGUGCUAGUCAUAGUUAUAUGUACGAUCCUUUAAGGUCAUUUUGAUCAUUGGACACAAAGCCAUAAGAUUGGCCAUACUUUUUUUUCAUCAUAAAAGGAUCUGUGCAAUCAAUCAAUCAAAUAAUUAAAUUCAUGUCUUCAAGAAAAUUUGUAAACAAAAAAGGAAGUAGACACAACCAUUUGAAAGAAUUAUGAAAUGCUCUAAACGUAGACGCUAGCUCGUAGAUACUCUAUGGUGUUGAUGUAAUUGUCUUUGAGAAGGAAGCAAUAAGUGUAAGUUCUGAAGUGUCAAAAGUUGUUAUUUCUUCUUGUUAACUCAUAAGUUAAGCCACUGUUCUCCUUUGAUGUAUUUCCUAUCUACAAAAGGUCUCACUUCCUCGUAGUUGAAGGUCUUUGCCCAUUUCACCCAAUCUUUAGUGCUAGCUCCACUGCCCCUGCAAUUAUAUUGCCCAAAAGCUACUGUCCUGUGUACAUAACAUUUGAAAAAAAUUGUAUUAGAUUAGGUUGAUUGUGUGCAUUUACGAAAUACCUUUAAUAUGUAAGGUUUUUUUUUUUUGAAGUACCAUCAAUUCCUGUUUUGAUGGUAUCCAAAAAGUCCAACAUAUCAAAGAUAUUUCGUAAAACACACCUGGUUUGUAUGAAAAUCGGAGUGGGCCACUGAAGAAAGUCUGCCAAAUUCGGGAGUGUACUUUUUGUCUUGGGGGUGGGGUGGGGUUGGCUUUUGAGUUUUACCUUUGUCUUGAUGGGUCAUUCCAGUCACUCCAUCCUAAUGGAUUGAUUACAUCUUCAAUGUAACAGUUAGAAUAUAUUGUUCUUGAGUAGUUCCCCCACGCUCUUCCCAGGUAUACUUUCCCACUUCCAUUAAUCACACAGCGUACGAAGGAGAAACCGGUGUCAUCGUCUGGUGAGGCUCGAUGAUGUGCUGCUAUUGCUCCAUAGCUCUCUGCUGUAGAAGUUAUCACACAUUGCUGAGUUUUGAAGAGAGAAGAUCAAUAUCAGAUGGAGAGGUUGCAAAGAUUGAAAGAUCAAAAGGUUACAUUUGUCAAUUUGACCUUCUUAGAACUUAGAUUCAAUUCGAUCAGUAUAAUUUUAGGAGUCUUAAUUUAGUUCCUUUGAUAUAUUUAAGUUUCACAGAUCGUCUUGGGUACUUCGAACCAUUGUCAUAUCAGCUCUCUGCUAUGAUAUAUUUUAGGAGUUUUGAUUUAGGAUAUAUUAAAAUACAAGAAAUUUUGUCGAUCUUUGGUUGGUUAACGACAAGAAAUCAAUGUCAAUUUAUAACCCUAUUAUAAUUAGGAAAAUUAUUUGUAAAAUAAUAUUAACAAAAUAGUAAAAUUUUACUUUCUAUUAUAAAUAAACCUGUAUUUAAAGUAAAAAUAUCUAAGUCUAUCGCAUCAAAUAAAUUUUACUUUCUAUUAUAAAUAAACUUUUCUUCUAUUUGUAAAUAUUAUAAAUAUUUUCAAUAGUUGAAAAAGUUGUAGUUUUGGUGUAUUAUUUUAAUUUAAAUCUUGAAUGUUCAUAUCAAUUUAGACUCUCAAUUUAAUUUAAAUCUUGAAUGUUCAUCUCAAUUUAGACUCUCAAUUAAGAUUUCAUUUGAAAAGUAUUCAUACAUCAAAUAAAAAAGUCUACACUUUAAGUAUUAAAUACCUGGACAAUUUUAAAGCGUAAUUUAGUAAAGGAUUUAAAUUGAUUGAUUUACAAAAAUUUAAAAGUUUAAAGGAAACAAUUAAGAUGAGUAACAGAAUAGUAAAAGGAGAGUACCUCAUAGAGUGAUCUAGCAGUACCAAAAAUGAAAUCAACACUUCCUUGAAUGUGACAUUGAUAGUAAUAAUGUGUGCCCAAAUCAUCUAGAAGUGUAUCUUGUCCUCCCAAGAAUUUCACUCUAUAGAACAUUGCUUUAUCUCCUGUUAUUCUUAAUGCUACGCCUUGUCUUCCCUUAUCUCCUGGCUUUGCCACAACUGUAUUCUACAAAUAUCAACAUUAUUCUUAUUAUUAAGACUUAUUCUAAAUAAACUAUUCUCUCCCUAUAGUUAUAUAGUUUCUUUUUGGUUCUAACCUCAAAUGUGAUUCCUGUGGCACAAAAGUAGUCUGAGUCUAUUGCAACUGUUGCUGUUCUAUACGUCCCGAGCUCGACUCCGUCGAUACUUUUGUCUGAUGCUUUGUCAUUCCAUGUAAUAACAGUAUCUGUAACUCUAUUCUUGUUUCCAAUCAAGGAAAUAUAUGGCUUGGUGAUGGGUAUGUAUACCUUCUCUCUGCACAAAAUUUUGUUAAUUCUCUAACAAAAUAAAAACAGCUCAAAAUGUCUUAUGGUCAAGAGAAAGUUGGUCUAAUAAUAGUUAAUUCCUACAAUAUGAGUUAAAUUCUAAUUCUAAACCAUGAACCUACUCUACCAUUUAACCUUCCCAACAUUAUUCACACAAAUCUCCCUGCUUACACACACUUUUGUUUGAAUUAUUUUUAUAUUUUGGAAUAGUUAUUCAAAACAUCAUAAUCUCAUACAUUUUGAUACAAUCUACCUACAAAGAUUAGCAUUUUAAAGGUGACAUUUUUAUUUUAUUUUUAUUAAACUUAAUAUAAAUGAUUAUCCCGAAUCCAAAACAUCAAAUUCAAAGUGUGUUCUAAAUUUGAUCCAAAAUUUAGGUUGAUUUAUUUAGAAUUUAUAACUUAUCAACUUAUCAAAAUUAAAAGAUUUUUUUGUUACUAUCACACCUUAGAUAUAACCUGAAUUAAUCUUUCCAAAAAGAAACCUAAUUAACCUCACCUCUUUUCAAAUGACAACAAACAAACAAACAAUAUUUACAAAUAAUUGUUUCAUUUCUGUUUAUUGUUUAUCUAAAAAAAAAUAAAAUAAAAAUGAACCGUUAAAUUUUAGCAAAUAUAAGUCUUUCGACGAUUUCUAUUUUCUAGGAUGAACCAAUUUAUUUAUUUAUCUGAAAUAACAAAGCAUUUUACAAGUGAUUUCUAACGUAUUCAAUUACUUUAAUAUUAUGUGUUUGUUUCUCAUUUAACUUUUAUCAAUGUCUAAAGUAUACCAUAACUAAUGUCUAUAUAAUAUACUUCAAUCUUUAAAGGUCACCUACAAUGCUGUUAUUAAAAGAAAACCACCUAUAAUCAUCAUAUAUAUAUAUAUAUAAUCCUUAAUAAUUUAAAACUGUUAGGGUUAUUUAUUUAUUUAUUAACUUUUAUUGUAAAUAUUUCCAAAAGAUUUUUGGACGAAAAUUGAGACUUGUAACGUUGAGAUAACAACCCUAAAAUAAUGCUAAAAUCUAAAUUCUCGUUUUAGAUAUCACUGCACUAAAUAUUUUUCAAUUUUUCACUUUUGUUAAAAAAAGUUUAAAAGAUUUUUACUCAAAAGAUAACUUAAAAAUAUCUAUAGAAAGUUAAGUAUAAUAAUCUAACUUUAUGUCGUAUUUUCCAAACAAAACAAAAAAUUCAUCAUGGGUAGUUCUUUCUUUCUUUCUUUUUUAAUAGAAAAACAACAAAUUAAUAUCUAAUAUCUAAAGAUGAUAUCUGAUAAUGUACACAAUAAUUUUAAUUUUGAUGUUUGCAUAUGUGAUUUGUAAUAUGCACUGUAAAAGAAAUUAAAAAAGAGAAAGAAAAAAAAAAGGCAAAAUAUAAUUGAUGAUAUGUAUAAUUAUAUACAACACGAACCUGUAAAUGCCAGGAAGAAUAUAAAUCUUAACUCUCUGUUUGUUAUUAUGAGGAACCAUAUCCACCGCCCCUUGCACCGUGGUGGAGUCGCCGGAGCAAUUUUUAUCGACCACAAUGAUUCUGGUCCCAUUCCCCAACCCCUCGCUGGAGCUCAUCCUCUGCCGCCGCCAAACAUCCACACGCAGAUCAUCCCAACUGAUCACACCACCACGACCCCUACCGCUGCUCCCUCCAGCGACACACAGCAGAAGAAAACCAAGAACGAUGAUGCAAGGGAAAAACCCUCCAUUAUUCAUGUUAUUACAUAGGAAACACAAGAAGUUCCUCAUCAUGAAAACAAUUCGAUCAGUGCUCAAAUUAAAAGGUUGGAUUGUUAAUAGUGAUUUUAAAGUGAAAGUGGAAGGAGUUAAAAGGGUGUGGAAGAGAGGAGUUUAUCUAUGAGUGAGAGUUAAAUGUUCAUGAAUUUUAAAGGGUUUUUUUUUUGUUUUUGUUUUGGGAAAUAGAGGAAGGAAAAAUAUGAAAGGAUCUUUGAAUGGGAAUGUAAUCUAUGAGAAAAGGGGGAGUGUUACGUUUAAAUAAAGAAUGAAGAGAAGGGUUUAGAGAGUAAAAAUUGUUUUGAUGAAAAUUGUCUUUGCAUGGGAAAGAAAAAGAAAUAAAAGGGCUUGGAAGGGUUUGAAUUUGAAUAAUGAAUGAAUUUGGGAGUUUUAAAUAAACUUCCCCACGAACCCACUACUUUGUGUGUGUGAAUCCUACUUAAUUAUCAGAAACAACGUAACUGAUCUCUUUUUCAUAUAUGUGUGUAUAUUCAUAAGAAAUAUUUAAACAGCAGGAUCUUAACUUAACAAAUUAAAAGGAAAAGAUACUCAACCAUUAUAUAAUUAUUUUUAUUAUUCUCAUUUUGAGUUUUUAUCCAACCAUUUCCAUUUUAAAUAAUGGGAAGAGAUACAAGAAAUAGAGAGAUUAUCGGGAGAGAUUAAAGAAAAGUAUAUACAUAUGUUUUCAUUUAAGAUUUUGAGUUCGUCUAUCCAUAAUAAUAAUUAUGAAAAUAGACUGUUUAUUUUUAUUCAAGGAUCUUUGAGUUUUGUGUUCUAGUUAGUGUUAAGUUCAAUAAUGAUGGAACUAAUUUCUUUAAUGCAUUUGAACAAUAAUUCUUUUACGUUAGACAGAGAGAUCAAAGAGACAGGUUUUUUUUUCUCUUUAAAAUUAAUUAAGAUUAUUUUGAGUUUUGAGUGAGUUUUCGGAGUGAAGGGUUUUUUUCUUCUUCGUCUCUUUAAUUAAUAUAUAUAUAUAUAUAUAUAUUUCUGUAGUACACAGCUAUUAACAUUCAAAUUCUUUUACGUUUGGGGUUGAUGAUUAUGUGUAUAUGAAGAGAAAAAUUGCGAAAAUUUGAGAAAAUUUCUGCUUAGAAACACAUUGUAUUGUUCUUUCUUUUUUCAAAUUGUGUACAAACCAAAGUAUAUAGUUGUUGAAAUAAUUAUCACUUAAAAGUUGUAUUUGCAAGAUUCAAAUACUUGAACGCUUCAUUAAAUAACUAUUUAUUGUAAAUAUUAUUAAAUAGACGUUGAUGCUUGAUUAGUAUCAAAAUGUGAUGUGUCACUAAUUCCUUAAUUCAUAUUCCACCUACCUCUAGUGUUCUUAAUCCACUCUAUAUGCUUAAGCAAUUACUUAUUUCUUGUGCUGACAUGUAUCACACUCUGAAACUACGGGGACAAGCUAGCCCUUAAUGUUGGGAGAAAGAUUCCUGCCCUGGCUCCUUUCCCGUGCUUACUUCUCUAAUUAUAUAUACUGAAGCCCAAAUUUGGUUGAAGAUCACAAGAUGUUUUAAAUAAGAAAACUCUAUUUAUUUUAUUUUCUUUAUUUUAAUUAUUAACUGCCAUGCUAUUAUUAAACUUUUCUUUUGAUAAAUAUUUUCAAAUAUGAAUGAAUUAUUUUUAUUUGUAUAAAUAUAUAACUUGGGAUCAUAAUUCCUCUAGUGAAUAACUAAAUAAAAAUAAAAUAAACAGAUGGGAGAUAGCAAGAAAGAAACUAAGUAGAACCUCACGACUAUCAACCUAUUAUUUUGACACUUGUUUAUCCAUUGAAUUUGAGCUUCAACGGCUACUUCAAACACUUCCCCGACGGCUUUCCUUUCCUUGACUCUUCCUUUAUCCCUUGUUGGCAUCAAAAUAGAUCAAUGAAUGAGUCCACUAAAUCUUAUGCCAUUUUUCACAUAAGUUACUGAAACUACCACUGAAUCAAGAGCAAGGGAUGCAAACAUUUGGUGGGUUUUGUAAAACACAUAAAUUGGUUGAAAUUUCAAAGAAAUUGGACAUAACGGAUAAGUUUUGAAGAAUUUCUUAUUUUCUUAGUUUUUUUAUUUAAUUUAUUUAUAUAUUAUAUUUUCUCUACAUCUGUGUUUUCGUUGUGCAUCAUGAUGAUCAAUAAUAUCAUCUAGCUAUACGCGAAGUUAUUAACUAUAGUAAUAGCUAUUAAGACAUACAUAUAUAACAAAUAACACAAAAGAAUUUGUUAACCCAUUUCGGUAAUAUACCACCUACGUAUAAGAAAUAUUAUUAAUAUUCCAUAAAGAAACCAACUUGUUUAUACUUAGAAGAAAACCCUUCUAAACAUAAAGCUAGUGAAUUAAGUUGUAACUGAAACUUAAUUAAAUCAGGCUCCCCUACAUAUAUGAUCAAACACUUUAUUGAAGAUAAGUUUGACUCCCCCUGAGUUGACAGUGUACAGAUUCUCAAUACCUAUUCUUCAUUCUACUUCUUAUCACAUGUGACUUGCAUAAUCUUCGGCAAUUCACAGUAUAAAGGUAAAGUGACUACCUUUGCAGAAUAAUAAGUCUUCGAGAAAGAAUCCUUCGAGUUGAUUUUUCUUAACAAAAUGUACAUCAAUAAAGUGACUACCUUUUCAGAAUAAUAAGUCUACAAGAGAGAAUCCUCCGAGUUGAUUUUUCUUAACUAAAAUGCACGAUAAAGUCCAAGACAUGACUAUUUAAGGAUCUCCAAAUAAAGUAUUGAUCACAAAUAUAUUAAUAAUAUUGAUAAAAGAUUCCUAUUUAUUAGGAAGAUCUUUUACCUUUAUCAAUAAUAAUAAUCUUUUUAGUGAUUCUGUAAAUAUCAGAAGAGAACAACUAUUUUUGACUUAUUUCUUUUGGCAAAAAUACCUAACACCUCAUUUUUACACCACAUUAUAAACACAAACUCUUAUCAUUUUCUUUGCUAAAGGGUAGAUCUUAAAGGUAUGUCAAUUUUUAAUUUCCAUACUUGUCAUAGUUAAGAAAUUUUAUUUUGGAUGUUUAGUAUAUAUUAAGUUUCUAAUAUAAUUAUAAUAUUUUAUAAUAGUGUUAUCUUGAAAAAUAUUGCAAAAUUAUAAUUUAGGAUAAUAAUUUUAUAAAAAAAAGCAAAAUAUUGAAAAUAUUUACAAAAUAUAGCAAAAUUAAUCAAACUCUUAUGUAGCAAAUUAAACACUUUGUUAGAUUUUGUAAAUAAUUUUAUUUUUUUGUACUAUCCAUAACAAAUUUUCUUAUAGUUUCUAGAAUUUGAUACUAAUGGUAAUAAUUAUUUGUAAUGAAUACUUGAAGUCGAAAUACACCCAAGAUGCCAUAAAAAUAUGAUCAUAAAAAAACAAUUAUUCUUCUUAAAGCUCUAUAUAAGUCGAUGCACUUAAGGUUUCAAAAUUUUAAAUCAAUAUGUUAAAAGAUGAAUUUUUCUACGUUUCGGAUAUGCUUCUUGCAAUAACAAUAUCCAGAGAAAUAUUUUGAAAAAUAUAAUGCAUUUGUCUAAUAUCUUCUUACUACUACAUGAUAUAAUGAGUAAUAAUUGAUUGAAAAAUCAUGAAUGCUAAUCAAUUAAAUUAAAACUAACAUUUUGUGAAGUGAACAUUGUAAAUUUUAAUAAUGGGGAAUGAAAAAUCAUGAAUCUUAACAAACUAGAACAAUCUCAUGCUGCGAAGUGAAUAUUGCAGAUUUGACAAUUGUAAUUGAGGUUGUGAUUGAGUAGAGAAAAAAAUAAUUAUUUUUGUAGGUUGUUAUAAUCAUCCAAAUUUAAAAAAACCACGAAAUAAUGAUCAUAAAAUAUCAAAAGCUCCACAAGAAAAAGAGAAAAAUGUGGAAACAAAUUUUGCAUAUCAUAUUAAUAAUAUAUUUGACCCAUCAAAUAUGACAAAUUUGAAUGUGGUAGAAUUUUGAAUCUCCCGAAGAAAAACUGAAAUAUUAAAUGAUAAAAUAGCAAGUGUUUUCUUUGUGAUUAUAUCCUAAUUAAUGUUUUUGUAUCUCUCAAUUUUAUUUUUAUAUUCUAAGUUUUGUUUAAGGAAGAAGCAAGUAUAGUUGUCUUAUGCAGCAUAACUCAUGAACAAGCAUUUGAAGAUAUAUGUUUGGCAAACAGUGUAACUACGCACACAAUGCUAACAAGUAAAAGAUAUUUUUCCAAAUUAAUAAUGUUGAAAGCGAAAGUCAAUAGAAUAUUGUCAACGCCCUGCUACAAAAGUCAUUUUAUGUGAUCCAGUAGAGACGUGUCACCUAGAUACUCAACGCCUAGUAAGCAAAGAUACUUCAACUAUCAAUAUCAACUCAGCUUUAACACUUAGCUCGAUUUAACUUUGAUAAACACAACACACCACGAAAUAACAAUCAACUUCUCUUUAUUUAUAUUUUUGACAAUUUCACUUUUUACAUUCAUUAUUAUUUUAAAUAUACCUAAUAUUGUAGGCCAUAUAUGAAAUAUACCACUUAUAAUUUAAUAUACAAGAGAUAUUAGAUGUAUAUAAUGUUAAUCAUAUAUUCCCUUUUAGAUUCACUUGAUUUCGUAUGACAUAUAUCAAAAUAGAUUAGAAAAUAAUCAAAAUUUGUAUAUAUCACAUAAAAAAUACUCUAAAUUAUAUAAAAUAAAUGAAUACAUAUACCAUCGUAUAUCUCAAAUUUACAUAAACAAACAUACAUGAGAGUAAAAAAGAGAGUUAUAGGUUUGCGUGAACCCUCUCCUCUUCGUCUCCUUUUCUUUUUCGUGAAACCUACCACCGUUGCCUUCACAAUCUUUCAUCGUUUAAUUGGUCGUCUGUUGCUCUAGCCGCUGUCGUUAAGCUUUCGUUCCUCAUCAUCUAUCAUCCAGCCGACUCGCGUAUUGCCAAGUCACUCAUCCAUCCAGUCAAACUCUAGUGUAAAUCAGAUAAGUCUACUGCUUUCUAGUUUUAUGUUAUAUUUAAAUCUACUGCUUUCUAAUUUUUAUGUUAUAUUUAAAUUCUUUUGUUAGUUAAGAUUUAUUUUAAAAUUUAUUAUUAGCUGUUAGUUUACUAUCUAUUUUCCCUCAUCCUCUCUCAACAUUGAGAGCACAAUAUUGAUACAAAAUAAAAAGACUCUUUGGUUUCACACCAAUUGGUAUCGGAGCGCCAAAAGUUUCUGGGUCAAAUGGUUGUUUGACGUGCUAAUCCGGCGGCAGCAGAGCAACUUGCUCAAAAUCAAGAGGCGGGGGAAAACCUCGUCCUCUCUCCAAGAACUACCUCAUGACGCUGUCCUCUCUCCAAGAACUACCUCAUGACGCUUGCUGUCCGUGGAAGCUUUUGUGGACAGAAUCUAAAAUACACUUCAAGAAGUCUUGCAAAGACUAGAGGCAUUUACACCUCCUCGAGAUGUUCAUCAAGAAGAUCAAGAACUUGUUCGUGACUGGGGGCAGCGUGGCAUCCGUGGUGCUUAAAUUCAUAAGGCUGAAAGAAAUCGUCAAGAAAGGAGAUAAUGAUGCCCAAGAACGAAGAAGACCAUUUCAAGACUAUCAAAAUCAUUUUCCAAGAAACCAAGAAAUGUAUCAAGAACCUCAAGAUUGGAGUUCCUCUGAUAAAGGCCUAUUUUUAAUCAAAAUAGAAGAUUUCGACCUUAGUUUGAUGAAAGAAGGAGAGAACCAACAUAAUACAAGAUGAAAAUUGAUCUUCCAAGCUACGAUGGUAAACCUAAUAUUGAGAUUUUUCUUGAUUGGUUGAAGAAUACUGAAAUUUUUUUCAAUUAUAUGAAUACUCAAAACUGAAGGCUAGAGCAUCGGCUUGGUGGGAACAACUUGAGAUUAAUAGGUGAAAAAAUAGAAAGAGACCUAUUGACUCAUGGGAGAAAAUGAAAAAAUUAAUGAAGUCGCGUUUCCUUCCUCCCAAUUAUAAGCAAACUCUUUAUAAUCAGUACCAUAAUUGUCGGCAAGGAGCAAGAACAUUUGCUGAUUAUAUAGAGAAAUUUCACCGGUUGGGCGCAAGAACCAAUCUAAUGGAGAAUGAGCAGCACCUUAUUGUAUGGUUUGUAGGAGGAUUAAGGUUUGACAUCAAAGAAAAGGUAAAAUUACAACCUUUCUUAAAUGCUUACCCAAAAAAAAACGACGGUGGCUAUUCUUGAAGAAGAUGGAGAUUAUGUUGAAGAACAAGAAGAGGAUCACUCUCAAGAAGAAGAAGUAUUAGAACCCGACGAUGGAGAGAGGCUAUCGUGUGUGCUGCAAAGAGUCUUAAUUACUCCAAAAAGUGACACCUCUCACCAACAAAGGCAUAGUCUUUUUAAGAUCCGAUGUACCAUCAAAGGCAAAGUGUGCAAUGUGAUCAUUGGCAGCGGCAAUAGUGAAAAUUUUGUCUCCAAGAAGCUUGUGGCUGCACUUAAGAUGAAAACGGAGCCUCAUUCAAAUCCUUACAAGAUUGGGUGAAUCAAGAAAGACGGUGAUGCCCAAAUAAAUGAGGUUUGUUCAAUCCGAUUAUCAAUUGGAGGGACCUAUAGGGAUCAGAUUGUGUGUGAUGUCUUGGAUAUAGAUGUUUGCCAUAUUUUACUUGGAAGACCAUGGCAAUACGAUAUUCAAGCUGUUCAUAAGGGGAGAGAGAACACCUAUGAGUUCCAAUGGAUGAACAAGAAGAUUGUGUUGUUGCUCCUAAGCAAAAAGAAUGAGGAAGGAGUCAAUCAAAAGAAGGCUGAAAAGAAAUUUCUAGAAACCAGAGAAGCUGAUAUUUUGGGACUUGUUAUUUCUGGCCCUCAUACUACAAAAAUUUCCAGCUUGGUUCCACCAAAAGUGCAAGACCUAUUGAGCCAAUUUCAUCCUAUAAUGGAGGAGCCCUCUGAAUUGCCUCCUCUUCGAGACAUCUAGCACAUUAUAGAUUUGAUACCCAACUCAUCUCUUCCCAACCUUCCUCAUUACAGAAUGAGUCCUAAGGAGUAUGAGUUCUUACACCAACACAUUGAAGAUUUUUUGACAAAAGGGCAUAUUCAGCCGAACAUCAGUCCUUGUGAACAUCGGUCCUUGUGCCGUACCAGCUCUAUUAACUCCAAAGAAGGAUGGCAGAGAAUGUGUGUAGACAGUCGAGCAAUCAACAAAAUCACGGUCAAGUAUCGUUUCCCUAUUCCAAGAAUUAAUGAUUUCCUUGAUCAACUUGGAUGAGCUCUUGUUUUUUCAAAGGUAGACCUAAGAAGCGGGUAUCACAAAAUUCGAAUAAGGCCGUGAGAUGAGUGGAAGACGGCCUUCAAGACUAAUAAGGGGUUAUUUGAAUGGCUAGUGAUGCCUUUUGGGCUUAUCAAAUGCCCCAAGUACCUUUAUGCAAUUUAUGCACCAAGUGCUACAUUUAUUCUUAAACAAAUUUGUAGUAGUCUACUUUGACAAUCUUAAUCUAUAGCAAGAAUGAAACAAGAUCAUAUGCAGCACCUAAAGCUAGUUUUUGAAGCCCUUCAAAAAAGUAAGUUUUUCAUUCAUUUGAAGAAAUGUAUUUUCUGCACGGAAGAAAUAUCUUUCCUAGGCUUUAUUAUAUCUGAAAAUCAAGUGAAGAUGGAUGAAAGCAAGGUGGAAGCUGUAACUAAAUGGUCAUGGAUGAAAGCAAGGUGGAAGCUGUAACUAAAUGGUCGAUUCCUAAAUCAAUAAAGGAGAUUCAAGCUUUUAUGGGGUUAGCAUCUUUUUACAGAAAGUUUAUUAAGAACUUUAGUUUUAUAACAGCUCCUAUGACUGAUUGUUUGAAGAAGGGAGCCUUUUAUUGGGGAGAAAAACAGCAGCACAAUUUUGAUUCCCUCAAAAGAAAGCUUGUCAGCCAACCAGUCCUCAAAUUACCAAAGUUUGACAGCCCUUUUGAAGUAGCAGUAGACGCCAGUGGAGUUGGAAUUGGUGCCGUCCUUUCCCAAGGAGGUCAUCCGGUCGAAUUCUUUAGUGAAAAGUUGAGUCAUUCUCGACAAAACUAGAGCACAUAAGAGCAGGAACUUUAUGCACUUGUUAGGGCCUUAAAACAGUGGGAGCACUACUUAUUAUCUAAGGAGUUUGUGUUGCUCACUGAUCAUUUCUCCUUGAAGUAUCUCCAAGCACAAAAAAAUAUUAACAAGAUGCAUGCUAGAUGGGUAUCUUAUAUCCAAAAAUUUGAUUUCUUAAUCAAGCAUCAAGCGUGCAAAUAAAACAGAGUUGCAGAUGCCUUAAGUAGAAAAAGUGACUCUCCUCAUUGUGCUCUCAGUUGAAAUUACAGUCUUUAACCAUCUUCCACGCUAUAUGGGAUUGAUGAAGACUUCAGUGAGAUUUGGAGUCAUUGUACUGUUCAUAUCCAUGAUCAAGAUUAUCAUUUGGUGGAAGGUUUUCUCGUUAAAGGAGACCAACUAUGCAUUCCACAUACUUCCUUAAGGGAAGCACUAAUAAAAGAAGCUCAUUCGAGAGGCCUAGCUAGACACUUUGGCCAAGAAAAGACUUUUCAAAUUAUCAUGAAGAAGUUUUAUUGGUCUCAAGCUAGAAGAGACAUUAAUAACUUUGUGAAAAGAUGUCAUAUUUGCCAAAGAGCAAAAGGAUCUUCAUCUAAUGUCGGCCUCUACACUCCUCUACCGAUUCCUAAGAACAUGUGGGAGGAUUUGUCAAUUGAUUUCGUAGUGGGUCUACCUAAGACUCAAAUGAGAGUUGACUUGGUUAUGGUUGUGGUGGACAGAUUUAGCAAGAUGUCUCACUUCUUGCCUUAUAAAAAAACUAUAGACGCAGUGCACAUUGCCACUCUCUUCUUUAGAGAGAUUGUUAGACUACAUGGCAUCCCAAAAACAAUAGUUUCGGACCGAGAUACUAAAUUUCUUAGCCAUGUUUGGAAGACAUUGUGGAGAAGUUUGACACCACCUUGAAGUUUAGUACCACUGCUCACCCACAAACGGAUAGACAAACUGAGGUAACUAAUCGGUCCUUGGGAAAUCUAAUUCGCUGCCUUAGUGGAAACCACCCUAGACAAUGGGACAUGGUUCUCCCACAGACAUAAUUUGCUUUUAACAAUAAGAUGAAUAGAACCACGGGCAAAUGCCCUCUUGAGAUCGUGUACACCAAGGCACCAAGGUUGACAUUCGACCUAACUAGCCUUCCUAAAGAAGUGAAAAUCCAAGAGGAAGCUGAACAGUUAGCUGAAAGGAUACAAAAGCUUCACACAGAAGUCAUUGACUAUAUCACUAAAACUACUUAGUCUUACAAAGAAGAGAAGAAUAAGAAGCGAAGGGAUGUACAUUUCCAAGUUGGAGAUCUUGUAAUGGCACAUUUGAAGAAGAAGAGGUUCCCCUUUGGAACCUAUGGCAAGAUGAAGGACAAGCAGAUUGGCCCAUGUAGAAUACUUGCUAAAUAUGAGCCUAAUGCUUACAAAAUUGAACUACCACGCGGAUUUAACAUUAGCCCAAUCUUCAAUGUAGCAGACCUUAGAAGCUACAAGGCACCGAAUGAAUUUCAACUUCCAUAGCAAACUCGGGGCAAGUUUGAUGUUCGGGGAGUGGAAUGGUGUAAAUCAAAUAAGCCUAAAUCUACUUAAUCUAGUGCUUUCUAGUUUUGUGUUAUAUUUAAAUCUACUGCUUUCUAAUUUUUCUGUUAUAUUUAAAUUCUUUUGUUAGUUAAGAUUUAUUAUUAAUAGGCGGUUAGUUACUAUCUAUUUUUCCUAUAAAUAAAGUAUAUCCUCUCAUUGAGAGCAGAAUAUUGAUACAAAAUAAUAAGACUCUUUGGUUUCACACAAAACUUCGUUCCUAACCUGUAUUUCGAUCAUCCAUCUGUCGUUCAAAGUCCAGUGUGGUCGACGAUUUGGUUGUGCCGUGAAGGUGGAAAGAAGAGGGUUAGAGAGAGAAUAUUACGUGGGAUUGCAAAGGACACGGAAAGAAGAGGGUUAAAGAGAGAAUAUUACGUGGGAUUGCAAAGGAUUGGAAUAAUGGGUGAAUUAAUUGGGGUAAAACAAAAAUGACAGAUAAAUUAAGAAAAGAAGAUAGUCAAAAAUAGCAAAUUUGACAAAAUAUUUACGAUAUAUAACAAAUUUUUCAGAUUAGUCGAUGAUACGCCCCUAUUAUUGACCAUGGAUAGAUACCGAAGUCUAUCGGUUACUAUUAAAUUUAUAAAAUAGGGUAAUAAUUAAGGUUGGGGACAAAAAGGUAAUUUACCUAUAAUAUUUGUAUAAUUAAGAAGUAAACUUAGACUAUUUUUGUAAAUAAUAGAAAAAAUUGAAUAUAAAAUAUAUAUCAAGCCUAUAUGUGUUUUCCCUUUUCGUUUUUUUUUUUUUUUUUCUAGUAUUUUAGGGCCUACAGGUAUUUUAGUUUUUCUUGCUAAUUAGCAUUUUCUAUUUAUAAAACUUGGUUUGUUAUAUUUACUAUUUUGAAACUUCUUCAAAUGAAACUUUAAAAUUUGCAGGGCCCUAACUUUCAUGUUUUUUUUUUAAUCUAUAACAUGAUCUUUUGAUUAGACAUUUCAAAAGCUCAUGAGAUUAUAAACAGGAACCAAAAACUUUCAAGAUUGAACUUUUAAUUUAACUAAGACAAACAUACAUAGUAUCAUUUGAUUUAAUUUACAUUAAAUGUCCUUGAAAUCCUAGACAAAGUAGUCCAUGAAGAAUAGUUUUGCUACAUCGCUAAGAGUAAGGUUGAGGAAGAUCUUACUUACUCUCAACUUAACACAGCCGACUGAUAUGGUACCUGACCUCAAUUCUGUACAUACUAAGGAAUAGCACCAACAUCAAGUGAAAUUGUUCUAAGAAGUUAGCUUUAUCCACCAUCACCACCACCCCCACUAACCAUCAAACACCAACCAAACUAUUUACAACAACCUAGAAUAAACACAGCAGUUGCAAAUGCUCGAUAGAAAAACCAACACACUGCAACUAUUCAUACUAUAUAAACUCAACUGUACUAUUCAUCUACACCUUCCAUAUCCAUAUCCAUAUCCUCUGCUUCUUCCUCUCUACAGUUCUGUUCAGAAGCCUCCAUGGAAUCCAUUUCUGAUUUCACACCAUUGCUAUUAUCACCAUUAUCAUCCUCACUACCACUACUAGUAUUAUCAUCACUUUCUCCAUUAUUGUUCUUCAUAUUAUGAGUCGUGUUUUUGGUGUCAGCCAUAUCAUCCUCACUCUGCUCAUCUUCUUCUGAUGAUACUUGUUUCUGCUGCUCGUCGUUUGCUUCACGGAGCUUUUCAAGACUAGCUAUUGCUGUUUCCUCGAGUGUCUCCUCCUUUAUCUGACUAAAAUCAGUCCCAGCAUUAGCGUCGAUGCAUGGCAUGGCUAAACUGUUGGAUUUGACAUGAGCAACAGACUUGGACUGUUUAUCGUCUGUUCUGUUAGUGUCAGGUAUUGUUGAAAGUAUAGAUGGUUUGGCCUCGACAUUAAUCCAGCGGCCCUCAAACCAAUCUCUCGAUAUUCGAAGAUUGGUCCUGUGUAUGUUCAAGAAUAAGCUUUCACCUAUUAACAGCAAAGGCAUUCCAUCGUGAAGAAACAUGACAAAAUAAAUGUAGAUUUAGUGUAAAAUUGAUAAAGCGUUGGAACCACUUAAGUGUUUUUCUAAUCAGAAUACCUGGAAAGUAAACAUCCACAUCAUCCUUGCCUGAAUCAUCUACGCCAGCAACGACCCCUUCCCACCAACCAUCACUCCACCACGCAUCGACCGCAACUCCAAGAUCAAGAGUGAGCUCGAUUUGCUCUUGUGGGGCUGGCCUUGUAAUUAGGCGAUGAGGGUGCCUCAUGCCGAGUUUAUCAGGUAAAGCAACUUUAUAAGCAGGGACCCAUUCCUACAAGAGGAAGAACUUGUCAGUUCACUAACUUCACUUUGAAAUUUCUUGUUAAAAACGAAAUACAGCAGUAAGGCUAAACCUAAAAUGCACUUGAAAAUUGAAUAAACAGAGACCGACUUUAUUAAAUAUGGAAAGCAGUAUGCACGCUGUACGACCUGGAUGGUUGUAAAAAUUAUCAAAUGGUAAAUAGGAACAAUAGUAGACUUGUUGCAUGUUUGGAGUGAUUGUAAGAUGGUAAUAAUCACUUUUGUCAUUUUCCAAUCUCUCCAAAACGUACUUUCAAUGAUUCAAAAUCAUUUCUAAUGGCAUAAAAAUUUACUUUAAAAGUGCAAAUUUUAAAAUUACAUUGAUUUAGAGCAAUCAAAGAUAUGUUUCAGAAUAAUUUUGAACAUCAAAAGAGGUGAUUUUGACCAUUUCAAGAAUUGAGAACACUCCCAAAAAUCCCCUUUAUGCAAAAGCUCUAGUUAUAGAAUAAAACUUAGAUCAUAAAUCUUGUGAAAAGUCCCCACGACAACAUGGGAUUGAAUAGAUCCUCCUAUACCUACUUUUUGGGGUUUCUUAAAUUAACAAUUAACCCAAAAGCUUGUAGGCUCAAAAUAUGAAGAUGACCCAACAAGUGGAAAUGAAUUUUAAAUAGAGAAAAAACAACAAUGUAGGGGGACUCAAACACAAAAUCUCCCUAGACCACCUACUUUGAUGUCACUAUAACACUUGUGAACUUGAAAUAAUUGAAAGAUCCAACUAGUGGAAAUCAAUUUUAAUUGGAAAGGAAAUAACAAUGUAGGGACUUGAAUAUAGAACCUCCCUAAACCACCUACUCUAAUACUCUUAAAUCACCCAUUGACCAAAAGCAUGCAGAUGGGUGAAGGCAAAGUAAAUUAUAUAUCAUUUAAAAGACAUGUUUGGGACAAGAACUAUCUAAGACCAUAAUAAUCAUCUCUUUGUUAUAGUAAAUUUUUGCAGACACCGAUUAACUACAAUCAACACUAUUUCAAAACCUCCCAUUUGCUACAAUAAUUACUAUUUGCUAUAAAUUUUUACUAUUUUACAUUCAUCAUUUCUUUAUUCUAUACUACAAUGUUUACCAUUUUCUUCUCGAACUUACAUAAUUUCCACCAAACACAAAUAUUAUGACCAAAACUAAAAAAAUCUACACUCCAAACACAAAUUAUUAACUAAUUCCUUGCCCCAAACACCCCUAAAAGAGUCAAAGUUCAACAAAAUAGAAUAGAAGCUAAGAGUGUUCCAUUGUAACUCUUUUAACACUACCUCGAGGUUGCCAUAGCCAUCCUCAUCUUGCAAAUCAUCAUAUUGUACUCGAAUCUGCUUUGGUGAUGCGUGCAAGACUGUACACCUGAACCAGCAGCCUCGAAUGCCGCUAUCUUGACACAGUAAUUCUAUCUUCUCAUUGACCUCAUACAUUGGGUCAUUAUCAUUCAAAACAUGUUUAUGCGAAAGGAACCUGCUGCCUAAAAAGCUGUAACCAUGCUUCUGGCAAGAUUUAUGAGUUAGCAUAUGUCGACGACUGCCAGAUUUUCUAACUUUUGCAUUUUCAAACUCAAAUGUCCCACAUCCUUUAGCAUUUCUGAUCCUUUUAACUUUUGGUCUAACAUUAUUUUUUGGGUCCAAAUCCUCAUCAUCUUCCCCAGUCAAGUUAUCAAACAUGUGCUCAGAUUUUGAUAAUCCAUUGAGACUCAAACAAGAGAAGACUGGCUGAUCAAAAUAGCCACGCAAUUUACUCAGGUCAAAGGGUUUUAAUCGGUUGCUUUUGAACUGCCUGUAGCAAAGAUGAACUUUGGAAAGCGAAUCAUGAGGAAAGGCAUUCACACAUUUUUCGUAAUGUUCACGAUUUAAGACUGUCGCAGAACCAUCAACACACUCAACACUAAUGGCCUGCACAUAUGGUGUGAUGAAAACCUCUUUUGGGUGAGAAUUACGUAAUGUGAUCACACCUUUCACCUCCUGACUAUGAUGAAACCACCUCACUUUCACCUUUUUCUGGCACCUCUUAUCUUCGUACAUGUCUUCCAGGUAAGCAAGAUAGUGGUUUUCUCCCUUAGCCAUGACAUAAACAAAGGACUGUACCUGAAUAGCAUUGAUAAGUAGGAAAGGAAGAAUGUUAUUAUUGGAAAAUGAUGGUAAAAGCAGAUAAUGCAAAUACCAUGGAUAUAAUCUAAUAGACCAUCAAACCACAACUUUAGGGUAUCAUGGAACAAAUGCACGGAGAAGAUAUUGAUAGCUCUCUCGAAAUAACUCCCCAUUAGUUUGAAGAGGAAACAUCAUAAUAGAUUAAACUUGGAUAAAGUGCAAAUUUCCUGUUACCAAAAGCAUCCAAGAGUCUGAAACAUGUUGAAGCACGAAAGUGGAAUCUAAGUGAUGUACCAACUUUUACUACCACUCUAUUUACGAGUAAGAAAUUACUCAAGGAGUAAGAGAAUAACUACUUCAAGAAACCAAAUUUCACCUUAUCCCAAAAUACACGUGUCAUAGAUGCUAAGAUGACUAUCUUAGCAUAGCACAGUAAACUUAAGACAUACACAUUUUUGCAUUUGUUAAACAUUAAGUUACAAAAAAUUGAUAUAUUGUUGCUCACAUAAAUGGGAUAAUAUAAUCCUUGAGAUUUAAACCAAAUUGAUCAACCAUCCAUGUUUUUAAAUGCCCAAGGCGCACUAGGACGCAAUGGUCCUCUGGAGCCUAGGUGCAAGAUGCCCAAAAAGGCCCAGUUCUUUUUUUUCUUUUUUUUUUUUUGGUGAGGUGCACUACAUACAAAAAUAUUGCAUUAAAAAGAGAAGGCAUAGUUGAAGUGGAAAUAUGAACAAAAAGACCUCAAACACACGAUUUUUGUUAACUUGAUUCUUUUAGUUAAUAAAGAAGGAAAACCCUUAAUUAUUACUAUUUAAAAAAAAAAACAUGAAAAAGCCCAAGGCUUUGAGCCUUGGGACCUCACAAAAGGUGCAUGCUUAAGCCGCACUUAUUUGUGAGCAGGCAAGGCCGCUAGACCUGCACCUUGAGCCUAGGCGUGUGCUUGAGAGGGCUUUUUAAAAUACCAGGUAGGGAGUAGAUGCUUACCAUGAUUGAAGUCCCAUUCCGGCUAAAUGAUGGGUAAUGCUUGAGUCGUUUACCACAAGUCCAUGCAGCACCAGACCAUACAAUAUCUGAUGCAAGUCCCUUGGAAUUCCUUGAUGGGCGAACCUAAGUCAAGAUCAAACUAAGGGAUAAUUUCCCAAAAUUGUUUGAAUAAUAAUAAUGGAAGGGAAGGAAUUUACCUUAUCAUCUGGUAUAUCAGAUUGUGGGAUAACUACUCCACUUUGUGAAAAUUGAAGAGACCCCAGUGUUUGUAUUGCAUCAAAUUUACAAGGCUCUACAUAAAAAAAAUUGUCAAGAUGUUGAUACCGACAAUGUAAGAGAGCAUAACUUUGAAGCAUAAAAUGCUUUUGAAGGUGACAAGUAUCUUUAUCCCCUCAAAGCAACCAAAGAGUAUCGCCUAAUAGAAGUGAAGUACACUUGAAUAAAUAACUAAAAUUUAUAAAUAAUAUAAGCUUGCAAUGUGUAAAUGGCCAUAUAACCACAGAACCUUGUUGCCAAACUCUACAUAAGCAUGGCAAGAAAAAAAGUAACUAUUGUAUGUGGCAAAUUGAAAAACUAUGCCAUGAUUGACUUGAGGCGAUUAUGAAACUCAGCUUGCCUCAACAACACAAUAUGGUACUUUCUCAACUGUUCUUGACAACAGAUCAUGAAAAACUAGAUUCACGACAAAUGUAGUUGCCAACUAAAGAAUUUUAUACGCAAAUGCUCUCACAAACGUAGAAAGAUUAAAAAAAGGUGUUAACUUUAGCAAAUUCGGUCUAACACAACGAGAAUUCACCAUAAAACCAACUAUGGAAAUGAAAUAAAAGAUAAGAAAAGAAAAGCAAGCCAAACCAGAAUGAUCCCCAGAAGAAUGCUGCUUGGAUAACAUGGAAGUAAGCCAGUCCACAACCUCCCUCCUCGAUCUCCAUUUGAAACCAGCAUGGACAGAACUUUCCUUCCCAUGAGCUCGCAAGAACUCAUCAGCAACAACAUAAAACAUGUGUCUGACACUCCUCUCAGUCCCCACAACUGCAAGAAUAGACUCUCCAGCAGAAUCCUUUAAAAAAUAAUGAACCACGCGGUUUCCUCGUUCUUGGGAUACAAACUGCUCCUUCCACUCCAUAAAAUAGUUACCAUGUCCCAUCAUUUUGGCCAAUAUUUUCAUAAAACAAUCAACAAGAAUCCAAAUCAAACAUUAAAUGCUAAUAACAUGAGCAGGAGUCCAUGAGAACGGCCAAUGGACGCAGAAUCGUUCAUCCCAAUAACUACUGUAUGAAAUCAACUUGUUCCUGAAUGUUGACCACCAGUCCAUCAAGAUUACCCAAAAUACAUAGACCACAAAUUCUCAGCCAAAACUGCCAGAUCUCAAGUCAAAAAGGAAAAACUACGUAUACGAUCCAAGAAUCUUUGAGCCCCCCAAACUAAUGUCCCUGGAAAUCAUAAUAGAAGACCAUAAACCCUAAGACCAGCAACAAUUUCCAAUUAUUGAACUAACAGUUGUAGAAACAAAAGAAGUGUGUGUCCCCACAAAUAAUAGGUUUCUUCAAUCCCCCUGCAAAAGAACUGAAGAAAACACCAAGGCGGCGGAAAAACCCUUUUGACAAAUGACGCAGCAGAAUCCACAGAGAAUGAAAGGGGAAAAAAGAAAGAGAAAUCUGCAAUGGAAGUUAGGCAGGGAGCUCUCCAAGCUUGGAGGAGGAAAACUCCAAAUUUGAGACCGAAAAACGGAAGAAUUGUAGAAUGGGAAAAUUGAGAGUUGCCCAAGUGUUUAAUGAGCGUACUAAUGAAAAAAUGAAAAGAGGAAUGAGAGAUGAGAAAAGAGAGAGGGGAGAAACGCCAUAAAGAUUGGAAGGAGGAAAGGUUUCAGAGGAAUUGAUGAGAGGGAGGGAGGGAGGGAGGAAGGAAGGAGAAGAGAGGAGUGGCAGCAAAGCACCGCACCGCAGCAGAAAAGUGAUGAUACUGACCAAAUCCUAAGAGUCGGGUCCAACAACUGAGAAACAUGGUCUUUUGGAUCUAUGGGCCGCCAUUGAUGCUUCUUUCUACACAAUUUGGAAAUGUGUGUUUUUUCUUCUCUUUUUCCGUAUUUUUAAGAGAAAAAUAUAAACGUAAAAUAUUUAGAAAGAUUUUGACGAACGACUUAAAUUACUUAAAUUGACUCAUUUUUCACAAAUGUAAACUAUAAUUUAUUUUCUUAAUUAGAAAUUCGUAUAAUUUUUACACGAUGCUACCAUUAAAAUUAUAUAUUAUAUUCGUAAAUAUAUUUAAAUUAUUUCUUUGUUCACAAUACUUUCAAUUUAUUAUGAUAUUUAUAAUUUUCUUAUAUAAAUUUGUAUCUUUAUUACGGUAAAAAAUUAAAAAUAUUGUCCCUUACUAGGAGUUAUAUAUUUGAUUACAUUAUACUUUAAUAUAUUUGCAAUCUAUAAUAGUUAUGUUCUGUGUUUUAGUGUGUAUAUAUAAUUCGGAUCUUCAACAUUCCGACCUGGCAGCAUCAUCCUUACUAUCUUUAAAGACUUAUUAGAGUGAAAAUUCUCUCCACAAACCAACAUGAGUCUUUUCAACAUGUUUUGUCCUCACUCACAUGCAUUCUAGAAAAAUUUUCAGGAGGUCAAUCAACAUAUAAUUACCCCAAGUUCGCUUAACUUUGAAGUUUCUAUGAUCGAGCCAUCGAAAAGGAAGGUGCACAUUUUUUUAUAUAUGUAUUAAUUUUUAAUUCUUUUAAGUCUUUGUUAACACUACUUUCAUGUUCUCAUGAUCCCUCUCAUUCAGAUGUGAUAUCGGUUCAUUUAUGUCUCCCUCCUAAUCUUGGACGUUGCAUACCCCAACAUAUAGUUCUAUUAAUUUUUUAUAGGAUGGCCAAAAUGUAGUUCUUCUUCACCAUUGAAUUCUCAAUAAACUCUAGAAUGUAUCGCAUAUAAAACUAGAUUUUCGUUUGUUUGCCUAUUUAAUCGAAUAUCUAAAAUAUACCUAAUGUAUGAAAUGUUUCAUAUGUUUUGAAUAUAUAUAAUAGUAAGCUCGAAAUUUCUAGUCAGAUUCUAUCAGAUAAGUUUUGUAUUUGCCAGUCGAUGAAAGUUUUCUUCUUCACUGUCGAAACCUCAAUAAACCCUAAAAUGUAUCACAUUCAAAACUACAUUUUCAUUUGAUUGUCUAUUUAACUGAAUAUCUAAAAUAUACCUAAUGUUUAUAUGUGUUGAAUAUAUACAAUACUAACCUUGAAAUUUCUAACUAGAUUAAGUUUGAGAAGUUUUGUACUUGUUCUCCGUCGAAUGUCUUCUUCUUCACCUCUGAACUCUCUAAAAUUUUGAAGUAAAAACCGUAAUCCAUGUUAGAAGGAGUGGGCGACCGUUUUCGUAGAAGGAAAGCAUGAAAGGUUUUCCACUUCUUUCCAAAACUGUAUCCCAUGAUUUUUUCCAUUUAGAUAUAUGUUAUAAAUCAAUUAAAUAAUAGAAAUUGAUAUUAAAUUAAUUUGGGCCCCACUUCUUUCCAAAAUCAUAUCGCACAAUGUUUUCCAUUUAGGUAUUUGUUAUAAAUCAAUUAAAUAAUAGAAAUGAAUAUUAAAGUAAUUUGAGUCCUACAUUUGUGUAAUGUACUGGCUCAUUUAGGACUUUUGUGAAAUUUAUUAGUAAUUUGGGGCUUCAUGUAAUAUCAUAUAGCAAUUUGGGCUAUAUGAGUUAAAAACCCAAAUAUUUAUACCCUACAAAACAACUUCGAAACGGAAAAAGCGUAGAGCCCAAAAUGGAAAAAACUUGAAUUUUUUUUAAGAAAAUAGUUUACUUCAUGGCCUUUUUUAUUUUGUUACACGGGCCGUAAAUAUUUUGUUGUUUUAUUAUAUUUAGGAAAACUUGUUAUAUUUAUGAAAACAAAUCUAUUUUUAACCAUCUCAUUUUAGUUUUCAUAUUUUAACUGAAUCUUAAACUUAGGGUGUGUUUGGUUUGGAUUUUGAAGUAUUUAAAUAUAUAAAAAAAUUUGUUCACACGAGAUUUCGAAGAAAUGUAAUUCGUGAAAUUGAACUUUGUAUAUUGAUGAAUAUUGUGAAUACAAUCUCUAAUAUUUACUCAUUUGAUACUUUCUCUCGAAUACAAGAUAAAAUAAACUUCAGAACUUCUUAGUCUUCGAUCUUCAAGAUGGUUGAUCUGAACUCCGAUAUUUUGGAUUUCAAAACGUCUUAGCCUUCGAUCUUCAGGAUGGUUGAUCUGAACUUCGAUAUUCUGGAAUCCAAGAAAAAUUUAAUCUCCAAGUCUUCAGUCUUUCAGAAGAUGUUGAUCUCAAGGUUGAUACAGACAUGCAUAGACAUGCACGAAGGUUGAUACAGACAUGCACAGACAUACACGUCUUGAGAGCUUGUAGAAGUUUGAAUCUUCAAUUCUUGAGAGCUUGAACUUUAAUUAUUCCUUCAAUUCAAGAUCCCCAAAAUGAAUAGCAUUUAUAGAGAAAUUUCAUGAGCUGGUGGGCUUGGGCCCAUUUGCUUGUUAGGCUCGGGCUUGGGCCCAUUUGCUUAUUGGACUUGGGCUUGAGUCUAUUUGUUUGUUGGGCUUGGGCCCAUUUACUUUUUAGACCCGGACUUAAAUCCCUUUGUUUGUUGGACCACAAUAUUUGCUAGGAUGAUGUGGUGAAAUUUAAUUAGCCAAAAUUUCAUACUAAACAAAUGUCCCAUUUUUGAGAUUCAUGCAUGUGUAUGAGUGGGUGGAUCUCGAAAAUAAGCUGAAACACAAGAGAUUUGCUCUUGACUUUGGCUCUAGUUAAUAUGACAAACUUAAUCACGCUAUGCAUUUGGACAUAAGUGUAUAAAAAAGUGAUAUAAGGUUUGACGAAUUCUGAUAUAUAUUCGAAUUUAUUUGGAGGUGCAGAUUGAAAUAUUGCCGACUUAUCUUAGAUCAAAACCAAGUUUUUUUUUCUUUUUAAAUAUUUUGUUAAUUAAUCCUUUAUUUAUUUAUGAUUUUUUUGGGUUAAUACUAAACCGUCCGACAAAAAGUUAAAAUUUAUAUAUCACAUUUUACAAAAAAAACAAAAAACAAAAACAAAAUAAUAAUAAUAAAUAAAUAAACAAUUUCACAUCAUGUUAAAAAAAUAAUAAGAUCUUGAAUAAAAAGGAUAACAUUUUUAAAAAAUUGGUAAACUUAUUACUAAUUAAUAUAUAUAUAUAUAUAAAUUAAUAUUAGUAGAAUAUUUUUUAUUGUCAAAUGGAUAGCUUGAAAGAAUAUCUUCCAAUAUCUUCUUCAUCUUAGGAAGAUCUAUAUCAUCCUUAGUCUUAGGAAAAGAUUCACAGCAAAAUCAUCCAAACUAUGUUCACACAUUUCUUAUAAAUAGGUGAAGAUGGGUCAAAGAAAGCAGAUAAAGAAAGAAAAAAAAAAUCGCUCAUUAGUCCCUUGUGAAAAGAAAAAAAAUUUGCCCAAGCUUUCCUUUCACCGCCGGAUUCCUUCACGCCGAUCUUCUCUUCCACUGCAUUUUUUUUGCCGUACGGUAAGAUCGUUGCCCCCCUUUUUUUUUAUUUAGCGUUCUAUGUUUUUCUUUUUUUUUAAGGACUCGUCGGAGGGGAGAGGUAGGGAGAAAAAAUACAGAAGAGAAAGGAGAAGAAAAAAAAAAAAAAAAAGAAACAAAAGAGAGAACAAAGAAAAGGGCCGAAGAAAAGAAAAAGGCAGAGGAGAAGGAGAGAAGAAGAAGCAAAGAAAAAGAAAGUUGGGGGGAGGGGGUUAGUGAGAGAAAAGAAAAAAAGGAGAGUUAAUUUUUCUGUAGGUUUUUUUUAUUGUUAUUAUAAAUAUUAUUAUAUAUAUAUAAGAUUUUUUUUCUUUUUUCAUUAUUAUAAUUAUUAUUAUAUAUAUACACGAAUUUUUUUCAUUAUUUUUUUGUUUCUCUAUCUUUACUUUUUAUUUCCCCCAUUUUUUUUCAUUAUUAUUAUAUAAAAAAAUAUAUUUUUAUCCUUUUUCUAUCUUUUCUGUUUCUAUUUUCCUUAUCUUCUUUUUAUUUUUUCUUCUUCUGUUUUUUUAUAUAUACAUAUAUAUAUAUAUAAAUCUGUUCACCUUUAUAUUUCUUUCUAAAAAAAAUCUUUUUUUUUCAAUUAUUAUUAUAUUUAGGUUUUUUUAUUCUUUCUUUUUUAUUUAAAUCAUUUAAAAUUGCGUAAUUAAUUUUUCGUUUUCUUUUCUUUUCAUUUUUUUUUGUCCUUUUACGUUUUUUUUCUUUCCUAUCCCUUUUUAUUUAUUUAUCCUUUUAUUUUAGUUAUUACUAUUUUUUUCUUUUCUUUUUUGUAAUUUUAACCCAAAUAACAAAAUAAAAUUUAUCUAUUUAUUAAAAAAAAUGUUUUGUUACCCUAAAUGUCUAGAUCAAUUGAUUAUUUUAUUUUAUUUUAUUUAUUUAUUAUUACUAAAAAAACAAAGCUAUAUUAUUCUUUUUGUUUUAUUUAUUCUAAUUUUUUUAAACUAUUUUUUUGUGCAGGUUUAGUAGAUGUGAUUGAAUAUUUUAUCAAAGGUUAAUGUCUCCUCUUUUUUUUUUUUUUUUUUUAUAUAUAUUACCACGAGUGACCUUUUUUCUUUUUUUUUUUUUUCUUUUUUUAAGGUCCUAUGUAAGUAUCUUGUUUGGUCGACAUUCUGACUUCUUCUUGGGUUUGUACAUGAUAGACGAUCCAACUCUAUCAUGACGUCCACUGCUGAGAUUUAUUGAGUUUGUACUUGAUAGACGAUGCAACUCUAUCAUGACUUAUUGUGUUUGUACAUGAUGGACGAUGCAACUCUAUCAUGAUGCCUACUGUUGUUGUGACUUCUUGAGUUUGUACAUGAUAGACGAUCUAACUCUAUCAUGGCACCCAUUACUGCGAUUUCUUGGAUUUGUACAUGAUAGACGAUCCAACUCUAUCAUGACGUCCACUGUGAGACUUAUUGGAUUUGUACAUGAUAGACGAUGCAACUCUAUCAUGGCGCCCACUACUGAGACUUAUUGAGUUUGUAUAUGAUAGAUGAUCCAACUCUAUCAUGAUGCUCAUUGUUGUUGGGACUUCUUGGGUCUGUACAUGAUAAACGAUCUAACUCUAUCAUGACGCCUACUGGUGCUGCGACUUCUUGGGUUUGUACGUGAUAGACGAUCCAACUCUAUCAUGGUGCCCACUGUUGCUGCGACUUCUUGAGUUUGUACGUGAUAGACGAUCCAACUCUAUCAUGACACCUAUUAUUGUUGCGACUUCUUGGGUUUGUACGUGAUAGAAGAUCAAACUCUAUCAUGGCGCCCACUGGCGUCCAUUGCUGCUACGACUUCUUGGGUUUGUACAUGAUAGACGAUCCAACUCUAUCAUGACGCCCAAUACUACUGAAACUUAUUGGGUUUGUACAUGAUAGACGAUGGAACUUUAUCAUGGCGCCCCUUGCUUUGGCUUCUUGCUAGCUUGAAUUUUAUGACACUUAUUUUUCUAUUUUAUUUUUUUCGAAACCAAGUCGUCAACACUGCCUCUCCUCUGGUGAUUUUUUUUUUUUUUUUUGUAGAAUAAUGGUUUACUUCACAGAAUGAUUCGUGAAUGGAAACAUACAUCUUGUAAUACUUUCUAACAAAAAUCAACCAAGAGAAUAUGGACUUAGUCUUAUUGUGGAGAAGUCGUAGGCUGACCCUUUUGCAGAUCAUAGGCUACGUUUAGACAACAGUUCGAUUCUUCCCAAAUUAUUUGUGGAAAUACUUUUAUCUAAGGGGAAUAACGUAUGAAUCUUGCAAUCCUCCAUCCAUGAUGAGGCUCCUACUUCUGAAAGGGCUCUCACUCUCAGGCAUCAUCUAAUCGAAGGUCAAACACGUUGGGGCGCUGUGACUAAAGUCCUUGGAGAGUUUUGCUUUACUGAUUGCUACUGGGAGUGGCUAGACUUUGUAGUUGGUUGAAAUGCAUGAAUUCUCUACGAUGCUCAUUUAUUUGGUGCCGUAACAGCUUCUUUGUACACCUAUGAUCGUAAUAGCGAUGUGGUUCGAGCAUUUUGUGAAGCUUGGUGUCCUUCGACUAAUACUCUUCAUACUAUGGCGGGUGAGUUAUCCAUUUCUCUGUGGGACAUGUGGUCAUUUGAGGGCCUUCCGAUUAAAGGGGAGUUCUAUGAGAAAGUCAUCCCCUCCUAUAGAGAGUUAAUCCCUACACGAGAUAAGAAAAAAUGUCUUUCGAUAACAUGCCAAUAUCUUUUUCAGGCAUAUUAUUCAAUAAUUCGUACGCAGAGGGAUGACCACAAGACCUCUUCCAAAAAUGACUCCCAAGUGACUAUUAGCUCUUGAAUUUCAUUUUGGUACCUCGGGUCUAGGAGCUACGAUAAGUCUGUUGUACGGAAGCAAAAGAAGGCAUCAUGCUCCAGAUUUACUCAGAACCCUGAUGGCUUGAAGGUCCAAUCUCGAGAAUGGUCCUCCAGAGAAAACAUGUUAUUUAUCGAGCUUGGCAUAAGGGACGAUAUGAAGGAUGCAACAUAUUUAGCUGCCUUCUUAUCCUGCUGGUUGUGCCUCUUUGUGUUUCUGCAUAAGGGAUCAUUUCUUUGCCUUGGAGUGUUUAGGAUUGCAAGCUCAAUGGCUGACAGAUCUAUCUAUAGUCUUGCAGUCUCAAUUUUAGCAAACAUUUAUCAUGGGCUAAGUUAAUAACUAAAGCCUCGAAUCCAGUAGAAUGCAUGGAAUUUCACUUCCCAUACAUUACGUUCAUGGCUGGUUAACUCAUUAUGUUGGCACUCAUUACCCACUCCCCAAAGAAGUUCGAGGUCCCAAGAUGGCUAACUUCUCCGAUGAAGGCGAGUCUAUUUAUUUUGGAGAAUAUGAGACGCGAGAGCUGAUUUAUAAUGGUGCAAGAAUUCAGUGGCACGCGAGUCUUCAAAACUGGAAUAAACAUAAACGCAUGAUUGAUACUCGUGAUUCAUCGUUUCUGCAGACUUCCUAUUUUGCGAGCACGCGUUCCUGCUACGUGUCAUCCCGUUGUGGGAAUAUUUGGGUUGUAACCUCAUACCGUCCGUAUCGAUUUGGGAUACAGUUUGACUUUUACCAGGAUAUCCUUGAUUAUAUAGGAGGCAUGCCACUUGUGAUCUUACUGAAUAAUAUAUUACAUUAUUAGAGGUUGUGUGUGAGGCGUAACAGUUCAUUUGAGUUAUACUUGUAUGCCUGUUCUUAAGAGCCUUGCAAGCAUGUUACACAACAAUUUAAGAAUUGGUGGGCCACAAAGCACGGGACCUAUUUUGAGUUUAAUAGACACCAUUUAGUAAGCAGUGUCAUUCCUCCCCCAUCGCAACCAAUACUACCCAAGAAUCGAGGGAGCAACCAAGGUGGUAAGCCAAUUUGUUUGGUUAAAGCGAUGCGCUCGAGAAGGACGUGGUAGAGCAUAAAGAGAAGAGUGAUAGCAACAAAAGUGAUCAUCAUUGGAAAAGACCUUUGAUGAAAGCGAAGGUAUCAGGUGAUAACUCUUGCGAAAGGGGCUCAAGUGCUAUGAGAAUUCCUAAUGUCCCACCACUGGUUUGCAUAUUUUCCUUCUUUAAUAAUUUUCUUUUAUUAUUAAUCUUCUUCAUGAGUGAUUUAUCCAUUGCUUAUUUUUGCAGUCACCUUUAGACCACCAUCUUGAAGGGCUUGUAGAUGUAGACAGUGAUGAAUCACUAACUGGUCCUCAUAUGGCUGACACGACUAUCGAGAAAGUUGGUAUUUUGAAGACACCAGCUGCAAAACCAGUCGAACUAUCCUUACAUCUCUCUGCUCUUCUCGAGAAGAUUCGUUGAGGUAAGAUGAAAGUGAGUGGCAAAGACAUCGAGAAUCCUCCCUUCAGAGGUGUCUGUCCUACAGUGCCUUCAACGAAGGUUACAUCCAUGCAUGCUCCUCUUAAGAUUUCCUAGCCGCCUAUAAGCACCUCUAUGAAACAAGUAGUAGAACACCUUGAGCUUUAUCAAUGGAUUGGUGAAAAUGUAGUUUCAAACUUCUUUUAGAAAAAAACCAUGUGUAUAUGAGGGAACAUUCAAGACAAAAUCCUGCACUCCUUUUCAAUAUAUCCCAAGACUUAGGCCAGAAAUUACAAUAGUUCUCUAAGGAAUUGUGAAUAUUCAUGCAGAUGGCUUGACUCCUCUUGAAGAAUACCUGAAUAGUUAUCUUAAGAGGGUAGACAGUUUCAACAAUGUAUAAUCUUCAUAUUCUGCACAGUUGCUAUCAACAAAUAAGGCUCGUCGGUUAGAGAAGACUUCUGCUAUUAAGGAAGCCUUAACUUUGAUGGAACAACUACGAGGAGAUGCUGAAGUCAUUCAUGAGAGGGCUGCAAAGCUAUCUUUGGAAAAGAAGGAACUAGAGAGCAGACUUUAGGUGAGAAAAAUGAGGCCAUAAACAAGCAAGAGCUAAUAGUUGUUAGGCUUUAGGACGAAGUCAACACUCUCGAAAGCACACCUACUAUAACUGAAGAAGCCAUAGAGCCCCUCUCUAUCGUUCGCAAGAGUAUGGAGGCUGCACGUGAAGAAUUUAAAAACUUCAAGUGGAAACUUUGAUUUUUGCCCCCAUAUUGCCCUUUUUUUUUCACUCUUUGUAAAUGCUAUUUGAAUGUUUUUUUUUAUCCAAAUGUGUAUGCCCAUAAAUUUUGUAUUGCUUACAUGUGAGAUGACAAUGAAACAUGAUAUUUUUGUUUUUACAUGUGACUGAACUUAAAGUGAACCUUAAGCUGCCUGUGUACUCUUUUUAUAACAUAGGGAUCAAUUCAUAAUGUAGUUCAAUUUUUUUUAAAAAAAAUUAAGCAUAAAACUUCUUGAGAAAUUUGUCGCUGAUUGGGCCAAUUCGUAAUCCGUCUUGAUCAAUGAUUUUGUAUGCUCUAUUUGUGAAAACUUCUUUGACGAUGUAGGGUCAAUCCCAUUUAAGUGUGAAUUUAUUUUCCUGUAUGUCUCUAGUGAUGAUAGGUCUUCUUACUGCAAGCACUAACUCACCAACUUGAAAUGAUUGUGGCUUUACAUAUUUGUCAAAAGCUUUAGACAUUCGCGCUUGGUAACAUUCAAGUGCUUGUUGAGCUUCUAGUCUCUUUUCAUCAAGUGCUUCUAACUCUUGAAGGCGUAGUCUAGCGCGUUGUCUUCAGUAGUCAGCCCUUCUUGAAUUGUCAUCCUCAAUGAUGUAAUUUCUCUCUCUAGUGGAAGUACUGCUUCUACUCUGUAAACUAAAAAUAAGGUGUAACACCAGUAGGAGUACGAUGGGUAGUUCGGUAGGCCCAUAAUGCUUCUCCAAUCUUUUCUUGCCAAUCUCUUUUUGUCUUGGAGACCACCUUCUUUAGAAGAUUACACAGAGUUUUGUUGAAAGCUUCUGCUAGUCCAUUUGCCACGACAUUGUACAUAGAAGAUUUGUAUUGUUUGAAGUUAAACUUCUCGCACAACUUAUCCAUUAGAGUGUUAGCAAAUUGUCUUCCAUUAUCAGUCACGAUGCGAUGAGGAAUACCAUAUCGAUAAAUGAUGUGUGUUCGAACAAAAUUUACGAUGUUUUCAUUCUUUGCUUCUCUUAAUGGUACAACUUCAGCCCAUCUAGAAAAAUAAUCGAUUCCGGCAAGAAUGACCAGCCGAUGACUUCGGCGUGUUCGGUCCAACCAAGUCGAGUCCUAAAGCUUCAAAAGAUCAUGAGGCUAUUGUUGGAUGAAAAGGCUCUAGUGGUUGAUGUAUAAAAUUUGCAUGGAAUUAGCACGCUUCACAAUGUUUCACAUAAUACAUCGAGUCAUGGAUGAUAGUGGGCCAAUAGUAACCCAUUUUUUUCAACUGAUGUUGAAGUUUUGGACCAAACUUGUGAGCACCACAUACUGAAUGUUCUUCUUCUAAAGCCUUUGUUGAUUCAUCUUUUCCUAGGCAUUGCAGAAGAAGACCUUCAUAUGAGCGUCGAUAAAGUGUGUCGUUGUAAUAAAUAAAUCGUGCAGCUCUUCUUCGUAUCUCAGCUCGAUGUCGAAGCUCGAUGGGAAGUUUUCCAUGCUCCAAAUAGUUUAUAUAGACCGACGCCAAUCUUCUUCAUCAAUUGCAUACACAGAUAUCACAUCGGUUUCUUCGUAUUAGCCUUCGAUCAAGGGAAUAAUCCACUUUUUGCUAAGAGAAAUAUUUAUCGGCACGUGUUCUGAGAUUGUUAAAGUCGUGACCAAAUUUGCUAAUGCAUCAGCUUUCUUAUUUUCUAAUCUUGGUAUAUAUGUUCCAGUAUUAUGUCGUCAAAUAUGUCCAUCAAUCUUCUAGCAUAAAUGAAAUAGGGUUUCGGAUCUUUAUGUUUGACCUCGUACUGAUAGGAGAGUUAAUUUAUAACUAGCUUCAAAUCACCGAAUACUUCUAUGUAUUUUAUACUAAAUUCUGAAGCCAUUUGUAAGCUAAUGAUAAGGGCUUGGUACUCAACCACAUUAUUCGAACACAAUUCACUGAGUGGGAAGCUAUAUGACAACAUAUGUUUCUCCGGAGAGAUAAAGACAAUGCCGACACCAAGUCCAGUUUUUUGUGUUGCACCAUCAAAGAACAUGGUUCAAGGUUUCAUGCUUUUGACAAACAAAACUUUCUCAUCAAGUAAGUCUUUACAUAAUACCCAAUCUGAUGGAAUUGGAUGGUCAGCCAAGAAAUCUGCCAAUGCCUGACCUUUUACUGCUUUUUGGGAAAUAUAUACAAUAUCAUAUUGUUGGAGUAUAAUUACUCAUUUAGCAAGACGUCACGAGAUGAUUGACCUUGAUAAAAUAUAUUUAACAGGAUCAACUUUUUCUACCAAAUGUAUAGUGAAGGCUUGCAUAUAAUGUCUCAGCUUAUCUAUUGCAAAGAAAAGAGCGAGACACAUUUUCUCGAUUGGAGGAUAAUUCAAUUCAGCUUCAGUCAAAGUUCUAUUUAAAUAGUAAAGUGCACAUUCCUUUCCCUUGUCAUUUUCUUGUGCAAGUAAUGCUCUGAGCGAACCUUCUUGAGUUGCGAUAUAUAAUAUCAAUGGCUUUCCAGCUGCAGGCGCACUCAAAACCGGAGGAUUGAGCAAAUAAUUCUUUAUGCUAUCAAGUUCAUCUUUGGAAUGGUUGACAUUGACCCGUAAGAUUAGAUAUAAAUCUUCUGAUGUAGGCCAAACAACCUUGUAAUCUUCUCAACUCGUGAAAAGUUUUUGGACUCGACAUCUUUUGGAUAGCAUCAGUUUUUGAGUAAUCAACUUCAAUUCCGCGAUGCCUCACAAUGAAUCGCAGAAACCAUCUAAAGGUCACACCAAAUGCAGACUUAAAAGGGUUCAUUCUUAGCUGGUAUUUCCUUAGAUGAUCAAGGACAAGCUUUAGGUUUUUUAUGUGGUCGCAUUUCCUCUUGGAUUUUACUACAAGAUUGUUAACAUAACAUUCAACAUAUUUAUGUAGCAUAUCAUCAAAGAUCCUUUGCAUAGCGUGUUGGUAUGUUCCACCUGCGUUUUUCAAUACGAAAGGCAUUACCUUAUAACAAUAUAUACAUUUUGGGGUUCGGAAAGCUGUAUUCUCUUCAUCCUCAAGAGCCAUUCGAAUCUGAUUAUAUCCUGUUGACUCAUCCAUGAAAGAUAAAGCUGCAUGUCCUGAAGUCGCGUCUACCAUGAUUUCCAUAAUAGGCAAGGGAAAAUUAUCCUUUGGGUAUGUGUUAUUUAGGUUGCGAAAAUCAACACAAACUGGUAGCUGGCCAUUCUUCUUCCUUACUGGAACAAUAUUAGCUAUCCAUGUUGGGUACUUGACUUCGUGAAUAAAUCCAGCUUCAAUGAGCUUGUUUACCUCUUCCUCGAUUUGAGGAAUGAGUUCAGAUCGAAAUCAUUGUUGGACUUGCUUGAUGGGUCGUUGCUCUGGUUUGAUUGCUAAAUGAUGAACAACAACCUUUGGAUCAAGUCCAGGCAUCUCCUUAUAUGAUCAUGCGAAGACAUCUUUGUACGCUUUUAGUAAGCUCACAUACUCAUUUUGGUCUCAGCAUCAGAAAGUUGGGCGCUUAUGAAGGUUGGACGAGGAUCCUCUAUUGUACCAAGAUUGCUUCCUUUAACUCAUCAACCCUUGAUUGACCCUCAUCCUCAAGUGAUAAUGAAGCGGCUUUGGCAUCUUUUUCAAACGUCUCAUAGUUAGAUGCCUCCUCUAUCGUAACAUGGUCACGACUUACCACAUCUACUUCAUCUUCUGGUUCAUUAUUUUUAGGUCGAGUAAACACAACUUUGUGUCGUUUUACUUUUAACAAACCCUAUGUAUUUACUGAGAUGAAAAUUUUUCUCUUCUUUCUAGAUGGAACUGCACUACGAAUUUUACCGUCCCCCGCUGCUAAGUCAUGUUUGCUUGAGACCGCUACAAAAGGUUUCUUUUGGCCUCUUGUUAGGGACACACUUAACCUCUUGAAGGCAGAUUCUCUUGCGUUCAGAGUUGGACUUGCAGAUUGUACUUUUUUUGAAGUUGUAUUUAACUUUUGAAAGGCAGACUCCUUUACGUCCGGAGUUGAACUUACAAAUUGUACUUUCUUUGAAGUUGUAUUUAACCUUUCGAAGACAGAUAGUCGAAUGAAACUAGAAGUUAAACCUUGACUUUAUCUUUCCCUGUUGAUGUAUUCAAUCUGUGGAACACUGAAGGACGUGCAGUAAAAGAAGUAAUGCAAUAAAAAACAGAACUCCUAUGACUUUGACUUUUUUUGCCCUUUUCGGAGUCUCUGCUUUCUUCAUCAGUAAUGUGAAAUGUGUCUGCAACUUUUACUUUUCUUUUACCUGAUAUUUAAAUCAGUUCGAAAGAAUUAUAUCCAACUCCAGCUCUUGAAUUAGGAAUAGAAUAUCCUUGCUUUUGAAGCUUCUUUUGUGUAGGAGAAAGUCUAGACCUUUCAUCAAAUAUUUUCACGUUUUUAAGUUCGAUGCAAGUUGUGAUGUCAUAACCCGCCUUUGCCAUCAACUUAUAUGCUUUUGGGUCAAAGCCCCCAGUUGUUCGUCUUUCUGGAAGGAAUGCCUCUAUGCCCUUUUUCUCAAAUCUUUUUGUUUCUCCUUUGUCUAUCUUGGUAAGGGGUGUGGUGAAGCUUUCCUUUAAUAUUUCAUGCUUCCAAUCGUUAAGUUUUCAGAAUAUUCUGUGAACGGUGAUUCUCCGUUCUUAUGUCGAGAUAAAGGAACAUAACGUAAAAUAGGAGAUUUUGAGGCUUUUUCUUGUGGGAUUGUUAUCUUUUCACACUCUGACACCUCAGACUUAGCUUGGGUUAUUGACUCGUCAUUAUUUUAACCAUUGAGUGCAUCCCCUUCAUUUGACAUCUUUGUUGUAAUUUUUAUUUGCUCGAGCUGAUAAGUGUCUUUGGCUACAGGAACUUCAGAUGAUAUGACUUCACUUACAUCAUCAUCUUUUGUAUAAAAUUUGGCAUCAACAAAGUGUGACUCAGCCUUUGAGAAUGACUUAGUGUCAGCAUCAAAUUUCCUAACUCCUUGUUUGUAAAAUUUAAAACAUUGAUGGAAUGUGGAGGUUACAACUCCAUUUUCAUGUAUCCAUGGACGCCCUAACAACAUCUUAUAAGUGGUCCUCGAAUCGAUCACAUGAAAUAUUGUGGUUGCCUGCAAAUCCCCUAUGACAAUUUCCAAACGAACAAUGCCUAUCACCAGUUGUGCUCCUUGAUUAAAGCCAUGAAUCACCAAUUUACUGCUUGAUAACUCCUCAAUUGAGAUACCCAAUUGAUUAAUGGUUGAUUUUGGCAGAAUGUUGAUGGUAGAACCAUUAUCGAUGAUAAUUCGAUUGAGCUUUUGCUCUCGAACAUAUCUAGACACGAAUAUGGGUCGAUUAUGAAGCUUUGACCCAAGUAACAAGUCCUCAUCACUGAAUGAUAUUGACGUACAACAGGGAUCACACACCUUCGUUUGUGAUGUAUAAAUAGUCGAGACAUAAUCAUUUUUUAAUAUCUCGACAAUUGUAUCCUUGAUUUCUCGCGGAAGUGACAGAAGAUCAUUUACACCAAAAGAAGGCAAUUCCUCUUGCUUGGUGGCUGUUUCCAUGGGAUAUGAGGGAGAAGUGUCAUUGUCAGUCGUACUGACCGCAUGACAUGAAGCUAUUUCAAUUGGAAAGUUUUCUGGAAAGAAGUCCAAUAGACUUAUUGGUUGUCGUGGUCAAGGAAGCUCUUCACUUUCUUCCGUGAUUGGUUGAAACUUUCUCGCGUUCUUUUUUGUUUUUCUUCUCUGAUACUUACUCUUUCUUUUGUACUUGCGGUAUGAGCGAGUUUCUUUUGUAGUAGAGUUUUGUUUGUGCCUCUUUCGACGCGUCACUAGCGUCCAUCCCUCAUCAACAUCCUCUACCUGCUUUUAUUCUUCUUUGGAGCCAACAGUUUGGAGGUCAUCAUUUUGUAAGGCCACCGGUGAAGAAUAUAUGAAGAUAGGCUCUAAAGAUACAAAUUGGAUCAGAUUCCUUGCAGCAGGUAAUCGAUCAUCCGAAUGAAUUGUUUCUGUGGCAAGAUUUGUUUGUGCUACAUCAUCAAGAUCUAGCUCAAUCUUUUUGUCUAGAGCUAAUUUCAAAAUCAACUCCUUCAACACAAAACAUUUCUCCACAGGAUGACUGAUGACUCGAUGAUAUUUGCAGUAAUUGAGAUCUUUUACCCUCCUCAUUUCCGCAGGUCGUUUACAUUUAGGAAGUUGAAUUGGUUGCUUUUCCAGUAGUUGCUCCAACAUAUCAAGUAAGUGGGAGUUUGGAAAAGGAUAAACUUUUUCUUGUCUUUCUUUCAACAUCAGACAUUUUUUUUCGUCUUCUUCUUGUUGUUUCUCAAAUUUCUUUUCUUUGUAGAUAAACUUCAAAGUUGUCGUGCUGACGACCAUAGCCUCCUUGGUAGAACAUUUUGAUACCUUAUGGGUGCUCUUCACUUCUUUUUUCUCUUUUCUAACUUCUGGAACCAGUAAAUCAUUGUUCCCUCUAUUAGCAAUACUUAACUCCAUAUUGUGAGCUCUAGUUGCUAACUCUUCAAAGGUGCGAGGUUUUAUUCCCUGUAAGAUGUACAGGAGUCCCCAAUGCAUUCCUUGAGUAUACAUCUCUACUGUCAACAAUUCAGUUAAUCUAUAUUUGCAAUCAAGGCUUAAUGCUCUCCAACGGUUAAUAUAAUCGACGAAUUGCUCACCCUUUCGCUGCUUGGUGGCAGUUAACUCUAUCAUGCUGACAAUACGACGAGUGCUGUAGAAACGGUUGAGAAAGUCCCUUUCAAGCUGCUCCUAACUGUCGAUGGAUCCAGGCUCCAAGUCUAUGUACCAGUUAAAGGCAUUUCCUUUGAGAGUUCGGACGAACUGUUUGACCAACAAAUCUCCCCUGUACCAGCAUUUUCACAUGUUUCAAUAAAAUGAGCAACAUGUUGUUUUGGGUUGCCCUUUACAUCAAACUGUUGGAACUUGGGUGGCUAGUACCCAUUCGACAUUCUCAGGUUGUCGAUCCUCUUCGUAUACGGCUUGGAGUACAAAGAGAAAGUUUGAGUGAGUCCACCAUAUUGAGUUUUGAUGGAGUUUGCAAUCAUCUCCUGCAAUUGCUGGACAAACAGAGAUGCAAUUGAAGUCGAAUUUUGUGGUUGAAUUUCUUGCAUAAUUGCCUUGCCUUUGUCAACAUUCUUGACAGUAUGUGUGUGACUUGAUUCAGCAACAUCAUGACUCUCGAUCUGAUUCUUUAGAGAUUCAAUCUCGUAGUCCAUUUCUUUAAGCGCCUUCAUGAGCAUGUUAACCCUCUUUUCGAGCUCGACCAUUCUAUUUUUGCUUGUAUCCAUGCCAGUCAAUAAUUGACAUUAUGUUUGGAAGAGGCCCCUCUUCAUUUAAGCGUUCAGAAGAUGAGUUGUGUUCAUCAAUCACAAGAUUUUCUUUGAUUACAAUUCCACUUUUUGGUGGACUGGAGAUUUGUUCCCAAAUAUUCUUUGCGACCUCAAAGUGUGGCACAUCCUCAAAUGAAUAAAAUUUCCUUGAGCGACUGCGAGUAUUUGGUCGCUUGCUGAUGUCACCUAGAGCUUUGGAAGUGUUGCCUUGAAAUGUCACGGCUUUCUUAGAGAUGUCCUUCAAAAAGAGAAAGAGAUGAAAGGUAGAGAUUGUCCCACCGGGCGUGCCAAACUGUUCACACGAGAUUUUGAAGAAAUUUAAUUCAUGGUAUUGAACUUUGUAUAUUGAUGAAUAUUGUAAAUACAAUCUCUAGUGUUUACUCAUUUGAUGGUUUCUCUCAAAUACAAGAUAAAAUAAACUUCAAAACUUCGUAAUCUUCGGUCUUCAAGAUGUUGUAGUUGCAAGUUGAUCUGAGCUUCGAUCUUCUGGAAUCCAAGGAAAGUGUAAUCUCCAAGUCUUCCAUCUUUCAGAAGAUGUUGAUCUCGAGGUUGAUACAGACUUGCACAUCUUGAGAGCUUGUAGAAGUUUGAAUCUUCAACUUUUCAAAGCUUCAGUACUUCAAAGCUUCAAUUCUUCCUUCAAUUCAAGAUCUCCAAAAUGAAUAACAAGGGUCUCUAUUUAUAGAGAAAUUUCAUGAGCUGGUGGGCUUGGGCCUAUUUGCUUGUUGGGCUUGGGCCCAUAUGUUUCUUGGACAUGGGCUUGAGCCUAUUUGUUUGUUGGGCUUGGGCUUGGGCCCAUUUGCUUCUUGGACUCGGACUUGAGCCCAUUUGUUUGUUAGACCACAAUAUUUGCUGUGAUGAUGUGGUGGAAUUUAAUUAGCCAAAAUUGCAUACUCAACAAAGUUAUUUUGAAAAAAGUUGUGAUGUUUUGCAAGUUUACAUAAUGCAUUUGUUUAAAAAUUAUUUUACAAAAUAGUUCAUUUUAGAGAAAUAAUUAAAACCAAUUUUAUUGAAAAUGAAUUAUAUAAGUGAUUGACCCGGGAAUUCACAAUUUUUUUCAUCUUAUAUUAAAAUUACAAAAAUGCCCUUCUUACUACCCUUCCUCUUAUCUUUCUCCCCCACCUUUUACCUAAUCGAAAACUCCUAUAAGUAUUUACUGUAAAUGGGAAUAAAUACAUUAAUGUAGAUUCUGGUUCUCCACAAACGAAAGGAUAUUUAGGUCCUUAUAGAGGUGAACAAUACCAUGUUGCUGAUUUUUGACGUGAAAGCCAACCAAGAGUCAUGAAUGAGGUAUUUAAGGGUAGACAUUCUUCAUUAAGAUGAACAAUUGAAAGAGCAGUUGGUGUUUGGAAGAAUGUAUGGAGAAUUGUUCAGCAAAUGCAUAGUUUUCCAUUUGACAAAUAAGUAAAAGUUGUUGCUUCAAUGGCUCUUCAUAUCUUUAUAAGGAUUCAUUCAAAAAUAGAUUUUGAGUUCAAGUCUUAUGACAACGACAGGAUGCUACUACCUUCGAAUGAUGAAAUAAAUUAUGAGGACAUCAAUUAAGAACGUAGAGGUUUAAUUGGUGAAAUGGAGAUGAAUGAAGAAUGCGAUCGAAUUGUACAACUUCUAUGUCUAGUUGAUAUUAUAUUAUUUAAGAAAAAUUAUUAUUAUUAUGUUUUGUUGUUGGAGAUUAUGAUUACGAAUUUAAAUAUGAAGAUACUCCUACUUCUAAAACGAGAUGAUUAUGAUUAUGAAUUAUAAUUUUAACUUUAAUAAUUUCAAAUUUCUAAAACAGUCAAUAGUUUUAAGAUAUCAGACAAUUAAUGUCAAAAUAUAUUUCUUUUAAAAAAAAAUCGAAAUAUAUGUGUUUCUUUAUGAAACUAGGUUAUAGUGUUUAGUAGUCUUUUAUGAUAAUUUGACUUAAGUAUAAACAAUUUUUAUAUAUGACAAACCAAACAAAAUUAUGCAUAUAAACACUUAUAAAAAGAUAUAACCAAACAUACAAGUGUUUAAAUUUUAAACUCAUUUUCAAGAAAGUGUUUGAAAGGAAAUGUAUUCUUGAAAAAUAAUUUUUUCAAUGCACCCUAAAAUUAAUUUUUACUCAAAUAAUAAUAAUUUUAUGCUUGUAAACAAAAUAAAUAAUCACGUUCCCCAAAUUUGUAGUAAAUUUAUUAUAGAAAAAAAGUGAAUGGAAAUUAAACAAGUUUCAAAGUAUAGGGACGAAAAUAGUAUUUCAAUAUUUUGUAAGUACAAAUUGGAGGUGAGAAAUUUGAACGACUUACUCUUAGUCCUUACCAUUGUCAAUUAAGCUAAAUUGUUUUUGGCUUCUCAUGUUUAUUCUAUAUCUUUCAUUUCUUUUUCUUUAAAGGGAGAAAUGUUUGUUCAAAGUAUAUUAUAGUAUUAAAAUUAUGUUGACAUGUUGGUAUUUCAAUUAAUUUACAAGUUUUCGUGAAUUUGACAUAGACAUGAGACAUGAAUUGUCAUAGAGAAAUCCACAAAACAUAAGAAAAAGUAACAAAAUGUCACUAAUAUAAAUAAUAUACAUGUUUAGUGUUGGUGUAAAUCAACAUGACAUGGACACGAAACAAGCCACACUGGAAGAAAUAAAUCAAGCCACCAAGGAUUUUAACCUACCUUCUAGAAGCUUUUAAGUGGUUAAUUGGAUGCCUAUUAAAAGAGGUCAUCUGUCUUCUAAGUCCUCAUUCCAUUCUUAUUUUAUUUAUAUUAAUAUUUUAUAAGUUGUGAACAACGAGUUUUAAUCUUUUUUUUUUAAGUUCUCUAGAGGUAAUAUUUUGUGUUGGGGAAAUUUUAGAAUCAAUUUUUUUAACUGAGUGAUGGUAGAGCAUUUUUAAUAGGUGUUGGAAAAAUUAUAGAAAUGGCCAUUUAAGGAUUACUUUUAAAUUGGGCGCAAUAUUGUCAUUCUCCUCCUUAUUAUUAGUAAAAAGAAAAGAAAAGAAAAGAAAAGAAAAGAAAACGAGAAAUCUGGUAUUUCUUCUUUCCCUCUCUUCCUCCAUGCACGUGGCCCCUUUGCCCCUCUUCCUCCAUGCAUGCGACCGCUUUCCCCUUCAUCUUUCAAUAUUUUCAUCCGCUCUAAAGUUAAUCAUCGUUGACCUACAGAUCCUUUGAAGCUUUCAAUGUUCGUUUUAGUGGUUGGAACCACCACCGUUCAAUCGUUUUCCUUUCCGAGCCCAACGUCAACGAUCUCGAUUCACACUAGGGGUGCGUUUAGUUCGCAAGUAGUGGAGCUUGGACUAGUUUUGUAUGGACACUAUCAUCAAGACUGCGUCAGCGGUGGUGUUGAUAUCCACCUUGCGCCGCUUGACUCGUCGAUAAUCCCCAACCACACACGGUCCUUGCCUUCUUUUGUCUCAGUCGCGUCAUCCAUCCGUUACUCCAGUACCAAAUAAAUCCUAAUUGCAUUGAUUCGUUUCACUCAGUCUUACUGUCAGUAGUUGGAUCUUGGAGUUUUUGGUAAGGAUUUACUUAUUUUGGUGUAGUUUAGUUGGGUUUCUUGUUCACUUUCAAACACCCACUAAGUUUUGGCUUGAACUAAACAUUACCCAACGUUUUGAUGUUAGAUUUGAAUUCUUUGAGGGGUUUAUCUACUGUCUAGUCGAGAAAGAGCAAAAUUUUGGGUUGUUUGGCACGAACUUGGGUAAGACUUCAAGCUUUAUGGUUUAGGUCUUGAAUACCUAUUUAAUUCUAGUACUAAUGUUGAAUAGCCCAUUAUGUGGAUGCUUGUUUUCGAAGUAAAAAGUCAAUAGGGUGCUUUCGAUUAGGAUUAAGGCUACUCUUAUAAGUGUUUGGUAAGAUUUUGGGUAAUUUCGGUAAGAUUCGUCAAUAUCCAUUGAAUUUUGACUUUGAUUUUGCAAUAUCCAUUAGAUUUCGUUGUUAGGCUUGGAGUUUUGGUAGAUUUUAGUCGUUGUCCAGCUGCGAGGAGACUCAAAAUCGGAUGUUGGCACAAAUUUGAGUAAGCUUCUAAGCUUUAUGGAGUGAGUCUUGAGUACCCAUUUAAGUGUAGUGCUAAUAUUCAGCAUGAAGGGAUAAAAGCCCUAUGGCAGCGGAAUAAUUUAAUGAACCGUUUUUAAAAUUAAUUUGGGAAUCUUAAAAUACUGGUACAUUGGCAAAAUUUUAGAAUCAAAAUUCUAAAUAGAUUCUAAGUAUGCUUUUAAAGAUAAGAUACGAGAAUUUACUUUUGAUUACGUUUCUGAAUUUACAAAUCAAUCUCCAAAUUGGGACACCAUCUGUCGAAGACCUUCCUAUCCUCUAGGAUGAGUUUGGUUUGUGGGAACCAAUUGGGAUGGGAAAAAGGUUUAGAGAUAUUUGAGAAAAACUCUUUUUGCGGAGAGAAAAAGCUUUGGUUUUUUGCUCUUAAUGAGCUUGGCUUAAGAAAACUAUUUUUUUCUAGAUAUUUAUAGCUCUUUUUCCUUCUUGGAAUAGGAAAAGGAGUAGGAGAGAAUCAUGAGAUUCUUAAUAUCAAAUCUACUGAUUAGUUAAUAAUUAAUUAAUUAGUUAAUAAUUAAUUAAAUUAUAUUUAAUUAAUAUUUCAUUCAAAUCUUAUUUGAAUAAAAAUCUCUCAAAUCUCUUAUUAAUAUAAUUAAUUAAAUCAUAUUUAAUUAAUAUCUCUGCAAUAUCAUUUUAUAAAUUUAUUAAAUCAAAUUUAAUUAAAUAAAACUAAAUUAUUAAUUAAUUCUCCAAUUAAUUAAUAGCUAAGUUAAAUAUAAGAUAUUUAACUGAAAUUAAAUUUGAAUCGUUUCUCUCGUAACCAAUAAUUUUAAUAUGAAUCCAAUUCACAUUAAUAUUUUAACUCAUUCAAAUAUUUUCUCUUAUAAAUUAAUUUUGAAUCAUAUCCAAAAUUAAAUAUAUAAUAAAGUUUCACAAACUUUAUAUUAUAAUGUAUCACUAUACAUUAAACUAAUUCUCUAAGUAUAUUUGAACAUUUCAAAUUACAACCAAUAUAAAUAAAUCUCAUUACUCUUUACGAGCUAGGAAGGGGACCUAAUGGACCUACAGAUCAAAAGCUAAAACGAUUUGAGAUUAAUUGGCUAAACUCAUUAACCACAUUAAUCAAUAUUCGUUAACUGUGUGUACACUCUACGAAAGACUCACAGCUGAACUCUUCUCACUGUAGAUAUAUUUAUGUGUCCACGGAUAUAGACCAAUAAUAGUAAGUUAGUCCUUCACGAGUGUUCGUAACACCAGCUGGAUCAAUUUACCAUUUUACCCAUGGGUUACCUCUAAUCCUUAAAUACCAGUGCUCCUCUAAUGAACAACCUGUUUAUGGUCCUACCAAUAAACAGAAACCCCUCUCGUGCCAUGGAGAGGGUAGGGCCCUUUGUUCAAGACCUGGAGACACCAUUUAAGGGAACACUCAUGGUUUUUAAAUGCUAGGAGUCGAAAAGUUGAAGGUUGUUCGAGGAUUGUCCAUUGGGGUUAAGGCUACUUUGUUAAGUUAUUGGUAUGGUUUAAAAUGAUUGUAUUGAGUUUUCUUAGAGUUCAUGAAUGCCCAUUAAGUUAAGCAUUAAGAUAAAAUUAUCCAUGCUACUCAGGUCCUAGAGUUGAAUGUUAAAGGUUGAAAAUGAGCCUUCUUUUAACUUUGAAGUCUCACUUGGGUGCUACUUCUAUAAGAUUCGAAACAUAAGAUGAUUUGGGUGAUCUUAGGAAGUGACUUAAGGUUGUUUGUUCCCUGUUGAUAUAAUGCAAUGGUAAUGGAGAUAAAGUACCUACAUGAAAGACCAAUUGAGCUUGAACUAAUUUAGAUACUCAUUGGGUUAAAUAUCUAAAUUUCAAGUCUAAGAGUUUAUAGGUGAAAAGUUUAGUCUAGUCCAAGGCGAUUUGAGAAUUCAAAGACUAGUUUUAAAUUGGGGACAAUAUGGUCAUUCUCCUUCUCCUUCUCCUUCUUAUUAGUACAAAUAAAAGGAAAGAAAAGAAAAGGAGAGAAUAGAAUUUCUUCUUUCCCCCUCUCUCUCCACUCUCCACGCACGGGACCCCUUUCCCCUUCAUCUCUCAAUCUUUUCAUUCGCUCUAAAGCUAGCCACCGUUGAUCGAUCGAUCCUUCAAAACUUCUGAUGUUCAUUUCAGUUGCUGGAAGCACCACCAUUCAAUCGUCUUCCUUCCCGAGCCUGACAACGACGAUCUCGAAUCACAUUAGGAGUGCAUUUAGUUCGCAAGCAGUGGAGCUUGGACUAGUUUGGUAGCACACUGUCAUCAUGAUAGUGUCAACGGUGGUGUUGAUAUCCACCUUGCGCCACUUGACUUGUUGGUAAUCCCCAGCCACCCGUCGUCCUUGUCUACCCUGCUGCUCCGUUGGGUACAGGUUUGUUGGCUUUACUUGCGAUUUUUGGUAAUAUAUGAUUUUAACAUUUGAAUUAUUAUGUCGUUAUUGAUGUCAUAUUUAAACAGCUUGAAAGUAUAUUUUAUGAGCUUUUACUUUUAAAACGGGCCACUCACUAAGUUUUAAUGCACACCUUCAUUAUUUUCUCCCCCUAGGUAGCGGUAAAGGAUUAGACAUUGGUUGAGCUCUCAGUUUUUUACUAUACACUCUCAUUCUUUUGUAUGUAUAUACUUAGGUGUUAUAUUACAAUAUGGGGUGGUUAGAUGUAACAUCAAUGCCGUUAAGGACUCAUGGUUUGGAAGAUUCCUCAUUAGACUGAAAUCAUUUUGUAUGUAACAUUUAGUUUGAAAUUUAACUCUACUUGAAACUCUAGAAUAGUUUGGAUAUGUGUAUGGUGAGACACACUUGUUGUGUUGUGGAAUUGAAGUCUGUUUAUAUACUUUUAGAAGAUUCCUUUUCAGGUUUGGCUAACCCAUAUUUAGGGAAGGUGCUGUCAAUUUUUUUUGUAGAAUUUCUUAUUACAUAUUCUAUAAAGUUUAAGUUGAAAAAGUUGUUUUUAAAAGUGUUUUAUCAUGUCAUGAUCUAGGUUAGAGAGGAAAACCUAGAUCGAGGUGUGACAUGUCCUCUCACAAUUAUAUCAUAUAUUGUUUAUUAUACUUUUCAUUAUUUCUAUUUCUAAAUUAAGGGAUAUUUGAUGUAUAAAAUUGACCAAUGGUCAUUGUUGAUACACAAGAAAUAAUAGAAAGGAAAUUUCCAAAUUUCUAAAGAUAUAUUAAAACCCUAUUUUGGUAUAGAGCAAUUAAUUACCAAUGCCUCCUCCUUCAAUGUAAAUCUCGGUUUUCCCUCAACCGAGUUUUCAAACCCUUAAUCAACUCCACCACUAUCAAAUUAGAUCAAAGCGACUAUCUCUUAUGGAAAACACUUGCUCUUUCGAUCCUCAUAGGCUAUAAACUCAAAGGACACCUUACCGACUAGAAGCCUUGUCCCCCAAAGUCUGUUCUUGUGUGAAGCAACACCAAUACCGUAUACGUCCCUAUAAUCGACGCUGAAGAAGUCGAAGAAGCUAGACAAAUAGCAUUAGUGUCAUCAUUCAGCUCGACUACUACCAUUAACUAACCUUUGUUUGAACAAUGGAUUAGUGUUGAUUUAUUAUUGCUUGGCGGGUUGUACAACUCUAUGACACUAGAAGUAGUUAUUCAGCUAAUGGGAUUUACAAAUGCAAAUGAUAUGUGGGAAGUAACCCAAGAUCUAUUUAGAGUCCAAUCUAGAGCCGAAGAAGAUUUCCUUCGGCAAACAUUUCAUACAAAUAGAAAAGGUAAUAAAAAAAAUGGAAGAUUAUUUGCAGAAUAUGAAAACUAACGCGAACAACCUUGGUCAAGCCGGUAGCCUAGUACCUCAUCAUGCCCUUGUUUCACAGGUAUUAUUGGGAUUAGAUGAAGCGUAUAACUUGGUCAUUGUUCUUAUCCAAGGAAAGUUGGAGACAUCUUGGCACGACAUGCAAUCUGAGCUUCUAAUAUUGAAAAACUGUUGGAUCACCAAAACACUCACAAUAUUACUGGUUAUUAAUUCCAAACGCUACUGUUAAUAUGACGCAAACUCAAAAUUCAAAUGAUUCUAGAUCUCACAGCAGCUUACAAUUCCAUGAGAACAACAUAAAAAACUUUAAUAGGCACCGAGGAGGAUAGAAUAAUAGUAGAGGUUUUGGUGGAGGACAAAACAACAAACCUACGUGCCAAGUUUGUGGUAAGUAUGGUCAUUCCAUACUUAUAUGCUACAACCGUUUUAAUAAAGAAUAUUUGAGUCCUUUAGCCGAACAACGAGGGGGAAAAAUUCCAACUCUCAGGAAAAUCAGAAUCCAACAACCCUUGUUGCUCACAACAUGAACCCCCUUGCUAUACUAAAAACACGGUGAUUGAUGAGAACUAAUAUGUUGAUAGCAGAGUGAUAAAUCGGCUAGAGAUGUCCAUUUAACCAGUGGGAUCGGGGCUCACGGGAACCCGACUCGAAUGAGGCGAGGCAUCCCCGAAUACACAGGGAAAGAGGGAGGGAGUGAAAGGGUUUUUUCCCCAUUGGCAAAUCGAGGUCGAGGUCGAGGAAUGUAUUCCUCAGCCCCGCCUUGCCUCGCCCAAAAAAACAUAUAUAUAUAUAUAUAUAUAUAUAUAUAUAUAUAUAUAUAUAUAUAUAUAUAUAUAUAUAUAUAUAUAUAUAUAUAUAUAUAUAUAUAUAUUAUUUACUUAAUUAAUUAAUUAAUUAAUAAUAAGUUAAAAAAGUUACCUUUACCUUUAGUAAUACAUUGUCAGUAAUACUAACCCUGAAUUAUUUUCUCUUCUACCACAUUUGAUAUUUUGAUUUCUCUUUCUUUUUUUUUUUCUCUGUUUUCUUUUCUUUCUUCAUCUCUAUGUCACACCCAAAACCGUACGGUGACGAUAAUGCCGAAGUAGUAGGAAUAGGAUGCGAGUUUGUUACCAACCUUGAAAUUUUCUUAUCGCAAAAUCUUAUUUUCAACCCCUUUUACAAAACUCAAAACGCAAUGGUGGUCAACCUAAACGCCAAGUAUAAUAAAUACAUACCAAAAUAUAUACUUUAUUGAUAACAUGUGUUUGAUACAUAAUUACAACACUUUGACCAAAUAACUAAUGCUUAACUAUUUCCAAAACGUCUGGAAUCAUCUCGCCACAAAUCCUUCAACCUUUUUCUCUACUUGGCCCGAACGCCUGAUCUUGAAAGAUGAAAAUUUUAAAACGUAAGUCUAAAUGACUUAGUGAGGUUUUAUGAAAUCCUUUUCUCAAUGCCGUUUGAUAAAUCCUUUUCGUCAAAUCAUAAAUAUCAAUUAAACACUUUAUUUCCACAAAACGCAUGUAAUCAUUUUCACAAUAGAAUUAAAUCGUCUCGCAAAUCAUAUCAAAAUACAUUUCGCAUAAACACUAAUUCCCAUAACACAUCUUUUUCGCAUAACAUAAUCAUGUCAAACAAACACACAUUAGUUAAUUAUUCUUUUUGCCAAGGAUCCAGAAUCGUUCUCUAUGCUUGGUCUCAUUACCUCGCGUUUAGACUACUGUAUGAACAGCAUCCGAGAACAUAUAGAUUCGUUCUUGUAGCUCAGGCCGCUAACUUUUACGCUCCUUUCAAAGCAUAAGCUAACUACUUAUCACCAUGUAACCCGUACACCCCAUGGUGGUCUUGAUUCUUUAUGUGCACAUAAAAGUUAGCAUCAUCUCAAAGAAACAACUAAUGGUUUGAAAAACAACUAAUGGUUUGAAAAACAUUUUAUAGUAUGAAAAUCAUAAUCAUCAAAUCAAAAUUUAACAUUAUAAAUCAUGCUUGAAAACAUAUAAACUUUUCCUAGAAAUCUCUUUUGAAACACUUUUUAUUUGAAUUCUUCUUUCAAAUCAGUAAAAAGAUAUCAUAAUAAAGUUUUUAACAUAAAUUCAUUUGAAAGAAAAUACUCAAAAAGCUUUGAAAGAAAAGCACUCACCACACUUUACCAAAAAUCUUCCUCUUCUUGUUUUUCUUGUGGAACAAAUCGUCGUACUUAAUACUUUGUUUUCUUCUUCUCACGAAAGCAAAACAAUAGCAUUUUAGCUCUUUUUUUUUGUUUUUAUAAAAUCUUUUGUGCUUACUUAAUGACCAAGUCCUCUAUUUAUAGAGUACUUAAACUAUUUUAGUCAUGCUUAAACUCUUUUUAGUUUUCCAGCUUCUGCUUAAAACUUUACACAUGUAAAUUUAAUACUCAACUCAACCUUGCUUAACUCCUUAAUCUUACACGUUAAUCCUUGUCAAAUCAUAUUUGACAUUUUUCACCAGACCUUACUUCUUGCCUAACCCCAUACUACAAAUAACUUUAACCAGUUAACACUUCUCGCGAAUAAUAUACAUACAUAUAGUUAGCUUAUAUAUAUAUCAAUGAACCAUAUACACACAUAUAGUUAGCCUAUACUUCUAACAAUAGUCUAAACUUUCCAUCUAUGUGUAGCCUAACUAUAGGUGUAUCAACAAAAUAUCAACUAAACUAAUUCACCUAGCUAUAUCAAGUAUAUCAACAAAAUAUCACACCUAUAUCCAGUAUCAACAAAACUUGUCUAUCUAACCCAAAAUAUAAUCACCAUAAAUCAAAUGUGGCCACCCAAAAAAUCAACAAGCUCCAUGCGCACUUCAUCCAACUCGAAUUGACUAUAUAGGCUCUUUGUAUCAAUGUGAUAUGGAACCCAAAAUAUUAAAGCUAACACUUUGAUUACUUGAAUUGAUUAUUUUAAUACUUUGAUUACCACUACAUAGAAAGAAUAUAAGUAGAUUGCCUUAACAUAAUCCAUAACAAGUUUCUCUGUGCUAAAUCAAAAGUAAACUAUAACAAUUCAAAGUAACAUAUCACCUAUAGCUUAUUUUAUUUCCUAAAAAAACAUAAUAUGAUCAAAACUAAACGGAGAGCACAUUAAAGUAUGAGUUAUGUGCUUCAAUAUCAAUGGAAGAAGAAGCAAUACAAUUUAACUCAAAGAAACAUAAUAUGAUCUAAAAUCUUAAGAUUCAAUUCAAAGAAACAAAUUGCCUUAAAAUAACUCAAAACAAGUUUCUAGAAAUCAAAAGUAGACUACAACAAUAAAAGUUGACCCUCCCCCCAUAUUGCCUUAACAUAAUCUAAAAUCCUAAGAUUCAAUUCAAAUAAACAAAUCAUCUAUAGCUUAUUUUAUUUCCUAAAGAAACAUAAUAUGAACAAAGCUAAACGGAGAGCACAUUAAAGUAUGAGCUAUGUGUUUCAAUAUCAACGAAAGAAUAAACAAUAAAAUUUAAUUCAAAGAAACAUAAUAUGAUCUAAAAUCCUAAGAUUCAAUUCAAAGAAACAAAUUGCCUUAACAUAAUCUAAAAUCUUAAGAUUAAAUUCAAAGAAACAAAUCACCUAUAACUUAUUUUAUUUCGUAAAGAAACAUAAUAUGAUCAAUGCUAAAUGGAGAGCACAUUAAAAUAUGAGCUAUGUGUUUCAAUAUCCACGGAAGAAGAAGCAAUACAAUUUAAUUCAAAUAAACAUAAUAUAAUCUAAAAUCCUAAGAUUCAAUUCAAAGAAACAACCAAGCAUGUUUGGUAACUCCACAAACUAUAAAGUAAAUAAAUAAAUAAAUAAGCCUUGCUAGUUGCUUCCCAAAAAACAAUAAGUCUUGCUAGUUGUUUCGCUCUUCACUUCUUUUGCAAUUCUUCUAUUCUAAAAAUUAUCCAAAGCUCUACAUAAAAAGUACAAUAGACAAGUUCAUACUUUGAACCUAAAACAAAGUGAUUAUAUGAAAAAAGAUACCUAUAGAUAGGCUCCAUUCUUAAGUUUUAGGUGCACUUUAUUUUCCAAUCACGAAGGAGAAGAAUUUUCUUGUAUUGAACAAAUAUAGUGUUUAGGUUUUGUUACAUUGAUUCUAAGUAAAAAAAAAGAAUUAAGCAUCUUAAACGUAGAAGUCGAAAUUGGUUAUUAAAUAUUGAUAGAUUAAAAUCAAAGCUAAAGUGGUUGAAUGCACAAAUUCCAUUGAAUCCAUAACAAACCUUUCUAGCUCCACUUAUGGUACUCUCUGUCACAAGACCUAGGAAAAUGGUUCUUCUAAAUGAAUGUUGAACUUCGAUAAAUAUUUCUUCUCCCAAAAACAAUAUAUUUAUAAUUUCAAUUAUAAAACAAACAAAUCAGUGUGUAUGGAGUAGUAGAUAAAAAUUUAACUAGCACUUUAAAAGACGUACUCUACUCAUUGUUGGUGCACUGCUGCCCAAAAGUCCAUCAUCAUCACUUAAAUGAAUUAAGAGAGAAAAUGUGAGAAGGGUUAAAGCGAAAGAAUCAGUCCCAACCAAGUAUAUGGAAAACCAUUGGAAAAACACCAAGGUAAGCAUGCUAGCAACUUAUUUAUUAUUUCUUUGGUGCAUGGAAAAUGUAUUUGAAUGUAUUAUCGAGAAGUCAUUACAUGAAGUUGUUAGACAAAUUCAACAGCAAAAACCAUGUUAAUCAUGUCCUAAAACCAGCAAAAACAUGUUGGAAUUUAUGUCAUAAAACUCAUAGUUUGUAUUCAAAAUUCUGUUCAAUAAAAUCGUCUCAUUGAUACUAUAAUCUGAAAGCCAAUAAACUAAUGUUUCGAGGCUAUUAUGUAGACUUGAACUUUAUGUACAGACAUAAAAGUGGAUCAAGUUUGAGUCGUAGCCUAAAUGAUCUAUAGUAUAUGGAUAAGGUUAGGCGCCUUUUUCGAGAGAUACUAUUGAUGCGGUCUACUAUGUAGUUAGUACAAACGAUGUGAUCCUAAAUCGUUCAUGUAGAGACAUGGAAGUGGGGCAUCCUAUGUAAAUAGUUUACAUAAGACUGGAACCGUGAGAUAAUCGCUUUUAAGUUAUAUCACUGUUAACUUUAUGUAAAAGUGACUAUUUCGUUUAUAGAUAUCCAAUGUAACUUAAUCUUAAUCUUGAGCUAACUAUGAACUUUUUCUCACACGAAAUUAUCCUUAGAUCUGCAUAGGUGAGGGCAGCUCAAUGGCGCUGGCCCAAUAAGCCUCCCAUUUCAAGGGUAAGAUCAGGUGGAUAGCUAGGGACAUAGGGUGUAAGAUGAAAUUCACUCCUACCCACUCUAGGGUUAGUAUAUAGGUUUUUUCCUUAAGGACUGAAUCCAGGUCUUGAACAAGGGGCCCCACCCUCUCAUUGGCCCUAGAGGGAUUCAGUUUAAAGGUUGGACCUUAAACCAAUUGUUCAACAGUGGAUCAGUGAGAUUUAAGAAGAAAAGAUAUAAUCUCGGGGGUAAAACGGUACUUUGACCCAGCCGAGAUUAUAGACAACCUGUGAAGGAUUAACUUACUUAUCAUGGAAAUAUCACAUGGACACAAAUAUAUCUAUAGUGAGGGUAGUGCAACUACGAGACUUUAGUGGAAUGACUCGUUAGUUAACGAAGGUUGAUUAACUCGGUCUAAAAAGUUCAGCUAGUUAAUCUUGAAUCGUUGGAGCCCAUGAUCUAUAGGUCUAUCAGGUUCCCCCGCUAGCUCAUAAGGAAUCAACUUAGAACAUUAUGAUGGAAUAAUUCGAAUUGUUCGAAUUAGGUAAAGAGAGAGAAACCGACAAAUAUAUCUAAUAUAUUCAUCGGUUACAACUUAAGAUAGAUCUUCAUGUUUAAAUGUGAUUUAAAUAUGAAUAUGGAUGAGUUUGGAAGCUCGAAAUUGAUGAAAAAGGUCAAAGAAGUAAAAAGUCAAAAUGUUGAAUUUUGACUUUGAAAAAUCAAACUUUGACUGACUUUAUAUUCAAAUGUGAUUUGAAUUUUGGAGAAAUGAAUACGGAUUCAUGUUUGGGAGGCUGAAAUUAGUCGAGACGGACAAAAUGGAAAAUGACAUAACUCAUUUAUUUAUAAUUUUUUAAUUCUCACAAAUAUUAUGUGAGCUCAUGAUUAGUUAAUUCAGUUUUGUUGGUUUUAUGCCUCAUCAAUUAGGAUUAGAAUUUGAGUUUUUAGCCAUUUGUCCGAUUGAAAUUCAAACAACUUACGUUGGUAUUUUCUUUCUUGUUUUAAUAUUUCAAGUUUACAUAGAUAUAAUUUUAAACGGAUUGAUAUGAUAUCCAAAUCAUAUAAUAUUUGCCAAAACAAACUUAACUAGUUAGCAUACUAAUAUAUGUCAAUCUAAAAUUUUAUAUUAUAAGGCGUACCUGUGUAUAAGUUUAAAAUUUUAAUCCAUAUAGUUCUCAAACUUUGAGUAAUAUACUUAUCAAUCAGAUCUCAAGUUAUGUAGCUAAUAAUUUGCAUCAUACAUGUUCUAUUUCACAAAGUUAAUGUAAUUAUUAGUUACAAAUUUUAAAUUUUAAGAUUUGUCUAAUACAAUGAUUAGUUUUUCAAACAAUUUUUAUAUUAUGAAAAUUUUAAAUUCUACAUUGAAAGAGAUAUAUCUAACAUGCUUAUUAGAGUAAAAAUUUAAAUAUUUUAAAUAUCUAUUUGUCCUAAUUUAAAAUACUAGGAUUAAACUGGUACUAAAUUGUAGGAGUGAGUAUGAUAGACUAAAAAACUAAGUCAAUCGACCAAUUUAUCGAAGUUGGUCGAUCGAAGUUGAUUUCGAAAAGUUUCAAAUCAAGAAUUUCUAAAAAGUAUUUUCAAAUAUUAAACUAAUCCGUCAAAAAUCGACCGACCUCUACUCAUCGAAGUCGAGGUCAGUUUGACACUUUACUAAACAAACUAUGGUCGAUUUAGGGUAGUUUUUUUUUCUUUCAAAAACCGUCUUCCACCAACUAAUAAUCAACCUUACUAAAUUGAAUAUAAUUUUAAAAUAUUGAUACAGUACAUAAUAAACAAAUUAUUUUAUCACCUAACAAAUAGAGCAAAUACUUGUUUUAAAUCAAAGUGAGGUCACUGACUUUAUAUUUAAACAGUACGGACAUUCAUUUAUAUAUUUUAUAAAAAAAACACAAUAUACAGUUGAGGUAAGGUGGGCACGUGCCACUUCCUCUUCUUAGAUUCCCCUGUUUUAAUGGUCUAAUAUGCUUCAAAAAAACACAUUUACAAUUUUUGUUAUGUAAAAUAAACUAAUGUUGCUAUUUUUUUCUUUUUAAAUAUAUAUAUUAUAUAUAGAACAUAUAUAGUAUUGAAUUUUAUGUCCUAAAAUUCGUAGAUAAUAUAUGUCAUUUGUUGACCGUCAUUAAUAAAAUGUUAUUUUUUUAAUUUCAAUAAAGUGUUAUUGAUUAUUAGUUUUGUUUUAAUAAUCUAAAUGUAAUCAACUUAAGGGACACAAGUUUCCAUAGUUACAAUUUUAAACACACCAAUAUGAUAUUUAUAUCACAUAAUAUUUGCUAAAGCGAACUUAACUAGCUAGCAUACUAAUAGAUGUCAAUCUAAAAUUUUAUAUUAUGGGGCAUACUUGUAUAUAAAUUAAAAAUUUUAGUCCAUAAACUUCUAAAUUGAUGUCAUAUAUAGUUCUGAAACUUUGAAGCAUAUAUUAGAUCAAUGAGAUUGCAAUCUGCAUGUCUAAUAAUUUGUACCAUACAUGUUUUUUUUAUAAAAAUAUUGAAAUUGUUAGAAUCUUGAUUUGUAUGUAAAGAAAUACAAAAAUUAAUGUUCAAGAUACAACUUAAAAGGGUAUUUGAAAGAGGGAGAGGAUUAGAGGAGGAAAUGGUUAUUUAACCCAAUCCAUGUUUGGGGGAAAUGUAAGGUUAGGGUUUCUAAUCCCAUUUUGGCUUCUUCUCAACCCAGGUUCACUCUCUCACUUUCCCUUCUUAUUCCUUUCUCCACCCGUCCUAGCCCCCUAAAUUUCUCUUCUAAAUUUAUCCCGACUCCCCGAAAGUACUCUUUCCUCGUCAUUUUUUGCUUCAUCUUUCACUGGUCGAAGGUCAGUUUCUUUUUAACCGUUUUCAAAUGCUCUGUCUUGUCCUCCCCUUCCAAUAGUUGGUUUCAUUUUUAUGAACCCAACCAAUUUUUUCCCUAAACGCAUAUUUGGGAUAUCAAAGGAGCGUUUCGUUGAUGGAAGCCUUCGAACGUGUUGCCUUCGAAAUGCUUCACCAUCCAUCUUAUUUUGGGUUUUGCUGACUGACUUCUGUUGCGAUGAUUGAAGCCUCUGAACCCUUACCAUGACCCACUUGUAUGGCUGCUCGGACAACCCCUUCACAAGCAAAUUUCCCUUUGUCGCUCGCCCUUUCCAUUGUCGAUUGAGGUUGCCUAUUAGUGAUAAAAAUAGAUACUACAUCCGUUUGGUAGUGUUUGAGCCGAACACGGUAGAGAAGGAGGUGAGUUUUUCUUUAUAGUUUUCCAUUGUUGAUGAUGAGGUCCCCACUUUUUUCUUUUUUUUUUGAUUCAUUAUCAUUAUUUUACCAACAUAUAUUUUUUUAAUUGGUGUGAAUUUGUAUUUUGCUAUUUUUUUCAUGUUUGAUUUAGCUGUCUAUAUUCUAUUUGCCCACUCAUAGCUUAGCCAUUACUUCUAGUAUGUGUAUGUUGUGAAUAUUUGUGCACUUUCCAUUGCAGUAUACUUCAAUAUAUUUUUUCCCUAGCUAGCCUUCGAUGUUUCAUUCCCUUCAUCUAUGUAAAUACACACCAUGUGCAUUGUGUGGCAGGUAUACUGCAUUUAACUUUGACAAAAUUUUCUAGUUAUCUAACUUUUCUUUUUCCAUAUGUUAUGUGUUGGCUUUUCCAUUAUCAUCAGUCUAUGCUCAAAUUUGGUUGUUUAGGGGUCUUCAAUGCAUCAUUACUUCUUACAUUUCCCAGCCAUAUAUACUUGUUAUGCCAUUAUGCCUUAUGUGUGUUUUCUCCUCGGUUCAUCUUCAUAGAAACUCUUGAUUACUCAAUUCUUUGGUAUGUAUAUGCAUAAAUGUGGUUUGUGUUCCAUUGUGUGUUUGGUCUUCACAAUCUACUUAUGUACUUGUCAUUGAUUGAAGUUGUGAUCCAUGUUAGGCCACUUGUUGUUUAUUUACAUGCAUUUUCAUGUCACCAAUUCCAUACUACCCGCCUUUUUCCAUUAUUGUUCUCCAUUCCAAUAACUUUUAUUUCUCCACAUUUUCGACUAUUGCAUAUUUGAAGCCCUUGGUCCAUUGUUUAUGUUCAUUUUCAUGCCUUUCAUAGCACCACAUUUGCUACUACUAUAUUUUUUAGCAUUUUUUCCAUAUUUUUUGUUCAUGUGUACGUCUUUCUUAUCAUCUAGCAUUGCAUAUUGCAUAUGUGGUGCUAUGAAAUGUCUUCACAUUUGUUCCACUCCAUGAAAUUCGAUUUCAAAUUUUGUGCACCUUUUUUUUCCUCCAUCCACCAAGUACGUAGGAAUAUGUAUUAAAAUAAUGUGUUUUUCCAAACUUAUUAGAUAAAUAAUGCUGAUUGGAAACUAAUUACAAAAAUAAUGCAGUUUUGGAAGAGAGAAGGUCGAGCAUUGAACUUUGACCUUUAUUUAAAAAAAAAGGAAGGGGGUGAGUUUUGAGUCUUCAAGACUUGCCCUAAUUAAAUAUAUAUAUAUAUAUUCGAGUCAUUUUGCGCAAUAGCAGGAAAAACAUGUAUGGUCAAAUCACUUCUUUCCCAUGAAGCUUUUCUGUGGGUAGGUUGAGUAUUUAAAGCUCCACUUAAUUAUAUAUAUAUAUUUAUAUUAUGGCCAUUAUGCGUAACGACAAGAAGAGUAGACAUUCAUGCAUGGUCAAAUCGUUUUUUUCUUGUGAAGAAGGGCGAGUACUCUCUCUUCUCUUUUAUAUCCUUCCUCUUCAUUCUCAUCUUACCUCUUGGCCAUUCUUCUCCCAUUCAGAUCAUCUUUCACAAAAUACUCUCAGCUCUUCUUCUUUAAUUCCCAUCUUUCACAAAUCCUCUCAUCCUUCAAAUUACCUCUCAAUUUUCCUUCCCAUUUUCCCUCCAAUCCCCAUCAUAUUUUCAUCCUUAAUAUUUAAAUCAGGACGUUGGCUGCUCCUCGUUGCAAUCAGUCUCAAUAGCUUGGCAACUCAACUGGAGAAUUGAAAAAUGAUUAAGAGAGUCGAGUUGUUACAUUUUUACCUUUUAUUCUUAUUUUAUUAUGAUUUUUUGUUUUUUUUAUUUGAUUCAUAUCGAGUGUUCGUAUUUUUUUAUUGGUACAUUUUUUAAAUAUGUCAUCAUGCAUUUUACACACACUCACAAGUCCUCUACUCAGGCUACAACUUUAUAGUAUUAGGAUUGAGGAAUGAGUAGUGUUAACCUUCAAGAGAUUUCGACUUCCGUGUAGGCACAAGAAAAAUGUUCGUUCAGAUUAAUUCUUUUGUUAUUUCUUAAAUUAACAUUAGAACAAGUUUGAGGGUCUUUCCCUUCUAGAAGUUUAGAUGAUACAAGACCGUAACAUUUUCUAUUUGGCAUAUUUUAUCUAAAAGUCAAACGGUCAAAAUUAUUAUUGUUUUUUUUUAAACAAAGUUACAUGUUUCUAAAAUUUGAAAUCAUACCAUAUUUCCUUUAUUUUUUUAAAAAAAAGGGGUUAAAUCACAAUAUUUUUUACAUUAUUUUUUUUAAGGAAAGUUUGAUUUUAGUUAUUAUUUAUCUUAGUUUCCUUGAAAUUGGUUCUUUGGCUUCGAUCAUAUAUAGUUAGGGUAGUAUUUACCUUGUAGAAGCACGUGAAAACGGUAACAUCCCAAAACUAUUAAGAUAAUUUUUAAUUUUAUUUUGUUGAAAUUGGGUAUUAAUUGAGAUUUGAUGUUAGAUGAGUUAAGUAUUUAAGGAAGAAUUGUUAAUUAUUUGAGAGUUUUGGUUAUUAGUUGUUAAUUAUGCAAUUAAUUUUCGAAAGAGAAAAAAAAAAAUAUUUAAGGAUAAUAUAAUUAUUAAAAUGUUAUAUCGUGAUUUUGGUGGAAUAAAAAGAGGAAAAGUUGUUUUAAUGGGUAAUUAAGGUGGAGUGAGCUUUAUUUCGAAACGUAAAAAGUGAAAGAAAAAUUAAUUAAAAGAUAUAAUAAUGAUAUUUAUUAUUAUCAUUAUUAAUAAUAUUAUCAUUAUUAAAUAAGCCUUCUCUCGUUUUACGUGCAUCAUCUUCUCCACCACAUUGAUUCUCCUUCACCAUUCAACCUUAGUCGCCGCCGCAUUGUGCGUCAGGUCACCACCGUUGCGCAAUCAUCGUCGGGGACACAACUCGCAGCCAGUCAUCACUCGUUAGUCGAGAUCUACUCGUUGGUUGCCAAAUCGAGCAUCUCUCAUUGUCUUCAUAAUCACUUGAAACCGGCUGCCCCUCCUUCGUCGAAAUUGUCGUCGGCCGUAACCCUCUCCUCCGUCGAAACCAUCAUGGGUCGUAGCCUCCACUUGCACAGUGUCGCUGGCCAUCGUUGCGCUUGACGGUCAAGGACGCAAGCCGAGCUGGUCUUCUUUUCGCAAGCCAUACGUCCAAGUUGCGUUAGUCUGAGUCGCGUGAUCCACGAUCUCUUGCACGAGUCGUCUUUGUUUUUCUGAGCCGCGCGCCCGAGCCGACUACCCUGCCGAGCUGUUCCCUGUUUUAGAGUCACUUUUAGUGAGUUUUGCUUAGUAUUGAUUGAGUUUGCUACCCCCAUUAAUUACUUAUUUUGUCCCAAAUGAAUUAAGUUAUGGAUUUAAGUGGAUCUAUGUUUGCUUGAAGGAUAAGUAUAAUCGAAGGAAUUGAGGCUGUGAAUUUUUUCAUUUAAGGUUAUGUUGGAUUCAACUUUAAUCUUGGGGUAAGUUUGGAUAAGCUUGGUUGCUUAGUUAAACAAUAGGGUGAUGAUUGACAAAAAAAUUUAAUUUUAAUUUUGUUUGUGUUUAGAACUGAGUCUUGGAAGGAGUUGACUGGCAACCAACAAAUUAUUAUCUUUAGCAAAUCUCCAGGUAAGAGAUUUUCCUAUUAGACCCCAUUUAGCAAAUCUCCAGAUAUUGGAUUUUCCUAUUAGACCCCAUUUUGGAAGCUGCAUGUAUGUUUUGUAUUAUUCAGUAGUGUAGCUAAGGGUGAUAAAAUAUGACUAUUUGACAUGCCCUUAUAAAGGGUUCGUUCGAUAAUCAGAUUAUAACUAAUGUAAGUACGAUUGAGGCAUACCAUGAUUAAAUAUGUUAUGUUUGAGUUAUGUUUAAUCGAGUUAUGAUAAUGAUGUUAUGAUUUAUAUGUAUAGGCUAUAGUGUUAUGUUAAGUCUAUCUGUUAGAGUCGUACCAUAUGGGCAUCCCUCGGGAUCACCACCUAUGAAUGCUUGUGUGGCUAGUUUUGAUGUAUGAUUUGAUGAGAUCACUUACAGCCUGACUCUCCUUUAGGGUGAUUCAGUCAGAUUCAUUGAGAGCCGAGAUGUGUCUCUACGGGACCACUGGAUAUCGGGCAUUCGAGAGCACAAUAGUAAGAGGUACUUUAUUAUAGGAUUCUAACGAGAUGUUAACAGACACAUAGCGGGAUUAAUAAUGUGUCCUUACUGGGUAUAAAUUUAUACUCAUUCUUUUACAUGUUUAAUUUCUACUGGUAAAGGUAAAGGUAACAAGUUGGCGAAUGACAAGAAGGGACCGUGGUUCACCGUAGGGAAUAGUUUCAGAUUUCUUCCACACUUACAAGUAAUUACAUUUUGGGCCUCAAACUAGUAUUUUAAUUAGCUAUUUUGAUUAUUUAAUUAAUUAUUUCAUUCUCUUUAUAUAUAUUUUACUAUUAUUUUAACUAAAUAUUUAAAAUGUUUAAUUAAAUUUUAGUAUUUUCUUAUUUUUAAAAAUAAAAAGUCUAUAUUUAUUUAAAUGGUAAUGAAUCCAACUUAGUAGGAGAGUUGGUCAUUUUCUUUACAUUUUCUCCAAUUAAAUAAUUUUUUAAAAAAAUAAUAAAAAGAGUAGUGUUUAAGUCGUAGAGGUACAACAAAAAUUUGGAGAUAGCAUAAACAAUUCUUCUCAAGUAUCAGUACUAUUUGAAAAGGUUUGAAAUAAUUUUGUAUUGCUUGCAUUUCUUAGUUGAUAAGAAUCGACAUUUAUACAAAUUACAAAUGAAUGAAUAUGGUAAGAAAUUAUAAUAGAAUCAAUUUACAAUAAAUGACAAAAUAAUAGGAGAAGAUUAUGGAUCUUGAAAUAUCUCUUAAUAUCCUCCUUCAAACUGAUGACUCAGGUUGAGUCAGUAGUUUGUCUCGAAGAUGAAGAAAUGUUGGAGACAACAGUGGCUUUGUAAGUAUCAGCAAGUUGAUUGGUGGAAGAUAUGUAACGAAUGGAGAUAUCUUUGCGAAGAACUUUUUUCCGAACAAAGUGGUAAUCAUUCUCAAUGUGUUUGGUUCGAGCAUGAAAUACUGGAUUAUGAGCUAGAGAUAUAGCGGAAACAUUAUCACACCAUAAUGUUGGUGAGGUCUUGAGAGGAACACAUAGAUCACAAAGAAGUUGUCGAAUCCAGUAAAGAUCGACAGUAGUAGUGGCAAGUGAGCGAUAUUUUGCUUCUGUGGAGGAAUAGGAUACUGUAGGUUGCUUUUUAGAAGACCAAGUAAUUGGAUUAGACCCAAGGAAGGCGAUGAAUCCAGAGGUGAAACGUCAAUCAGAAGUGUCACCUGCCCAAUCAGAGUAAAAAAAGGUCUGUAGAAAGAACAAACCUUUUUGAAAUUUUAUUCCAAGGGGUGAAGUACCUCGUAGAUAUUUGAGGAUGCGUUUAACUGCUGAGAAGUGAAUGACAAUUGGUUUGUGCAUAAAUUGACUAACACGGUUUACAAAGAACGCAAUAUAAGGACGAGUAAAUGUAAGGUAUUGCAAGAAACCAACUAGUUUGUGAUAGAGGGAUGAAUCAUUAAAGGGUGGAGCAGUUGUAUAAAGAUCAAGAGAAGUAGACAUGUGUGUGACACAAGAUUUUGCAGAGAUCAUUCCUGAUGUGUGAAGAAGGUCACUGAGGUAUUUCACCUGGUUAACAAAUAUGCCAUCAGUAGAGGAAUGAAUUUGAAGACCAAGAAAGUAUUUUAAGGGGCCAAGGUCAGAUAUUUGGAAUUCAAGGGCCAAUUGGUUUUUGAGAAGAGAGAUGUAUGAGGAGUCAGGACCAAUGACAAUGAUGUCAUCUACAUACAAAAGUAAGUAAGUGAGAAGAUUUGACUGGUCGAAUGAAUAACAAAGGUUCAACGGUAGAGGCAACAAAAUCCAAAGUAAAUAAAUAAGAUGUAAAGCGUUCAAACCAAGUGCGGGGGGCUUGUUUGAGACCAUAAAGACUCUUGUGUAGGAGAUACACGUGAUUUGGAUGUGUUUUAUCCUGAAAACCAGUAGGUUGAGACAUGUACAUAGUUUCUUGGAGAAUGCCAUGAAGAAAGGCAUUUUUUACAUCUAAUUGGGUUAAGGAUCAAUUGUAUUGAGCAACAAGAGCAAGAAUUCUGCGUAUGGUAGGUUUCUUAACAACAUGAUUAAAUGUUUCAUCAAAAUCAAAACCUUGUACCUGGUGAUAACCUUUUACAACUAGUCUUGCUUUGUGACGAGCAACAGAGCCAUCAGGAUUAUAUUUUGUUCUAAAAACCCAUUUACAACCAACAACAUUCAUAGAUGGAAGUUGAGGUACUAAGGACCAAGUACCUUGUGCUUGAAGAGCAUUGAAUUCCUCACACAUCGCAGUUUGCCAUUCGAGAUACUUUGAGUCUUCUGUGUAUGAUGUGGGAGUCAAGAGAGCAGAUGUGAUGUGAAAAGCCUUUGGCUUAAAAAUACCUGAUUUUGCUCAAGUUUGCAUAGCAUGAGUGUUUCGAGGAGGAGAUGAAACAUGUAAGGUGGUUCGGCAACAUUUAAUUCAUUUCCUGUAUCGACUAUAGAUGAAAUAUUCAAAGACUGAUCAUUGACAUUAAUAUCCAUAAAAGAUGAGUGAGUAAUGUCAACAACGGGAGGGUGAGGAGGUGGGGUUUGGAUAUUGAGAAUGGAGAUAGAAUUUGAGGGUGUAUGAUGUGGAAUGUUUACUAAGGUAAGUAAUAGGCUUGGAUCAGAAUUAGAUAGAUGUUGAGAUGGGGAAGAGGUGGUGGAAUUUGCAUAAGUAAAGAUGUUUUCAUAAAAGAUGAUGUGUCGGGAAACUAUGGUUUGUUUGGUUAAUGGGUUGUAACAAAUAUAGCCUUUGAAAUUGUGAGGAUAGCCUAAAAAUAUGUGUUGUGUGGUUUUGGGUUCAAGUUUGUGUUUGGUGUAAGACUUGAGAAGGGGAUAACAUGCACAUUCAAAAACUUUUAAAUGAUGCAAAUCAAAAGUAUAACCAAAAAGCAUUUCAAAUGGUGAUGACAUUAUAAGUGAGGAAGAAGACAUUCAAUUAAUAAGAAAAAGUGCAGUAGAGAAAGCAUAAGGCCAAAAUUCAAGAGGAAUAGAUGAAUGAAAAAUUAGAGGCAUUGCAGUUUCAACGAUGUGACGAUGUUUACGUUCGGCGACACCGUUUUUUUUUAGGAGUAUAAGGACAUGAUUUUUGGUGAGAAAUACCUUUGGAAUCAAAAAAGGAUUGUAAGAUAGUGUUGCAAAAUUCACCACCAUUAUCUGAUCGAAAGUUUUUCAUUUUUUGAGAUAUUCGAUUUUCAAUAAAGGGAACAAAUUUUUGAAUAAUAGAUGAAACAUCAGAUUUGUAAGCAAUAGGAAAGAGCCAAGUAAAUUUGCUAAAAUUGUCAAUAAAACUAACAUAAUAUCGAUUUUCAUUAGAAGAAAUUAUUGGAGAGGGUCCCUAUACAUUGCUAUGAAUAAGAUCAAGUGGUGUAAGAGAAGUUGAUAAAGACAUUGGAAAAGGUAAUUUUGUCAUGUUUGCUUUUAAACAACUAAUGCAAUUGCAAGUAGAAAUGGAAGAGCACAUAGAUAGACCAAUGCGAGAUAAAAUAGAAUUAAGGAUUUUUGAAGCAAGAUGACCAAAACGAAAAUGCCAUAAUGACUAAUCUUCCUGUUUUGCAUGGAAAUUAAAAGAUUUGGAAUGCAUGGUAGGUGUGGAUAAAGUAGAAGUACUGGGAAUAGGAUAGAGACCAUUGAUGCUUUCACCAAUAUAGAGAGUUCGGCUAGUGACUUUUUCCUGAAAGAGGAACCAAUCAGUAUCAAAAAUAAAAAUACAGAAAGUUUAGGAGUGUGGAGUAUUUUGGAGAGAUUGAAGGUAUGAGAGAGAGUUGAGAGUUUACCACUGUUGGUAUUUUUAAUAUGUAAAGGUUGACCAUUACCCAUGUGAUAGUUUCCUCACCAUUAUAAUUGUUGGACAGGUUGAGAUUUGCCAACUCAUUUGUCAUAUGAAAAUUGCAUCCACCGUUAGAUAACAAAAAAUUAUUAGUAUUUUCAUCAAAGGUUUGAGAAUGCAUAGAAUUUAUCGCCAUUGCUGAUAAUUGAGAGGGUGGAUGUCAGCCUUGAUAAGAGAAAUUCAUAUGAUUAUAGCAAUCGAAAGCCACACAUCCUGGAUUUUGACACAUUUGACAAAAAAACAUGGCCAUUAGAUCCAAAAUUUGUUUCAGGCCCAAAAUUGGGUCCAUGUGAAGGAGAGGACCCAAUGAUGCCACGUUGGUUGGAAUGGAAUGGUCUGAAGUUGGAUGUUGGGCGAAAUGGGCCAUGGUUGUUAUUAGGCUGAAGUUGAUGAGUAUUUCCAUUUCCACGUGAUCCUAUAUUAAAAUUGGAGCGAGAUAAUUAGGAGGAUUUGGGGAAGAAUGAAAAUUAGGGUUACCGAUAGAAUGAGAACGUCGUCCUCCUCGUUCACGGCUGCUGCGAUGUUGAGAUGGUUGGAAUGCAACCAUGGCUGUGGGAAUGGCUUCAAUGGCUGAAGUUUUGGCCAUAGUUGAUUCCUCCAAAAUGAGUAGAGUGUGAAGUUCUUCAAGGGAGAUGGUGCUGUUGCGGGUUCGAAUUGAUGUACGAAAGGCAUUGAAGGCAGUGGGGAGCCCAUUUAGGGUGUGAACGGGAGUCUCUUCAUCUUCAAGAGAGACGGAUGUGGCGGCAAGUUUAUCGACAAGGGCUUUAAUACGAGAGGUAUAUUGUUUAAUGAUUUCAGAAGGAGUUUUUUUUAUGGUGUAGAGUGCUGACCUGAAAUCAAGAAUGUUAGAUCUGGUAUUGGAGAGUAGUGUUUCUCUAGAGACAACCACAGUUCUUUAGAGGAGACAGAGCCAACAACGUGGGCAAGGGCAAAAGAUGAUAAAGUGGCAUUUAUCAAGGUAAUAAGAGCUUUGUCACGGGAUAGCCAUUGGAGAUAUUCAGGGUUGAUUUCGGGAUUAGUGCCAACUAUUGACGAUGAUAAAUUUUAUGGAGGACAGGGAAGGGAAUCAUCAAUGUGUCCAAAGAGGGAAUGGGCUUUGAGAAUGGAGGAAACUUGAUAUUUCCAUAAAACAUAAUUUUUAAAGUCUAGUUGGAUAGGUACAAGAUUGCAGAUGUUGGAUAGCAAGAAAAGAGUAGAGGUGGGAACAUAUGGAUUUGGUGAGGAUUCGAGGACAGGAUUGGAAGAUUCAAUAGGAUCAGAUUGUGAGCUAGGAGUGGCCAUUGAAAUGAUAUAUGAGGUAUGUAAAUUAAUUUAGGGAAGGCUCUAAUACCAUGAAAAGGUUUGAAAUAAUUCUGUAUUGCUUGCAUUUCUCAUUUGAUAAGAAUCAACAUUUAUACAAAUUACAAAUGAAUGAAUAUGGUAAAAAAUUAUAGUAGAUUCAAUUUACAAUAAAUGACAAAAUAAUAGGAGAAGGUUAUGGAUCUUGAAAUAUCUCUUAAUAUAAUAAGAGAAGAUUAUGGAUCUUGAAAUAUCUCCUAAUACUAUCUAGGUGCCAUCUCUCUUUUACAUAAAAUGAUUUAGUGAAACUAAAGAUGAUUUGGGGGCAUUGACACCUCAACGAAGAUUUAUGUUUUCGAAGAAGUAUGGACAUAUAGGAGUUGAUGUACAUACCAGUGAAUUAUUUUGCCUUUAAGAGCCAUAAUUAAUUUUUGGGAUCUUAAGAGCCAUAAUUAAUUUUUGGGAUCCAGCGUAUGGUUAUUUCACGUUUGGGUUGUGUGAUUUAUUGCCAACCAUGUAAGAAUAUCAAGCUAUGCUUAGCAUGCUUGAAAAAGAAAGUGAAAUUGUUUAUUUCUUUAACUCUAAGCAAACAACAAAAACUUAUAGAAAUCGUCCAUUCCACAAGAAUUCAAAAGCAUAUAAAAGUUAAGGGUGGAGAAGAGAAUGUGCUAUUUGAAUAUCUAAUAAAGAUGACACAAACUUAAAUGAAGACAGAAGUCUUACUCUCUUGGUGUUGUGCAUUUAUGGAGUGAUGAUUUUUCCUAAGGCAGUGGGUUCUGUUAUUGGGAAAGUGAUCAUAUUAUUUCUUGGAAUAGAAUGAGGAGUCGAUCCUAUUAUACAUAUAUUGGUUGAAACUUUUCGAUCCCUUAACUAUUGUAGAAAUAAAGGGGAAGGAAAAUUGAAUUGUUGUGUUUCUUUAUUAUAUAUUGGGAUACACAUCAUAUCAAAUUUUCGGUAGAGCUUAGGUGUCCAAGGUUAGAUUUUAGUAGCCCAUGGAACUUAAUACGAAACACAGUUAGUGAGUUUGGUAUGACAGUUUGGGACCCAACAUAUCCAAGGAAGGAGACUUGGGUGUCUUUCUUUGCAAGAAUGAGUUUUGAAAAUGUCAUAUGGAAGGCUCAAUGGAUGCCUUUGAAGGCGGUAAUUUAUGGAUGUAGAAAUUUUCAUAGUAUGCCUUUGUUGGGAUCAUGAAGAUGUGUUAACCAUACACCAUUGUUAGUUUUGCAUCUGAUGUGGCUCAAACAGUUUAUACCAUCAACUCAUAAUCUACAAGACUCUGACUUUUCAUACGAUCUUGAAGAUUGUUAAGGAAGAAAGCAUUAAGUAGUAUGUGCAUGAAAGUGGAUGCGAGGCAUGACAGGAAAACAAAAGGAAGAAUGUAAUAGAUACCUUAAGAGAGGUAGUUGAAACGAUAGAAGAGACAAGCUUUGAACAACCAAAUUAGUGGGUUGAGAAGAGCAUAAAAUUAGAAGCGAAAAAUCGACUGUUAGAGCAAGAAAAUGAGAAACUUCGUAAAGAAACAAAUCAAUGGAUGGAUCAUGUGACUUUUUUGCAAAAUGUGCUAAAAAAGCCCCAGAGUUUCUAAGAAAUCAAGAUAAGUUAAGAAACACUCUUGAGGUGUUAGAUAAAGAGAUGAGACGAAUGAAUAAAGCAAAUAGAAGCUUGAAAAAUGAAAAGACAACAUUACAGGCUAUAGUAAAGUCAAAAAAUGAAUAUAUUAAAGAUUUAGAAAAUGAAAGGAAUAUUUUCUCAAGCUUCUCAAUGAUUUGAAUACAUCAAUUGGAUAACGAAAAGCACAUAUAGUGGAGUUGGAAGCACAUAAUCAUUCUCUAUGUUAAACUCUUGAUAGCCUACACUUGAAGGUGGUUGAGAACUAUGAAGAGUAUGAGAUACUAAAGAAUUAUGUUGAUUUCUUACACUAUUACCUUACUGCAUUUCAAAAUUCAAGUGAGAGGAUAGUGCAAGAAUAUGAGUUAUUGAAGACAGAUUACAUGCAAAUGAAGGUUGAUUAUGAUUUGCAAAUGGGAGAUUUCCAGGUGCUAGUGGAAUGUGUAGAUCAGACGAUUGAAUUUCUCAGAAUAGUGUCUAGAAGUGCAAAUGAUUUUGUAGAAUGGAUAGUUGAUUUAAGGGUUAAUUUUUUUUUCAAUGCAACCUCAUGCAUAUGAUCUAAAUAGAUUCUUGAAGAUGAUAUGCAAAGAAAUUGAACAUUUUUGUAAGCCCUCGUUCUUUUCUCCUUUUAUUUAUUUUAAUAUUUUCAAAGGUGUGAAGAACAAGUUUAAAUCUAUUUGUAAAUUUACUUAUGUAUUGAAUAUGUUUGUUGGAAAAAGUUUAGAAUCAAUUUUAUUUUGGCAAUGACUAUGAAACUUUAUAAGUGAUAGGAAAACUAAGAUUUUGGCCAAAGUUGAAGUUUUGCUUUUGAGUUGAGGGCAUAAAUGUCCUUUUCUAUUAUCUAAAUAAAAAGGAAGGAAAAGAAAAGAAAAAGAUCUCAACUCUCUCCUUGAAAAUCAUUCGAAAAACAUCAGCCACACCUCUCUUCAUUUGCGAUUCUUCUUCUUCUCUUCCUCUCCUCCAACCAACGCCACCACCUAGCCAUUCUUACGCCAUUCAACUUAUUGGACGAUGAACGACACAUCGACACUUCCAUCUCCCUCGUACUUCGACCACGACGCAUGGCGACAACGCAACUCGUCAACGCCGAUAUUGACAACCAGCUAAACGCACUGCUGCCAGUCAUAUACGGUCGUUGUUAGCUAGGUUCCUCGAAGCCCUCACGAGUUGUUUGGGUUACAGAUCGACCAGUUGAGCCAAGUUUGCAUAAAGUCACCGUGCCGCUCCUCACGUCAUUAGCUUGUUAGAUUUGUUUUUUGUGGACAUAUUUGGGCCUUUGGGUGAGUUUAUGAGCUUUUCUCAAAGAGUUUCAAUUACCCAUUGAGUUUUGACUUGAUUUUUACAUUAUCAAUUACCUUUUGUUGUUAGAUUUAGAUUCUUGGGAGAUUUUAGCCAUUGUCCAGCCCUUAGGAAGCUCAAAUUUGAGUCUUUUCGCACAGCUUCCGUAAGAUUCAAACUUUUUGGAGUGGGUUUUGAAUACCCAUUUAAUUCUAGUAUUAACAUUGAAUAUCUUAUGAUGUUAGUGAAGGGAUAAAAGCCCUAUGACAGCGGAAGAAUUUAAAGAACCAUUAUUCAAAUUAAUUUGAAAAUAUUAAAAUACCAGUAUGUUGGCAAAAUUUUAGAAACAAAAUUCUAAAUAAAUUCUAAGCAUGCUUUUAAAGAUAAGAUACAAGAACUUACUUUCGAUGACGUCUCUUAAUUUACAAAUCAAUCUCCAAAUUGGGACACCACCUGUUGGAGACUUUUCUAUCCUCUAAGAUGAGAUUGGUUUGUGGGAACCAAUUGGGAUGGGAAGAGAUAUUUGAGGGAAACUCUUUUUGUAGAGAGAAAAGCUUUGACUUUUUUCUCUUAAUUAACUUGGCUAAAAAAAACUGUUUUCUUCUAGAUAUUUAUAGCUCUCUUUUCUUCUUGAAAUAGGAAAAGGAGUAGGAGAGAAUCAUGAGAUUUUUAAUAUCAAAUCUACUAAUUAAUUAACAAUUAAUCAAUUAGUUAAUAAUCAAUUAAAUCAUAUUUAAUUAAUAUUUCAUUCAAAUCUUUUUUGAACAAAUAUCUAUCCAAUAUUUUAUAGAUUUAUAUUAAUAUAAUUAAUUAAAUCAUAUUUAAUUAAUAUUUCAUUCAAAUCUUAUUGAAUGAAUAUCUUUUCAAUAUCUUAUAUAUUUAUAUUAAUAUAAUUAAUUAAAACAUAUUUAAUUAAUAUUUCCGCAAUAUCUUAUAAAUUUAAUUAAAUCAAAUUUAAUUAAAUGAACUAAAUUAUUAAUUAAUUCUCCAAUUAAUUAAUAGCUAAAUUAAAUAUCGUAUAUUUAAUUUAAUUAAAUUUGAAUCAUAUUCAAAUAUAAGUUUCUCUCGUAACCAAUAAUUUUGAAAUGAAUCAAAUUCACAUUAAAUUAAUAUUUGAACUUAUUCAAAUAUUUUAUCUCUCAUAAAUUAAUUUUGAAUCGUAUCCAAAAUUAAAUUAAUAUAAUAAAGUUUCACAAACUUUAUAUUAUAAUGUAUCAGUAUACAUUAAACUAAUUCUCUAAGUAAAUUUGAACAUUUCAAAUUACAACCAAUAUAAAUAAAUCUCAUUACCCUUUACGAGCUAGGAAGGGGACCUAAUGGACCUACAGAUCAGAAGCUACAACGAUCUGAGAUUAAUUGGUUAAACUUAUUAAUUACAUGAAUCAAUAUUCGUUAACUGUGUGUACACUCCACUAAAGACUCAUAGCUGAACUUUUCUCACUGUAAAUAUAUUUCUGUGUCCACGGAUAUAGACCAAUAACAGUAAGUUGGUCCUUCACGAGUGUUCGUAACACCACUUGGGUUUACCUUUAAUACUUAAAUAUCAGUGCUCCUCCAAUGAACAACCUAUUUAUAGUUCUACCAAUAAUCAGAAACCCUCUCGUGCCAUAGAGAGGGUAGGAUCCUUUGUUCAAGAUUUGGAGACACCAUUUAAGGGAACACUAAUCUACUUACCCUAAAGUAGGGAAGGAGUGAAUUUCAUCUUGUGUAAUUAUGUUCCCAACUCUCCACUCGGUCUUGUCUGCAAAAUGAUAAGCUUAUUGAGUCAGCGAUCUGGCCACUCUCACCCGUACAAAUCAAAGGACAAUCCCUCGCGAACAAAAGUUCAUAACACACUUAGGAUUAAGACUAAGUUACGUAGGUCAUCCUAGUGAAAUAGAAACCUAACUAUUUAACAGAGUUACAUAUAUUGAUUAUUAUUUCGCGAUCCGGUCUUAUAAAAACUCAUUGUAUAGGAUACCCUCACUCGCAUGUCAAUUACACGAACGCGAUUGAUCAUUGCGUUUGUAUCAAAUACAAAGUGAGACAUAUCAAUAGUGUUACUAGGAUAAGGUACCUAACCUUAUUCCUAUACUAUAGACCCUUUAAACUGAUCUUGAACAUUGAUCCCUGUACGUCUAUACAUACUGUUCCAGACUCAUUAAACAACUUAGGAUGUUAUUUUAUUGGAUUUGAGUUAUUAAGACAAAACUAAUAAUUUAAUCAAUAACAAUUAUUACAAUAAUAACACUUUAUUAAUAACGGUCAAUGAAUUAUAUUUAUAAACUACGAGCUUUAGGACAUAAAUUCCAACAGUUAGUAGCUAGAUUUCGAAUUUAGAAGGUAGUUAGGGUGUUGUUUGUUGAAGUUGGUGUUUUAUUAAGUUCUGGGUAAGGUUUGGAAUAGUUUUCACAAACCAUUGCUGAUUUUUAUUUUGGUUUGAAUUACACAGAAAUAAUUAAAAUGUAAGGUUAGAUUUGUUUGGAAGUUAACUCAAUUUCUAACGAGUUUCGUGAAGCUAAUAAAGAUUGAGAAAAUUCUGAGGCUAAGUGAAUGAUUUAUGAAGUAGAAAACAUGUCAUAGAUUUUUCACGUAAUUUUGAGAAGCCUCUGGAUUUUCGAGUAUUCUAGAGUGUACAGAUGGAACUAAAAGCCCUACUAGAUAUGGUUGGAAAGCUUAUUCAAUUUUCUAUAACUUUUAUGAAGCACUCGUUAGCCAAUUCUGACUGGAAAUAUGUUUAAAUUUAGGAGGAAAAUAGAAUAUUGCAGAGAACGUGAUUUUGAAGUUCUUAUUUUUCGGGCAAUUUAUGUAAGUCGUAGAGGAUUUCAAAUUGAAGAUUUUGAUAUAUAGUACAUAAUUAUUUAUUAAGUAUUGAAAAAGUUAUGAGUAGUUGAAGUUAGCCUAUUGAAGAUGGAAAUUUCUGGAAAAGUAUGGAAUAAAAGACCCAUGGAGCUUGAACUAAGUUGGAUGCCCAUUGGGUUAAGUAUUGAGAUUUCGAGUCUAAGCCGUAUGUAAAAAGUUUAGUCUAAUCCUAAGCGCUUUGAAAAAACCAUAGACCUUAGAGGUAUAAAAUGGAUUUAGGUGGCCUUAUGAGGUAUUUUGCAAAUAGUUGUAGCCUCGUCUUAUGUGAAGACAAUGAUGAAAUCUUAAUCUAUGUUUCAGGUCAAAUUGAAAUGAAAAAGUGUAUAAUCUUGGGGGAUCAAGUUAUUAAGAUGAGUGGUUUAUUUUCAAGUAUCUUUAUUAUAAAUUGAUAUUUGUUAUUAUGCCAUGAUUGUGAAAACUUUAUGAACUAUGCGCUAGAAAUGUUUUUUUAAAUAUGAUUUUUAGUUUCCAUGAACUCUUAUAUUCUCAAGCAUGGUUGAAACCGAAUUUAUUAAUUAUGAUUUAUAUGGUAAUUGGUUUAAAGAAUACUCGAUCUGUUAUUAAACGUGGAUGUUUUGAAUGAAAGGUUAUUCUUAAAAGAUGUAUCGAUCACUAAGGAUUGAAAAUGAUUUUAUAAAAUGUGUUUCUGGCCAUUUUUGGCUUUUAAACAUGAAAUAUAUAAGUCUAUGAAUGUUGGUGAUUUCCCUAUGGCUACGUGCAUGUAUUUUCGUAGCACCACCUAUGGUUAUCAGGUAGUUCCGAGACUGAAAGAGGUCGUGACCAGAGAUCCGAGAACCUGAGCCUAGGUGAGGGAGGAUAUGGAUUGAGGACCAUGAGGUGGCUUAAGGCCUAGUUUAACCCAUGGUGGAUAGCUCCAUGUGCACAUAGGAAUGGAUGGAUGUUACUGUGGUAGGUGCUAAGUAUGCGUAAGCUUCAUUUGGCCGCGUGUUUCCUUAUGGAUAUGGAUCACGUGUGAGCUAUUUCGAGCUGUGUAUUUGUUACGUUAUCGUGAUUGGAUUGGAUGGAGGUUGUUAUUGUGGUAGUUGCUAAGUAUGUGCAAGCUUCGUUUGGCUCUGCGUUUCCUUAUGGAUAUGGAUCACAUGUGAGCUGUUCCGGACCGUGUAUUUAGUAUGCUAUCAUGGUUGGAUUGGAUGGAGGUUACUAUCGUGGCGGGUACUAAAUAUGCAUGAGCUUGUUGUGGCGCAUGAUACUUUGAUCAUGUGCGAGCUAUUCUUGGUCGUAUAUUUAGUUACCUUGUCAUGGUCGGAUUGGCUACAAGUUUGUUGGUAUUACUUAUGAAUUAUGGCGAUAUAUAAUUUUAACAUUUUAACUAUCAUUUCGUUAUGGAUGACACUUUUAAAGAGUUUGAAAGUAUUGCUUUACGAGCUUUUACUUUUAAAAACUUGCCACUCACUGAGUUUUUAGCUCACGUUUUUAAAUGUUUUCUCCCCCUAAGUAGUGGUCAAGGACCAAGCUAUGGUUGAACUUCCCGUCAUACAUUGAUUGUGAACUCAUUGAAUAUAUAUACUAAGUUUAUUAUUACUUCAUGAGAUAGUUAGAUGUAGCGAAAGUGACGCUAAAGAAUUGUGUUUUGAGAGGUUCCUUGUUAGACUAUGAUUAUCGUGUAUGUAAUGUCUAGAUUGAAUUUUAACUCUGCUUGAAACUUUGGGAUAGUCUGGAUGUGUGUGUGGUGAGACACACCUUUUAUGUAGUUGAAGUCUAUUUAUAUACAUUUAGAAGUGGAAAUCUCUCCCUUUUCAGGUUUGGCUACCUGAAUUUUUAGGGGAGAUGUUGUCGAAAUUUUUGUAGAAUUUCUUAAUGUAAUUUCUAUAAAAUUUAAGUUAGAAAAUGUAAUUUUCAAAAGUGGUUUAUCAUGCCACAAUUUAGGUUAAAGAGGAAAACCUAGAUCGGUGUUUGAUAAUUUUGAUCAUUUUCAUUAGUUGUUUAUUUUGCUAUUAAUAACAAUGAGAGUGGUGUUCAUUACAUUUAGUUUAUUUCCAGUUUUAGUUUGAUUUUUAUUAUGUCAAGUUUAUAUUUUAUUUCUUUGGUUUUAUUAAUGUAUUUGAAUUCAUUAUAUAAUAAUAAAAAAAAUCUCUCUUUCUCCCUUUCUCUUGAUUUCAGAGUUUUUAAAAUCAUCAAAGGAAAAUAUAGCUCGUCCUACUCUAAUUUUCCAUCCUUACAAUAUGCGACAUAAAAAUUAAAUCGUGGAAGAAUAUGAUAAAGACGUUGAUAAAAUGAGACAAGAGAUUAAUAAUUUUUGGGAACAAGUUUAAAAAAAUAAUAGAAUUGCUUUCAACUGGAAAAGGAAAAGUUGUCGUAGAUACAACACAAUCAAGCAAUCCGAUUCAAGACACUGAUAAUCCUAUUUAUGCUUUAGGAUUUAUGUCGUACCACAUGAAUGUUCUGCAGUCUCAAACCACUAAACAUUAUGUUGCUAUGGAUUCACUCUUUGUUGUUUUACUUCCUCUCCCAGAUAUAAAACAAUUGGAAGCUCAGGCUAAAAUUCAAGACAUGAGGCAGACAAAAUGAAAGUAUUCCGGCUAAGCAAAAACUAAAUGUUUUGGAAGAAAGGUUGCGAGCAAUUGAAGGGACUGACAUUUAUGGAAAUAUAGAUGCAACAGAAUUGUGCUUGGUGCUAGGUUGGAUCAUUCCAACAAAGUUUAAAGUGCUCGAAUUUGAUAAAUAUGAUGGAUCAUCGUGUCCAAUGAGUCAUCUUAUGAUGUACUGUAGAAAGAUGGCAGCGCAUAUUGGUAAUGAUAAAUUGUUGAUCCAUUGCUUUCAGGAUAGCUUAAUUGGUCCAGCUACUCGAUCGUAUAUUCAAUUAGAUAAUGCACACAUUCAUGUUUGGAAGGACGUAGCUGAUGCAUUUCUAAAGCAAUACAAACAUAAUAUUGAUGUGGCUCCAGAUCGUUUAUACCUGUAAUGGAUGGAGAAGAAGAGUUUAGAAAGUUUCAAAGAAUAUGCUCAACGAUGGAGAGAUAUGUCCGUUGAGGUUCAGCCACCGUUAACGGACAAAGAAAUGACAUCUAUGUUUAUGAAUACUUUACGGGCCCCGUUCUAUGAUCGAAUGAUUGGUAACGCAACAACCAAUUUUCUGACAUUAUUGUUAUUGGAGAAAGAAUUGAAUAUGGGACAAAGCAUGGGAGGUUAGCAGAGGCUUCAAGUGAGUAUGGAGAGUUAAAGAAAGGAACAACAUGUAAGAAGAAAGGAAAGGUUUAUGCAAUUGGUUUCCUAAUUCAGGGAACCACAAAUAAAAUUUUUGGCCAAAGAAAACAUGAUCAUAAUUUUCUUUCAUAUAUAAGCAAAGUUUCUCAUAUCCCUUAUAACAACUAUGUACAAGCUCACACCUUCUUUAGAAUCCCAAACCUUGUUAACUCAAACUCUCCUCGUCCAUUUGUACAAGGUCAAGGUAGCAAGACCAACUCAGAUACAUGGUGAUUUGAUCAAAUUCUCAUGACUUAUAAAGAACUUUUACCUCAGUUAAUUCAAAAUUGAUAGUUGGCUCCUAUUCCAUUGAAUCCUAUAUAAUCUCCUUAUCCAAAAUGGUAUGAUUCAAAUGCUCGAUGUAAUUAUCAUGAUGGAGGAGCGGGACACUCAAUUGAAAAUUGUUUGGCUUCGAAAAGGAAGGUGCAAUCCUUAAAUUAAUGUUGGAUGGUUAAGCUUCAACAAGCUAGUAAGAAGCCAGAUGUCAACAACAAUCAACUGCUUAAGCAUGAAAAUUCAAAAGUGAACAUUGUGAAUUGCCUUGUUGAAAAGUGUAAAAAUGAAGUUCAUGAGAUGAUGAUGCCUUUGGAAGCACUUUUUAAAGAUAUUUUUGAAGCAGGAUAUGUUAGUUAUGAAUAUUUAGACUCCAAUAUAAGAUAUGAAGAGUAUGAUGAAAGCAAACAUUGUAUAUUCCAUCAAGGAGUUAUAGGUCACGUUGUCCAACAAUGCUGCAAAUUUAGAUCCAAAGUACAACCUAUGGAUUCAAAGAUACUUAUAGUACAGAGGACAAGGAAAAGAUGAGAUGAAAAACAAUAAAAUAUGUACAUUAAUGGAUGAAGUUUUAAAUAAAGAAGAUUCCUUUUUACCAAGGACUUUGAAAGUCUUUUAUCAAGAAAGUCGUAAUGAGUCAACUUUCUACAAUUCUACACUACUCACAAUCCAAGUACUGAGUCUUUUCAAAUUUAGGGAUCUGAAAAUAGUGCCAUCGUGGUAUGAUUGUCAAGUCAUUAUAGGUCAUUCAGUUGAUAAUACUACAGCAAUCAGCGGGAUAACUCGAAGUGGAAUAUGUUACAAAUUAGAUAAUUUAAUAACUCCUUCAGGUAGUUUGAUACUAGGACAAGAGAGAAAAAAUGAGAAAAGAAAUGUGAAUGAACAUUGCAAAGAGUAGGAUGUAGAGAUGUCUAUUAUAGCAAAAGAUGUAGAAUACAAGAAGCCUGUUACAGAUGAUGAAGCAAACAAAUUCUUGAAAAUAGUAAAACAAAGUGUGUAUAAGAUCACAGAGCAAAUGCAUCACACUUCAGCUCGAAUUUCUUUAUUAAGUUUUUUAAUUCAGAGCCUCAACAUAAAGGGCUAUUAGAUACUUUGAACAAGACACAUGUUAUACACGACAUUUCAGUGGAAAAGGUCAGCAAAAUUAUUAAAAACAUUACAUUUUCAAAUUUCAUAGUCUUCACGGAUGAUGAAAUUCCUCCUAAAGGUUUAAACCAUACAAAAGCACUCCAUAUUCAAGUGAAGUGCAAAGACUACGUGAUAGCAAGAGCUUUAGUGGAUAAUGGUUCAAUUCUUAAUAUAAUGCCUAAAUCUACACUAUUGACGCUUCCAGUGGACAUGCCACACAUAAAAUCAAGUAUUAUGGUUGUGAGAGUUUUCGAUGGGUCACGUAGAGAAGUAAUGGGUAACUUUGAAUUAACAAUCAAAAUUGGCUCAUGUACUUUCAAUAUAGUAUUUCGAGACAUGGAAAUAGCACAUCCUUACAGUUUUUUAUUAAGACAUCCUUGGAUUCACUCUGCAAGAGUGGUACCAUCCACGUUGCAUCAGAAAUUGAAAUUUAUUGUUGGGAGUAAGAUGAUUUUUUUAUGGGAAAGGAAGAUUUCUUGAUAACAAAAUCGAUAUCAACCACAUAUCGAUUUGAGGCAGUGGAGGAAGCAUUUGUGUUCUUUUCGCUCUUUCAAAAUGAUUCAUUCAACUAUGAUGGAAGCAGCUACAAAUAUAGUAGUAAAGUUGUCACACAAGCCUAAAGUUAAAGUUUAUGACCAUUGGGGAGAUGAAAGGUGAAAGAUAUUCUUUGAAUCAAAACUUAAAUACACUUUUAAACACAUCGAGCAAUGAUGGGGGAUUUGGUUUGAGCUAUAAGUCAUCCAUAUAUGAUAAGAUUAGGUUUCAAGAAGAAAAGAAGAAAAAACGUUUAGCAAAGCUAGAGAUGAGGGAGCUAGUUUGAUCUAAGUCUAAAAUUUAUACUUUCAAGACUCUGGGUGUAAGUUACUCAUCACAUGACUCUGAUUCAAAGGAUUGUCUAUUAAUGAAGAUGGAGCGUUUAUCAAUUGCAAUAAUGGGACAAGAAGCAUUAUGCAUUUGAGGGCGACACAGUUUAUGCAUGUCCACCUGAUUUCGAGCUUAACAAUUGAGAUAUUGUAGAUCUACCUACAUUUUCAAGAGAAUUUAAGGAGUAAUGAUUAAAAUUUUAUUUGUUAAAUUUAUUUAAUUUUCGAGUGGCUUUAUCCAAUAGGGGUGAAAUAAAGUUGGGUUGGGUUGUGAGACAUUCUCAACCCAGCCCAUAUUUUUGGGUUAUUUGAGUUGACAACCUGAAUAAUCUGAAUUUAGUUUUUAACCCAACCAUAUGUUAUGGGUUGGGUUGUCGGGUUAUAUAGUUUUUUUUUCAUUUCUAGUUUCUAAUGGUUAUAAAAGUUCAAAAAAUUGUUACAUUUAAAUUUCAAACAUACAUAAUUCAAAAUUUCAUACAAAAAAUUCAAAGUCUAUAUACCUGAUUUUUUUUAUUAAAUUAUAUAUAUAUUGUUGGGAUUUAUGUCUUAAAACUCGUAGAUUGUAAAUAUAAUCCAUUGACUAUUAUUAAUAAAGUGUUAUUAUUGUAAUAAUUGUUAUUGUUUAAAUUAUUAGUUUUGUCUUAAUAACCCAAAUCCAAUAAACCAACAUCCUAAGCUGUUUAAUGAGCCUUGAAUAAUAUUAGAGACAUAUAGGGAUCAAUGUUCAUAAUCAGUUUAAAGGGUUAUAGUAUAAGGAUAAGGUUGGGUACCUUAUCCUGGUAACACUAUUGAUAUUGUGCACUUUGUAUUUGCUACAAACACAAUGAUCCAACGCGUUCGUGUAGUUGACAUGUGAGUGAGGGUAUCCUAUGCAAUGAGUUGGCAUAAGACUGGACCGCGAAUUAGUAACCACUAGAUGUAACUCUGUUAACUAGUUAGGUUUCUAUUUCACUAGGAUGACCUAGGUAACUUAGUCUUAAUCCUGAGUGUGUUAUAAACUCCUGUUCGCGAGGGAUUGUCCUUUGAUUUGUACGAGUGAGAUGGCUAGAUUGUCGACUCAAUAAGCUUAUCAUUUUGGGGACAAGACCGAGUGGAGAGCUGGGAACAUAAUUACACAAGAUGGACUUCAUGUGUCUUGAACAAAGUAGAUGAGUGUUCCCUUAAAUGGUGUCUCCAAAUCUUGAACAAAGGAUCCUACCCUCUCCAUGGCACGAGAGAGGUUUUUGUUUAUUGGUAGGACCAUAAACAUGUUCAUUGGAGGAGCACUGAUAUUUAAGGAUUAGAGGUAAUCCAGGGGUAAAACGGUAAAUUGACCCAAAUGGUGUUACGAACACUCGUGAAAGUCUAACUUACUGUUAUUGGUCUAUAUCCGUGGACACAGAAAUAUAUCUACAGUGAGAAGAGUUCAGCUGUGAGUCUUUAGUGGAGUGUACACACAGUUAACGAAUAUUGAUUAAUGUGGUUAAUGAGUUUAGCCAAUUAAUCUCAGAUCGUUGUAACUUUUGAUCUGUAGGUCCCCUUCCUAGGUUGUAAAGGAUAAUGAGAUUUAUUUAUAUUUGUUGUAAUUUGAAAUGUUCAAAUAUACCUAGGGAAUUAGUUUAAUGUAUAGUGAUGUAUUAUAAUAUAAAGUUUGUGAAACUUUAUUAUAAAUUUAAUUUUGGAUAUGAUUCAAAAUUAAUUUAUGAGAGAUAAAAUAUUUGAAUAAGUUCAAAUAUUAAUGUGAAUUAGAUUCAUAUUAAAAUUAUUGGUUAGGAGAGAAACUUAUAUUUGAAUAUGAUUCAAAUUUAAUUUAAGUUAAAUAUCUUAUAUUUAACUUAUCUAUUAAUUAAUUGAAGAAUUAAUUAAUAAUUUAGUUUUAUUUAAUUAAAUUUGGUUUAAUUAAAUUUAUAAAAUGAUAUUGCAGAGAUAUUAAUUAAAUAUGGUUUAAUUAAUUAUAUUAAUAUAAAUCUAUAAGAUAUUAGAGAUAUAUUUUUUCAAAUAAGAUAUUGGAGAGAUAUUUAUUCAAAUAAGAUUUGAAUAAAAUAUUAAUUGAAUAUAAUUUAAUUAAUUAUUAACGAAUUGAUUAAUUGUUAAUUAAUUAGUAGAUUUGAUAUUAAGAAUCUCAUGAUUCUCUUCUACUCAUUUUCCUAUUCCAAUAGGGAAAAAGAGCUAUAAAUAUCUAAAAGAAAAACAGUUUUCUUUAGCCAAGUUCAUUAAGAAAAAAAGCCAAAGCUUUUUCUCUCCGCAUAAAGAGUUUCUCUCAAAUAUCUCUAAACAUUUUUCCAUCCCAAUUGGUCUCCGAUGGAUGGUGUCCCAAUUUGGAGAUUGAUUUGUAAAUUCAGAGAUGUCAUCAAAAGUAAGUUCUCGUAUCUUAUCUUUAAAAGCAUGCUUUGAAUCUAUUUAGAAUUUUGAUUCUAAAAUUUUGCCAAUGUAUCGGUAUUUUAAGAUUUCCAAAUUAAUUUGAGAAACGAUUUUUUAAAUUAUUCCACUGCCAUAAGACUUUUAUCCCUUCAUAUAUAUAUAUAUAUAUAUACAUGAUAUUAAUUCAGAUUGGGUUGGGUUGAACUGAAUUUUUCAACCCACCAACCAGAGACCUAACCCAACUCAAAAAAAUUAAAAUUUUUUAACCCAAUCCAACCUAUAUUUUAACCUAACCCAACCCAACCCAUAUUUUAAUCUAACCCAACUAAACCCUUAUAAUAUAGGUUGGGUAGUUAGGGUUAUUCAGGUUCAAUCCAUAUUCUUACACCCCUAUUAUCCAAGGCCAUAGUAUUUUGUUUGCUCUACAAUAUGAAUUUAUUGUUUUCUUGUUAUUAAAUGAAAUCUUCGCAUUUUUCUUUCACUCUUUCUAAUUUCUUCUUCUUUAUGCUUUCUUUCUUGCAUUUGCAAAUUAAACAAAAAAGUCCAAACCUUUUCAUAGACAAUAUUCAUAAGAAUGAAGAUGUUUGUAAUUCCAGUUAUACCCUUCAGACCUUAAUAUACACUAUGGAAUCUGAAAAGGAAAAUGACGAUGAAGAUGAUGUGGGAACAUCCUCAGAACUGUUAAGAAUGGUAGAAGAAGAAGAUAGGUCCUAGGUCCUUAUUAAGAACCAGUUGAAGUAAUCAAUUUUGGUUCUCAAGAGGAAACAAGAGAGGUAAAAAUUGACACAUCAUUGACUAGUGAAACUUGAAAAAAAAUGAUAAUUUGUUACGUGAGUGGUCAGUUAUUUUUCCUUGGAGUUAUCGGGAUAUAAUAGGAUUAAAUACGGAUGUUGUAGUACACCGUGUUCUUUUGAAACCAUAAUGCAACCUAGUGAGACUAAAGCUAUGUAACAUGAAGCCUGAUAUAUUGAUAUAAAUAAAGGAGAAAGUAGAUAAGCAAAUUGAAGCAAGAUUCCUCACAACCUCCAAAUAUCCUGAAUGGGUGGCAAACAUUGUUCCAGUGCCUAAAAAAGACGAAAAUGUGAGAAUGUGUGGAUUAUAGAGAUUUAAAUCGAGCCAAUCUAAAAGACAACUUCUAUUUACCUUAUAUCGACAUGUUGGUGGAUAAUAUUGCAUGAUACUCAACUUUCUCCUUCAUGGAUGAUUUUUUGGGAUAUAAUAAAAUUAAAAUGGUUGAAGAAGAUAGAGAAAAAAUGGCAUUUCCUUUGGUGAACACUCUACUACAAAGUACUGGCUUUUGGUUUGAAAAAUGUUGAGGCAACAUAUCAGCGAGCAACAGCUACACUUUUUCAUAAUAUGAUGCAUAAGGAAAUAAAGUUGUAUGUUGAUGAUAUGAUUACAAAAUCCAAGGCAGGUGAAGAUCAUACAGCCAUACUCCAAAAUUUAUUUGAUCGGUUAAGAAAUUAUCAAUUGAAAUUAAAUGGAAAAUUACCAAAAAUAGGCUAAAAAUGGAGUAGAAAUGAGUUUUAGGAUUGAUUUUGAAAAAGUAGAGAUUUAGGACAAAUUUGGAGUGAAAUGUCCUAAAUACACAAUUUAAUUUCCCCCUUUCCUUUUCUUCUCUUCAACCUGAAAACAAAACAACAUUUAAAAAAAAAAGUAAACUUCAACUCUCCCGCUUUUGAACUCUCUCGCUUCCACACUUCGAGUUUAACUUUGAUGCCUCUGGUGAACGUCUCUUCCAUCCAUUUCUUCUCCACCGCUCUCUGUUUUUAGUUUCAACUUCAACUCUGGUGAACGCUUCUCCACUCCUUUCUGAUUUUAACUUCGUUUUCAUCGGACCUCUCCAUUUCUUCUCAACUCCUCUCCGUUGGCAGUGUCGUAUCCAUCCUCUUUGAAGUCAAGUGAGUAAUAAAAUCUGAGUUUUUUUUUAUAUAUAUAAAUCAUUCUUGUUUAAGUUGUCUGCUGAGAUAUAUGAGAUGUUUGUUGGACACAUUUUAGAUAUACCAUUAAAUUUAUAGAGAAGAAAUGCAUAUGUCCUACAUGCACACACAUAUAGAGAGCGUGGAAACAUGAAUUCUGUUUUUAGGAAGAAGAACCAUAUUGGAUGAAGAAUCAUUUCCACCCACCACAAACUGUAAUAAUAGAUAAUUGGAUUAAUAAUCCAUUAUAUUUGUGCAUGCUACAAAUAUAUAUAUAUAUAUAUAUAUAUAUAUAUAUUACAAUUAUAUAUAUAUAUAUAUAUAUAUAUAUAUAUAUAUAUAUGUAUGUAUGUAUGUAUACAUACCUUGGAGUUUAGAACAUGAAUUCCAGCAUAUUUGGUAUCCCAUCUAAACUCAGCAAAGGUACUAGUAGAACAUUGUUGAAAGACAUUAUUAUUUUUAGAGUUAAUCACAUUAAUAUAAUCAAAAGUUGCAUUGUUGUUCUCUACUUUGUUGAUGUUUUUAGUGAUAUAGUUCCAAUAAAAUACAAUCUUUGUUGCCUUGUAUAACCAAGCAGCUCCCCAUAUUAAUUCGUCCUAUGUCAAACCAGUUUAUUUAGGAUUCAUUUGUUAGAGAGAAUUUGAAAACAAAUGAUUUAAUGAGUUUUGUUCCUAAACAUAAGAAUUGUAGGCUUUCCUCCUACUAUUAAUAAUUUUAGUAAAGGUGUUACAAUAUAUGUUUAGGAGUGCAAGCAAUUUGAUUUAGUAAGCCUCUUAUGAACUUGUCAACCUCCUAUCACAUGUUUAUUUAGCAUGCCCUUUCACAUAUUUAUUGCUAUGGUAAGCCUCUUAUGAACUUGUCAACCCCUCCCUAGCAAUCAUUUUAGUAAAGAUGUUACAAUAUAUGUUUAUUGGGCUUUAAUGUUUUAUCUCGCACGUAUUAAAAUUUCAAUAGGAGUUUCAAAAUGAGAUUGCUACACUUCUUAAACCGUUUAGAAUGGUUCUAUGCAUGUUUAGCAAGUUUAUUAGAAUGUUUUAAUGUUUUAUCUUGCACGUAUCAUAGGAGUUUCAAAAUAAGAUUGCUACCCUUCCUAAACCGUUUAGAAUGGUCCUAUGUAUGUUUAUCAAGUUUAUUGAGCCAUAAUGUUUUAUCUCACACCUAUCUUGCAUGUAUCUCGCAACUACCAAAAUUUCAUUAGGAGUUUCAAAAUGAGAUUGCUACCCUUCCUAAACUGUUUAUAAUGGUCAUAUGCAUGUUUUGCUAGUUUAUUGGGCUUUAAUGUUUUCUCUCGCACCUAUCUCGCACUUAUCCAAAUUUGAAUGUAUACAUGUUUAAUAAGUCUCUUAUGCAAUUAUAUUUUAUUUGUUUCGUUUUUGUUGAGGCUUCAGUAUGACUUCGAUAUCAACUGACGGACCCAUGUAAAAGAUUGAUCCUUCUCAUCAUGUUCAUGCUUUAGUAAGCUCUUUAUCUCAUUUAGAAAAUAUUACGCGUAAUUGAAACCAAAUCAGUAACCUUAUUUGGAAAUACAAAGUUUAGCCACUUUUUGGAUCUUAAUAUCGUCUUUAUUGGGCCACUCAUCCACUACUUAUUACUAAGGGAGGUGGAAGAUGAAGGGAAGGAUUAUAUCAGUUUCAUGAUAGGGAGAAUUCUGUGUACUUUUGGUAGAAGAGAGUUUAACAUCAUAACGGGUCUAUGAAGUUCUCCAACAAAAUCUAUUCAAUUGGUUGGGAAUAGUAGGUUGUUGGACAAGUUCUUCGAAGAAAAAAAAGUCUAUUUAUGUAAAUGACUUAGAUGACACAUUUAUGGAAUACGAGGAGGAUGACGAUGACAUAGUUAAAAAUUAGCUUUAGUAUACUUUAUAGAGCUGUCAUUGUUAGGAAAAGAUAGGCUGACUUUGUGGACCAAACAUUAUUUAGGAUUGCAGAUGAUUGGAACACAUUUGACAAUUAUGAUUGGGGAGGGUUAGUUUUUGGACACAUGUUUUGUGCCUUAGAACGAGCCUUGGAUAUGCAACAUGCCAAGGGAAAGAAGAAGUCAACUAAGACAAAAUAUACUAUCAUGGGAUUUUCGCAUGCAUUACAGGUGUGUUACUUACUACUUGAAACUUAUGCACAUAUUUAUAUAUACAUAUAUCUCGAAACACUUGCUAAACUUGUUUUGUCGAAUAUGGAAUAGGUUUGGGCAUAUGAGUCUAUACCAACCAUUACUAGAAACUUUUCACUGGAAAAAAUCCAAGGAAUUUUUCAGAGACUUGUUCAUGUGUCGUCGGUGGUUGGCGAAUGAGGUAAGGCCUUUUCUUAUUAUUUCUAUUAUUAUAAUGUUUUCUUUACAGGUUUAGAGUUAAUCUACAUUCAAUGUUUUCUUUUGUUUCUAUUAGCAUUUGGAUGCACUCUUUCUUCUCAUUCGCUUCAAGAUUAAGACAACCAUGAUACUUUCUGCUAAAAACUUCACAACUAUACACACACUCUUCAUGGUUUGUAUUCGCAAGCAUACUUUAUGUUAUGAAUUUGCUUUUGAUAUUUGUCUUCUUGUCUUAUUGUAUUUUGGUCUGACAUAAAUACAUAUACAUGUGUAUUUUUUUCUUUGCAGCGACUAUUAGUUGCGAAGUGGCCCGAAUAGCAAGAAUGUAUUAAAGAGAAUCGACCGUUUGACUGGAAGGAGGAGUAUCGGUUGGUAGACUAUGUUGUCGGAUCAAAACAAAACUUUCAAGAUCCUUGGACAAGUGUUGAUUACAUUUACUCUUCAUUCAAUAUCCAUAUCAAUCAUUAGGUUCUAUUAUGCUUGGACUUGGUAAGUUGUCAAGUCAAGGUAUGGGAUUCUCUUGAGUCGCUUACGAGUGUCGAAGAGAUGAGAAGCAUGUUAAUGUCGAUUCGAGAGAUGGUGCCAAAUUUACUAGAUACUACUAGAUUCUUUGCUAGGAGAGGUGGAUCAUCAACACACAAGGAACCUUGGCCACUUGUCAUUGUUGACUCCAUUCCACUGCAACACAACAAUAGUGAUUGUGGUGUAUUUACCAUCAAGUAUUUUGAAUACGAAGCUUCUGGUUUAGAUGUAACUACAUUAAGUCAAGAAAACAUGUCCUACUUUAGAAAACAAUUGACAUUUCAAUUAUGGACCAACACUCCUAUGUUUUGACUUUUAGUUGCAAAAUUUGAAGGAAUUUUAUAUCAUAUAUGUUGCGAACUAUGUACAUAAAUCGAUUGAUGUAAAGGAAUGAGUACCAUUGUUAUUUUAUGGUCUGAAAAUUUUAUUUUAUUCUUUUGGAAAACUUUUCAAGUGUGUAGUAUGUACAAUCCCAUAAAUAUCAUUUGAGAUGUGGUUAUCUUGCAUUUUGAUAAUAUGAAAACUACACAAGUGAUUUGUUUUUUGUAGGAGCUACUGCUAUGGAUUCUGGAAGAAAAGCUUUAGAGCUUCUAAGUUUGGUUAGAGAAAGAAAUGGAACCAGCCAUAAUUCGCCUAUUUCCCUGAAGAUCAUCAAGUACCACAUAUAUUUAAGCUUAAUUUGGAUGUUUGUUUGUUCUUUCUAGGCGUUGUUUGAUAAUUAAUUUAGCUUUUGAUAUUGCAUUGCAGGAGGUUAAAGUUAAUUUAGCUGAGUUUUGGUUGAAUCUGAACUGAGUUCGAAUCUGAAAAAGAUUUCCAAGCAAUGGAUGUUGGAAUUGUCUUUCAAACGGAUUCUCGUGUGGAUGUUAAUGAUGUUUUUUAGUAAAAAUGUAAUCAACGAGGGGAUCAUGAAAUUCAAAGGUUAUGUAAUUGAAAGUAAGAUCAUUCAAUGGAGAAUAAAUUUGAUUGUAUUCAUGGAUUUCUAAUAAGAACUUGUCAUGGUCAAGUUGACAAUUAUCAUCAAUGAUAGACAUGAAUUCUUCUUUUAAAAAAAAAAAUAUUAUUGUCAUCAAAUUUAUUAACAAAUUCUGUGUGGGUUUUUUAGAAAUCAAAUCAUGAUAGACAUCAUUGUCAACAAAUUCAUCGAGGGAUUCAUUGUAGAUUUCAUUAAAAUCAAAAUCAAUUGAAGAUGUAUCAAUCUUAGCAAAGUUAUGAUAACCAUCAUUGUUAACAAAUUCAUUCAUAAUCAAAUCUUCAUGUGAUAAAGUCUUAUGGUCCUGAUUAUCUAGAGAAUUGUCAAUCAUGUCAUUAAAGUUAACAAAAUUCUCAUGAGAGUUCAAAUGAACAAGAUCAUCAUUAAAUCCUUCUAAAAUCUCAAAUUUUAAAAUAGGUGCAAAUUUAAAGUCAAAAUCCAAAGCUAGUUCAUCAAAUAUACCCAUGUCAUUUUCAGGAUGUUUCUCAUCAUCAAGUUUAGAAACUAUUUCUAUAAAGUUUGUGUCAAGAUUACUUUCAAUGUCAAUGCCUAUGGAAAAAUGCUCAUCACUAAUGUUAAUGUUUCUUCUUAGAUCAUGCUCAUUACUAAAUGCAAAAUCAUUGUCUAAAGCAUGUUGUUCAUGUGUUUCAACAUUAUCACCAAAGCAUGCUCAUCAUUUAUACUAGUAACAAAGCCAAGGAAGAUAGAGAGAUCAUCGUCACUAGGGUCGUUCUUAGCAGCUUCAAUUUCAACAUGUUCUAAAGUUGCUUGAUCAACAAUCUCAUUGAAAUUACCAUGCUUUUCUAGUGUCUCUAAUGAUUCUAAGGUAUCAAAUGCACUUAAUGAAACAUGAUCACUAGAAGGGUUUACGUCAUCUUUAUCAUUGAAAAUUUUUCUACUUUCUAAAGUAACAUCGUUCUCAUAUGCAUGGGCAAAAAGUUCAUCAUUUUCUUCUGUUUCAUGAAUGUUUGUUGCUAAUUGAUCGAGCUUAUUUUCAAUCUCAGAUAUGGAUGCUUUCAUGGUUUCUAAGUCAUUAUUCACGGCUCUAGUUGGACUAAGGGUUUGUUCAUUCAACUUAGCUAAGUCAUUUCUCAUGCUUCCAGUUAAACUAACAGUGUAUUCACUCAACUUAGCUAAAUUCUUCUCAAAAUCAGUUUCAAAACUAUCUAAGCUAUAAGCAAUUCCUGAGAUUAAUUCUUCUAAAUAUGUACCUUGUGAUGGUGAUGAGGGAGAAGAAGUGUAUCCAGAGUUGUGAGCGUUGUAACCUCCCAUGACACUUACCUCUUUAUACAUUAGACAUUGAUUAUUUUGGUGGUCUUGGAAGCCAUAUAUUCCACAAGAGACAUCUUUGGGAAUCUCUUGCACAAGAGAAGUAAAAAGUUUAGUUAGAAAAUUAACUUGAAAAUUUAGGGAAUCUUGUUCCAUUCUAAGGUUCAAAUGAUUCUCUAAGGUAUGUUCUUAAAGGUUCUCUAAGAAUGGUACAAAAAUUCUAGAUCUGAGAUUCUAAAUUUAAUGAAUUAACUUGAUUUUUCUUUGUUUUUUUCUUAGUCUUCUUUCAUGCAAGGUUGUGUCUUCUUCAUAUUCUAGUCUAGGUGCAUUGGACAACUUAGUCAUGCAUUAAAGAAAGCAAAGAAAAAGAAAAUAUCAUGCAUUUUUUUUAUAACAUAGAAAGAUUAAAGAUCUAAUAUGCUUUUCUAAAAUUACUAAUAAAUAUUGCAAGCAAAGAUUCAAGAAAUAGUAUGUCGUGCCACUCCCCGGCAACGGCGCCAUUUUUGACAAGGCGGGAAUUGACAUGCAAGAAGCAAAAACAAUUAUGCAAAGAGUAGGUAAGGUCGUUAUCAACUAAGGGUACUUACCUAAACGCCUUGACGAAAAUUUAUUUAUAGUUUACCCUUGAUUUUACCAAGCAAGCAAGGGUGUCGAACCCAAGGGAGUGAUCAAUUUUUCCUUGAAUGAAAUGCUUGGAAAUAUAGAGAUUAGUAACAAAAGGAAGAUAAAAGUAUUGAAAACAAAUUGCGGAAGUUGUACGAGGGAAUGAGAAGGGGAGUUUGGUAUGCAAAACAACUCACAAAAGAGGGAGAUACUAGAUAUUGAAUACCAAGGUGGUAAGUGAGGAAUGGGCUUAGGCUUACCUCAAAUCUUAUCAUUGAAUCAAAGAAGGUAAGGAAAUGGAAUUAUGCAUAGCUUAAAAGAGAAUUUGAUUCAAGAUUUCCUUGCAAGAUCAAAUUGCUUGAUCUCCGAAGGAAUUCUUGAAUCAAAAUUCAAAAACAAGUAAAGAAUUUCAAAGGGUUUAGUUUGAUCAAUUGCAAUUUUAACUAAACCCAUUAUUCUUUUCUUUAAAAGAAAACAAAAAAUGGAUCAACAACAACUUUAUAUUCAAGGAAUCAAAGAGAAAUUAAUUUGUGCACAAAAAAGUAUGCAAUUUAAUUCUAAGAAUUAUCAAAAAACAAUUGAAAUCCAAAAGAGGCAUUAUACAAUUCUAAAAUUGGGAGAUAAAAUGAAGAAUCAUGGAAAUUUUGUAUAUAAGCAAGCAAAACAACUAAUCUUGCAUUAAUUGAAAUAUUAGGGGUAAAUUGCUUACAAUAUUGAACAAAAAAAAAAUCAUAAAAUCAAGAAUCAAGAUUACAAAAUUUAAUAAAAUCGAAUUAAACAUCCAACUCUUGAUGCAAUUUAUUGAUGGUUCUCUUGCAAGCUACAGAAUGCCUACAUCUCCAUCGCAAACCUUAUAUAUUAUUUCUAUUUCACCUGCCCUUGUAGAAGAUCAACACCUAAAAAUCCAACAUACGUUUUUCCACACUUCCAUGGCAAAUGAAUAAUAUUUCUAGCUAUAGAAUUCAACACCUAAAAAACUAGCAUAUGCUUUUAUACACUUCCAUGGCAAACCAACAAAAAAAAUUGUUGCAGACUUGCUAACUAUAAAAUGUCUACUACUCCAUGGCAAACCAAUAAUAUUUCUAUUUCACCUCAAUGCACAAUAUCCAACACCCAAUAUACCAACACAUUUUUCCACAAUUCCAUAUAGCACUACAACAAAUACACAUCAUCCAACACCCUUUCAACAUCCAACAUCCACACUUUCAUAUCCAACAUUCAACACCUAAUAUACCAACACACUUUUCAACACUUCCAUAUACAUUUCAAUAUCAAUAAACACAUUAAAUGUGACUACUAUAAGUGAAAACUCAAAAUCUAAAAAUAAUAUGUAAGAUCAUGAUAUAUUUAAAAACAAAAGUAUGUGUACAACAAGCUCCUCCACUAACUAAAGUAUAUGUACAAGCUAAAACUAAAGUAUGUACAACAAAUACACAUUUUCCACACUUCCAUAUAGUACUACAACAAAAUACACACUGUAGUAAAAAACUACAACACAACACCUACUUCAAAAAGUAGAAAGCUACAAGCAGAAAAAACCCAAAAGUAAAGUAUGUACAACAACUAGUUGCUUCACAAACUAAAGUCAACUAGUAACUUAUAUAUUACAAAAAAAAAAAAAAUGUAAAAUUUUACACAAAUUGGGUAACAAAAUUGCCCAUUUGGUUUGGAUCUUGUUAAUCUCCUAUUGUCAAUAUGCAUUUUUGGUAUUGAACUACACAGAAAGAAAGCUACGAAAAGAAUGAGUUUAAACCAUUUAUUUAAUUGUAACGUCUUAAAAGUGAAAAUAGAAACUUACAAGGCUAAUGAUGGGAGUACUAGAAUUAUACACUAUUUCAUGUAUAUAUUUUUGUACAUAAUACCCACACCCUACAAAAUUCAAUUGACGAGGGCAUUGCAUGUAUAUAAUUUGGAUACAAAUUAUUCUUAUGUUUCAUUGAAAAUAAUUAUGUGUUAAUGCAAAUUACCUUUACAGGUUUCCAUUUUGGAAUUGACUGAUAAUGUCGUAAAUCGUGCUUAGUUUGGCAUCUACGUAUAUUUGGAAACAUUAGAAUUAGAAGACAAUAAAGUGAAAUAAGAAGUAAAUUGUAAGUAUACUUAGAUAUUUAUGACUCCAUAAAUGUCUUCGUUAACUUUACUUCGAAGAGAGUCUAAGACAUAAACACAAUUAUCUCGAAGAUCGAUGACAUGCAACAUCCAACGAAAACUACAAUAAAUAUCAUCAAUGUGAGUAUACAUUUAACCUCAAUGAAAAAAAAAUGUGUUCCUCUUAUUUAUUUACCCAGUAUUAUAAAGAAUUAGAACUAUAUGUACCAAGGUAGCCGCUUCUAACUGGUUGGCUAAAUUUCUGAAUUAAAGAUCACAAUCCUUGAUAUGUGACGUAAAUUUUGAUUGGUCAAUAACAAAAAACUUUCUUCCACAGUCAUAUUCAUCCCAAAGAUAUCUAAGUAAAAGCAACCUUAGUUAAAAAGGAACAAAAUAACUAUAGCGAUAGUAUUUGAUAUAAAGAUGAGUAAAAGAUGUCUACUUACAUAAUGUAUGCUAGUAUGCAUAUAUAACCUAUUUCUACCAUGCCGUAAUAAUGGAGCAAGUCCUCACGAGCUUCAUAAACGAUUUUUUUUACCAAAUAUUAGCUUGUUCAUUGGGAUGCGAACCAUAUCUACAUCCUUCAUACUGUUCACGACAAGUCCAUUUAAGAGCUUAAUAGUUCCAUUAACAUCCGUGUACUUUGAAGAAUACACAACAUCCUUCGAAGUUCAAUGUUCCUACCACAAACAAAGCUCUAAAUUUAAAGUACAACUACAAAUAAUAUCAAAACUUCAAUAGUGAAAGAAAAACUUACUAGUUUGUCAUGAAUAAAAAAACAAGCCGACAAGACCAUUCAAUAAUGUUACCCAACACUUUAUUUAAAGUCUCUUUCUUGCCCUUCACCGGAAUAGGUAUACUAAAAUUUCCUCCCGUAAGCAAGUCCACCAAAACUUUAACAUUGGGAUCAUCAUUGUUAUCAUCAAAUACGGUGGCUAUUGCAACGAUAUUAUUAAUUGCGCCUAUAGCUAAUUUGCAUGGUGUUCCCUUUACAAGUAUUAAAAGCAUCGUUAAGAACAAUUGAGCUUAUAACAUUAAAAUUUGAAAACUGACAACAGAGUUAAUUAUCUCCACUCCUUCAUUGCUAGGUGUGUUGCCCAACUCCUCAUUGGCAUUGAGAUCUAUGCUAACAAUUUUGAUGGACGAUCUCGAGUGAUUAAGACUCUUCUUGUAACUUUUGCUUCUUGAGUCAUCUUCUUUAUGACAUAUUUCAACUUCAGGACUUAUCAUUUUCUCUUUCCCUUUCACUAUUUUGAAAUAUUGUGAUUGAGAGACAAAACCACCCACGCCUCUGACACGUCCACCGUACUCCUUAGAGCCCAAUACUUUAGUCAAUAUGUCCUCAUCUUUAUGUGUUGCGACUAAUGCAUCCUAUAAAACAAUACAAGUAUUUUCAUCAUCAACUAAGUUAACAAAAGAUUAUAUAUUAUAUAUAAGUAAAUCAUAAGUAAACUUACAAUCCGAGAGACACAAUCUCGAGUAGCAUCAUCAAAAUAAUCAUUGUUAUUAUUUCCUUUCCAUGCUUCUUUCCAAAGAGUUGAACGAUAGGAAACAUCACACGUCAUAUUCUGUAACCAAAUAUAUAUACUUAUAUAGAAUAACAUAUUAAGAUAAAUUAUUUUAUUCAAUUAGAAAGACUCACUAUUUCGUUGACAAGAUUCACAUAUCCCUUACGAGCAACGUGAUGAUUGUAUACACAUUUUGACCUCCUUUCCCUUUGAAUACGACUAUAAUCCUGUAGAAAGCAUUAGUUUGUAGUUACAUACCAAAAAAAUAUUAAAGUUAACAUGCAAUUAUAUUUAUUUACCUCUCAUUCUUUAGUUAAUCUAGCAUCUAUAAAGGAGUCCCAAUCUUCUUGAUUAACAUGAGAAUAAAUUUUAGGAGGAAACUGCAAGCGUUAUGGUUGAUCCUUAAACAAAAAGUAUAUACUUCUGAGUGAAUGUGGUUUUAAAAGUUCGGUACUUUCUUGAUGCAGACAUUAGGAUAGGAUGUUUAGCAUUAGGAUGUAACUCAAACGACAUCUAGACGAGAAAAAAAAACUUAUUUAGACUUAAGGAAAUCAAACUACAUUGUAUGAAAAACAUAAUUAUAGAAUCCAUAUCGAUAUACAAUCAUAGAUUUUAUCUUUCAACUCAUUCAAAACUUGUUUCCAAGAUUUGUAUGUGAGAGGAUGUUGUCGAAUGCACACACCAAUGUAAAUUUACAGUUUCGUAGAAGUGACUCUUAUAGGUUGCCCGUGUUCAUUAAAUUGAAUGGGCAACCAUUGCCCAUAAUUUCUUACUGAUGCCAACUUUGACAUAGUUGUUGGGCCACGUGGCACGAAUGAUCUAUUUCUUACUUCGAGAAUCAUUUGCCUUUCAUCCUCACUGCUAAUAUGUGAAUUCUCCAUCUAUGAAUCUGCAAAAAACAUAUAUACAUUAGUAAGCAAAGUAAUGACAACAUAGAAAUUACAAACUCUAAACAUAAAUCUAUAUAAAGAAAAGUAAAUGACAUACCUUAAUAAAAAAAUUUAUCACAAUCAGUACUUAUCAACCCAUCUACCCUCACAAUCAUGUCUAAUAUAUGAUGAAGUUGUAUCAUCAAUCAUGUGGUUUUAAACUCUAGAAGCAUAUCUCUUAUUUCAUCUUCAAAGAAAUGUUCUUCAAUAGUUCUUUGUGGAGAUGUUAAAUCCACUGAUCAUUUAGGAUUUGAAGAAUCAUUCACAUAGAAUACUUGUUUUGCUUAGGAGGCUAAAAUAAAUGGGUCUGAUUUAUGCCCAAUAUGUUUUCAAAUCCACAAUGGUAAACCCAAGUUCGUCCACUUUGACCCCAUUUCUACUAUUAACUCAAUCACACUUAAAUAAAACAAAAUAUAAUCAAUGGUAAUCAAUCUCCCAUGUCUCUUGUAUUAUGCCAUAAAAUGUCAUAUCUGACAUGACAGGGUUUUUGUCUUUAGAACUAGACACUUGCAUUGUAGUGAAUAUUAAACUAACUUCACUAUUUUGAACUCUCCUAAUAUCAUCAUGCCUUUUUGUGUGAUAGUAAUAACCAUUGAUCAUGUAACCAGAAUAAGUGGCCACAUCUGGAGAAGGUUCGUGAGCUAUCCAUCUCAAGGAAGGUGUGAUGGAAUUUUUUGGAACUUUGAGAGCAAGGGCAACCUACAAAAUAUAAUGGAUCUGAUUAGUUUAGGUCCAAAAUAAACAUGAAAGUGUAUGGUUCUAGUGAUUACCCUUGUGGACAAACACUAACUGAAUGUGCAAUUAUGUUCUUUUUUAAUCCAUUUUUUAGUUCUAGAUUUACCAGAGUUAAAGCUUACGCAAACUCUCCAUAUGUUGUCUGUCAUAAAUGACAGUUAUUAAGUAAUUACACAACCAACUUAAGUAAUAUGAGAAUAGAUAGGGUUUAAAAUGUACUCGAUGUAUGGUAGAACAUCAUUUACAUUAUGAAUAAUGUAAAGAUGAGCUUGAUAUAACUACUCCUUACUCGGUCUGAUAAAAGAAGAAUCUAAUAAUGGUCUAUCCACUUUUAAAUUCGCUUUUAUUACAAAUGAGUUUAGUCCAAUAGAACCAACCCAGAUAUAAAUUUAGCACAAAACUCUGUAGCCUCUUCAACAAUAUAAUUUUCUCUCAUACAUCCUUCUGGUCGAUUUCUGUUUCGCACAUAAGUUUUAAUGAUGGUGGAAAAUACUUCUCUAAUAGGCAUAGAGUGACAACUACAUCUUCCUACAUUCCUUUUAAUUGUGAUGAAUCAAUUGUCUUCUUACACAUAGCAUUAAAGAAGAAGCAUAGUCGGACAAUUACAAGUCUUACAUGUUUCAGUAAAAUACCACAAAUUGUCUCAGGUAGCAACUAUUGCAUAAGAACGUGAUGGUUAUGAGAUUUGUCCAUAGAGUUCCAAAUCUGUGAGUGACACUAAACUUUGAAUGUUUGAUGAAAAGCCUUUAGGUACUUUAAGUUCAAAUAGUGUCUUACAAAAACUCAUUUUCUCUGCUCGAGAUAAUAUAUAGCAUGUUGGGAUCUUUUUCUCCUCUACUUAAUUUUAUCUUUUGUUUUACAAAGAAUAUCAAGCAAUGUGCCAAUGAGAUUUGCACACACAUUUUUUUCAAUGUGUAUCACGUCUAAACAAUGUCGAACAUCAAUGUACUUCCAAUAUUCUAAUUAAAAAAAUUAACUUCUUCCAGUAAGUACUCGAAGAACUCGCUUUACUAUUCUUUUCCUUCAUAGUUUCUUAUCAAAUGAAUAUUUGUACUUACUUGUUUGUACAAGAAUUUCGUUCCCACUCAAUAGUUCUGGAGCAGAUCCUAAUUCUUGUGCACCAUUGAAAACUUUUUUCUGUUUCCUAUGUGAAUGAUGACGUGGUAGAAACUUACGAGGUUUAAUCAUAUGCCAUCUUUCUUCCUUUUAGCAAAUAAACGGAUGAAGUAUUCUCCCCACAAAUUGGACAUGCAUGAUAUCCUUUGACCAUACAAACACACAAGUUCCAUAUGCAAGAAAAUAUUAAUGGGCCAUAAUAAAAUAGCUUUGAACAUGAAACAUUGAUCUAGAUAUACAUCGUAACAUUCCACUCCAUCAUGCCAAAUUUUUUUCAAAUCAUCAACUAACGGAGCUAAAUAAAUAUCUAUUUCAUUUAUCGGUUGUUUGAAACCAGAUAUUAGUGCAAUCAACAUAAACAAAAUUUGCUUCAUACAUAACCAUGGAGGUAGGUUCUAUGUCACUAACAUCACUGGCCAACAGCUAUAUCUACUACUAAGAUCUCCAUGCGUAUUGACCCCAUCUAUGGAAAGAGUAAGACGUAGAUUUCUAGGUUCUAACCCAAACUCUGGACACAAAUUGUCUAUUUUUUUUCACUAUAAUGCAUCUUUGAGAUGUUGUAAUAAACCAUUCAUUUCUGUUUUUCUGGCAUUUCAUGUCAAUAAUAUUGAUGUUUCUGUGCUUUGAAACAUUUAUUUCUCUUUUUCUGGCAUGUCAUGGCUUUCACCGGAACAUUCUUAACCUCCUUCAAAUUCUUUGGAACCUUCCAUCUUGACAUACCAUAAGAGGGGCAUACAUUUGCAUUAGAGAGUUCUUUCCUAAACAAACAACAAUCAUUCCUACAUGCAUGAAUCUUCUCGUACUUCAUUCCAAGAGUACACAAAUUUUUUUUUGCUUCAUAGGUCGUAGGGAUUUCAUUAGGAGUAGAUACGAUGUCACAAAUUAAUUAUAACAACUCAGUGAAACUCUUAUCACUCCAUCCAAAUUUAGCUUGUAUAACUUUACCAAGGUAGACAUCUUGGUAAAUUUUUUACAAUUAGAAUAUAAUGGUUUCUUGGCAUCAUCUAGUAGUUCCUCAAAAUUUUCUGACUUGUCAUCAAAAUAAUUGUGUGCAACCCCAAACAUUCCAAUUGUGUCAUCAACAUCAUCCUUAUCAAUUUAUUCUCUUGCACUACUAAAGAGACUUUCAUUGUUUCUCUUCAUUGGUAGUGAUUCACCAUGAAAAAUCUAUACUUAAUAACUUUGAUCGAUGUCGUUAAAAAAAAAAAGUGAUCUCUAAUUGUAUUCACUUAAAAAGUCUUUGCAUUUACGCACUCUAAACAAGAACAAGUCAUAACAUUCGACGUCUUUGAAUGUUUCAACCCAUUUUUAAUAAACAUCUCAACUCCAAAAGCAUAAUCAGUUGACAUUCUAUUCUUUUUCAUCCAUGACUUAUCCAUAUUAUAUAAGGAUGCAACUUAAUCUACAAAAAAAAGUAUAAAAAAAUACACAACAAGGAGUAAUUAAGUAAUCAAACUUGUGAACUUAACUAUAAUCAACAAUAAUAACUAAAAAGUUAUAAUCAAUGAAAAUUUUUAUAUACACCCGAACAACAAAACAAUUAAAAUAAAGCAAGACUAUUGAAAAAGCACAUAUGAAAAAGAAAUUAAAUUCUUACCCACUUCCAAAAGCGUACUAACAAGUUCUAUAUACACCCAAACAAACUAAAAGUUCUAUAUACACUCAAAUAACUAUAAAACUCACGAUCUUAUCACUCAAUCAACUACCAAUCAAAUCUCAAAUUAAAACCAUCCACAAAAACCAAACACAAAAUUCUAACUAUCAUUAUGACAUAUAACUCCAAUUAAAUGAAGCAAUUAGUUUGGUUUUCUUUUACCAAAAAUUUGAGAUGGGUUAAAAAAUCCUCCCGCACGCCUAAAUACGAACAACAUAUACCAAGUACCAACUAUAUCUACAGAUUAAAAGACCAAAUCAACAACUAUAAAAGAAACUCUAAUUAAAUACAAAAAGUGCAUAUGCACUCAUCUACAUGAGUAUAUAUAUUCUCAUCGCACAAUCAAUUGAAAUAUCUCAAAAAAUAUAUAUUAUAUUCCAAGAUUUUGUAAUUAAGCACAAACCAAUUCAAUAAUUACAAAUCAAAAUUUCAAAGAUAAAUACAAGAAAUGGAUAAACAAAUAAAUAAAAGUAUGAAUUUAAUUUUCAAGGAUUAUGAAUCAUUACCUCUCCUUAGGCUUAUCUAAGAAUCUCUUAAGCAACUUCUUCCUUGCAAUUGAAAGAUUUGUCGAGAAAACAAUACAAAUUAGCAUAGAAUGUCAAAGUAAACAAAACCAUUCAAAGUAAUAUACAUAAAAGGUAUAAGAGUUUAAAAUUUUUAAAAGCUACAAACUAAUGGGUUCACGGGUUUCUCACCAAAUGGGUAUCUCAUCGAAUAUGGGUAUCUCAUCGAAUCUGGGUAUCUUAUCGAAUCUGGGUAUCUCACUGACACACUUCACCGGAGAGAAAAAUAUUUCUGAUGAUGGUGGUGAGAGUUGGGCACGAACAGACUGUGCACGAUGGUGGUGAAAGUUGGGCAAGAACGUGGAUGAAGGUUUUCAAUGGUGGUGGCGAGCACAACAUGAAAGAGAUGAGGGUUCUGACGUUGGGGAAGAGUCGAGCGUGAAAGAGACAAGGGUUUCGACUUAGUGGUGACGAGAAGAUCGUGAAAAAUAUGAGGAUAGUGGCGAGGGUUGGGCACGAGCUGAGUACGACAGACGUUGUGGUGGUGGCAACAACGACUGUUUGGAGAAGAGAAGGAAGAGUAGUGUGAGAUUUUGAGAAAUGAAGAAGAAAAAUCGUGAAGGAACGGGAUGAUUUGGAAAAAGUAAGAGAUGUUUUUUUUAAAAAAAAUUAAAAAUAAUAAUAACUAAUAAAUUAAAAAGUAAAAUGGGCAUUAAUGUCGUUUUUUAAAAUGCAAAUGAUUAAUAUCGAUUUUAAACCGACAUUAAACCUUUUUUCAUUAAUGUUGGUUUAAAAUCGACAUUAAUCAUCCACAUUUUAAAAAAACGACAUCGUUGUCCAUUUCUCACUUUUUUUACCUGACAUUAAAGGCCAUAAUUCUUCUAGUGAAUGAGGAUUGUGAAGAAGCUUUCAAUAAAAUUAAGUAGUAUUUGUAGAGCCACCUGUAUUGAUACCUCCAUUUCCAAGGCAACCUUUAAUCAUAUACUUGACAAUAUUAUAAGGUUCUAUGGAUGGUCUAGGACAACAUGAUUUAUGAGGGAAGAAAGAACAUGUUAUUUAUUAUUUGAGCAAAAACUUCACCCAUUAUGAUUAUAAAUACUCAAUGUUAGAGCAAACUUGUUGUGCUUUGGUAUGGAUUGCUCAUCGUUUGAGGCAAUAUAUGUUAUACCAUACAACAUGACUUAUUUAAGAAAUGGAUCCAAUAAAAUACACCUUUUAGAAAUAGUCAUUAUCUGAGAGGAUUGCAAAAUGACAAGUUUUCCUGUUAGAAUAUGAUAUUUUCUAUGUUACCCAAAAGGUAAUAAAGGAAAGCACACUUGUUGAUCAUUUAACUACCCAACCAGUACCAGAUUAUGAGCCUAUGAAAGUUGAUUUUCCAGAUGAAAACAUAUUUCUAGUUGAAAAGGAUACUACAGAUUAUGAGACAUGGACUAUGUUGUUCGAUGGUGCCUCAGAUGAGUUAGGACAUGGGAUUGGAGUUGUACUAAUUUCUCCAUAAAGAAAAGUCUUCCUCGUAACAGCCAAGUUAUGUUUUGAAUGCACUCACAAUAUCGCUAAAUAUGAAGCUUACAUUAUGGGACUUCAAGCAUGAUGCAACAUGAGUAUUAAAAAUUUGAAAGUUUUGGGUGACUCGAUGCUAGUAAUACAUCAAGUCAAGGAAGAAUGGGAAACAAGAGAUGCUAAAUUGUUGCCUCACAGCCAAUACGUUACAAAACAAUCUCAAAAUUUUGAGAAAAUUUCAUUUGAUCAUGUUCAUAGGGAGGACAAUCGAAUGGUAGGUGCAUUAGCCACCCUAGCAAUGAUUUUUUAUCUUAAUAUUGAGUGUGAACUUUAACCAAUCCAAAUUACAAAGCGAGAUGCACCGGCAUAUUGCAUGAAUAUUGAAAAGGAUAAUAAGCCAUCAAGAAGUACAUAAAGUGUAGAGAAUAUCCAUAUAGAGCUUUAAAGAAUGACAACACACAAUAAGAAGGUUGGCUAUGAACUUUUUUUAAAUGGUGAAGUUCUUCAUAAAAGAAAUUAUGAUAUGAUGCUCAUUCGGUGUGUUGAUGUAGAAGAAGCAAAACAAAUUAUAAUAAAAAUUCAUGAAGGAAUAUGUGGAACACAUACUAAUGGACAUAUGAUGGCUAGAUAAAUACUUAGAUCUGAUUAUUAUUAGACAGCAAUGAAAUCAGACUGCAUAAAAUUUGCAAGGGAAUGUAAAAAUUGUCAAAUUUAUAUGGAUAAGAUCCAUGCAGCAACAUCUUUAUUGCAUGUCUUUUCAACACCCUAACCAUUUUCUUUGUGGGGAAUGGAUGUUAUUGGACUCAUUCAUCCUAUAGGCUCAAAUGGUCAUCGUUUUAUUCUUAUGGCCUUUGAUUAAGGAUAAUGCCAAGAACCUUAAUAACAAAAUUAUGGAUGAACUUUGUGAGCAAUUUAAGAUCAAUCAUAGAAAUUCAACUUCAUACUGCCCAAAGAUGAAUGAGGUCGUUGAGGCAGCCAACAAAAAUAUUAAAAGAAUAAUUGAGAAAAUGACAACAACAUACAAAGAUUGGCAUGAGAUCUGUCGUUUUCGCUCCAUGGAUAUCACACCUCAAUUCGUACUUCAACAAGGGCAACACCAUUUUCUUUGGUUUAUGGUAUGGAAGAUGUCCUACCUUUAGAAGUUGAGAUACCUUCAUUGAGGGUUCUCAUGGAAGCUAAGUUAGAUGAAGCUGAAUGGAUAUGAUGUCGUUAUGAGCAAUUGUAUUUCGUUGAAGAAAAACGAUUGGCAGCAUUAAGUCAUGGAAAACUUUACCAAAGAAGACUAAUGCAAGCAUACAAUAAAAAUGUGCAUCCUUGAAGCUUUCGAGAAGGAGAUUUGGUGUUUAAAAUGAUACUUCCAUUUCAAAAGAAUCAUCGAGGAAAAUGGACUCCUAAUAAUGAAUGUUCGUUCGUAGUGAAAAACAAACUUUUUCAGGAGGAGAUUUGCUUUUAACGAAUAUGGAUGACGUUGAGUUAAAAAAUCAAGUGAAUUUAGAUUAUGUUCGAAAAUAUUAUGCAUGAGGCAUUUUCUUAUAAGUUUUGUAGUGUUGAAAGAGGUCAAGGGUAUUGCUAGAAAAUUUACAUUUAGUUCUUAGAAUGUUAUUUCCAUAUGUGUCAACUUUUCCUUACUUCCUCUCUUUGUACUCCUAUUUCAAGCAUCGUUGUUGUCUUGUCAUUUGCUAUUAAUUAUAUUUAUCAAACAUUUGUAUAUUUGUCAAUUCUUUCUUUUAUCAUUUCUAAAAUGUCAUCAAAUUAUAGUAAGCAUUCUUUAUCCAUCAGUUUAUUAUUCUAUUUGUUGUUAAUUAACAAGGAUUCAGUAUAACUUAUUGUAUUUGCAAACCAAGUAAAAGCUAUGAUUUCUUUUGUUAAGAAUUAAGGAAAUAUAGGUGUAUCCAGACAAAUUUCUCCAUGAUUGCAAAUUGCCACAAUUGGAAAUCUACAUCCUAAAAGGAUUCACGUUUUGUGAAUAGCAAGACUAAAAUAACAUUGAGUCUUUACAACAUAGUGCAAUCUUUCGCAGUUUUGUUCUAUCCUAUGACCAUGGUGAUAAUUGUAAAUAGGAUUGGUAAAAUGUAGUAGUGAGCUAUUUAAUUCUUUGAAAAUCACAAUAUUUUAUUUUCAAAUUAACAUAGUCCAAAAGUAGGAUGAGUCCAUUUUUUUUUUUAUCAAACCUAGCCCUAAAGCUAAGGUUAUUGAUGAUAGAACUAAUUCAUGCACAGCGGAAAAAGAAUCGAAUUUCUACCCUAAUUGCCACAAUUAACAUGUAACCAUAAACUAAUCAAAUUAGGGUUUUAAGAAGUAUUACCUUUGAAGCUUUCAAAAGGUUUGAUGUCUUCUUACCAAUUCUACCCGAGACCACCACUAGUACUCAACUGCUAUCCUCUAGACAAAGAACCGGGUUGUGGGACCCAAUUUUGGUGUAGAAAGUAAUGGAGAUAAAAUGAGAUUGGAAGCUUUCUUUUUUCUUUUGUUGAGAUUAUGAAAAUGAUAAAAGAGGCAAAAGUCCUUCAACAUUUGAAAACAUCUCUAUUUAUAGCCUAAUUACAUGCAAAAAUGCAUGCAAUUCAAUUGCCAAAUCUCAACACCUAAUAUUCCACUAACAAUUAGUGGAACUUAGUGGGCUAGGUGUCUAUAUCUCAUAUAGCCACAUAUCCCACUAAGAGUUAGUGGGAUUAUCCAACAAAAUGUUGGAUUUUCCCACUAACUUAGUCCAAGGGUAAAAUGGUCAUUAGAUUUUUCUAGUCAAAAGUCAAUAUUUUGACUUUUUACCAUUUUGUCCGUCUUGACUAAUUCCAACCUCCCCAGCAUGAAUCCGCAUUCAUUUUUCCAAAAUUCAAAUCACAUUUGAAUAUAAGGCCGGUCAAAGUUUGACUUUUCAAAGUCAAAAGUCAACAUUUUGACUUUUUACUAUUUUUGACCAAUUCCGAGCUUCUUAGUAUGAAUCCGCAUUCAUACUUAUAGUAUGUAGAACAUAAAGCUCUAUUUCUAAUUAGAAGACCGACGACUAUAUCACUAUAUUUGUCGGUUUCCCUUUCUUCUCCCAAUUCGAACAAUUCGACUUAUUUCAUCACACUGUUCUAAGUUUAAUCCAUAUGAGCUAGCAGAGGAACCUAAUGGACCUAUAGAUCAUGGGCUCCAACGAUUCAAGAUUAACUAGCUAAACUCUUUUUAAACCGAGUUAAUCAACAUUCGUUAACUAACGGGUCAUUCCACUAAAGUCCCGUAGUUGCACUCCCCUCACUAUAGAUAUAUUUGUGUCCAUUUGAUAAAACCAUAAUCAGUAAGUUAAUCCUUCACAGGUUGCUCGUAACCUUGGCUGGGUCAAAAUACCGUUUUACCCCCAAGAUUACAUCUUGCUCCUUAAGUCCCACUAAUCCACUAUUGAACAAUUGGUUUAAGGUUCAACCUAUAAACUUAAUCCCUCUCGGGCCAAUGAGAGGGUGGGGCCCCUUGUUCAAGACUUGGAUUCAGUGCUUAAGAGAGCAACCUAUCUACUAACCCUAAAGCGGGUAGGAGUGAAUUCCAUCUUGUACCCUAUGUUCCCAGCUAUCCACCCGAUCUUACCCCUGAAAUGGGAGGCUUAUUGGGCCAACGCUGAUGAGCUGCCCUCACCUAUGCAGAUCUAAGGAUAAUCUCGUAUGAACAGGAGUUCAUAGUUAACUCAGGAUUAAGACUAAGUUACCUAGGUCAUCAAUAAUUGAGAUAGUCAGUUUUAAACAGUAAACGGUGUUAUAACGUAAAAAUGACUAAUUCAUGGUUCAGUCUUAUGUAAACAUUUUACAUAGGAUGCCCCCACUUUCAUGUCUCUACAUGAACGAUUAGGAUCACCUCGUUUGUACUACAAAGUGGGCCGCAUCCACAGUUUCUCUAAAUAAGGCGCCCAACCUUUAUUUCAUAUACUAUAGACUAUUUAGGCUAUAUACUCGAACUUGAUCCACGUUUAUGUUUACACAUAAAGUUCAAGUUUAUUCAAAAAAUAGCCUUGGAACUUGAUUUAUUGGAUUUAAGAUUAUAAUAUUUCAUUUCUCAAUAACAACUUUAUUGAACAGAAUAUGAUUUACAAACUACGAGUUUUAGGACAAAAAAUUCCAACAAUUGAUGUCUUUUUCAAUUUCAUUAAAUUGAUCCCAGAUCUGAAGUUGAGGUCAAAGCAUGUCUAUCUGAUCCAUUAUUUAUCAAACCUAGUCAUAGAGCCCAGAUUGAUGACUUUUCAAAUUUUGUUAAAUCAAGCCCAAAUAUGAAGUUGAGGCUGAAGCCUGUCUAUUAGGUCUUUUUUUUUUUUUUUUUUUAUCAGACUAGUCCUUGAGCUAAGUAUGAUGUUUCAAAUUUGAUUAAAUCGAGCCCAGAUCUAAAGCUAAGGUCAAAGCUUGUCUAUCAGGUAUUUUCUUUUUUAAUCAAACCUAGUCGUGGAGCUAAGGUUGAUUUCAUUUCAAAUUUGGUUAAAUUGAGCGGAGAUCUGAAGCUAAAGAUAAAACCUAUCUAUUAGGUCCAUUAUUUAUCAAACCUAGCCUUUGAGCUAAGGUUGAUAUUAUUCUCAUUUGAUUUUUUUCUCUAAAAAUUAAAAAAUAUCGGUCCAAAUACCUUAUCUAUUUCCUUUGUCUACCUUCACAUAUUUUUAGGAUGGACAAAGGGGAGCAAGUUGUAGAUACAACAUUUUGUCCCAUUUUUUAUUUUAUUUUUAUAAAAGAAAAUUGGUUUUGAAUUUAUUUAAAUUUUAAAUUCAACUUUAAAUAAAAAAAAUUAAAAAACGUUUUUCCUUUCCUAUUAUCCUCAGCCAAUUCCCCACGUUUUUUUUUUUCCCUUUCCCUUCGUUACCACUCUCCCACCCUCCCACUUUCUCCACUACACGCUCAGAACGAUACUCUACCUUUCCCACUCUAGAAAAACGAUCAAAUAUUGGCCUUAUAAAAACAAAGGAAUAGAUUUUCUUUGGAGUUUUUUCUUUUCUUUACGGUAAAAAGGUAGAUUUUCUUUUUAGUGAAGGUACUUUGGAAGAAUUUAAAAGGGUACAUUGAGAUUUUUUAGAAAAGAGUACAUUGUCAAUUGGGAGGAUUGAAAAAGAAGAAGGAAACUUUUCAUCUUCAAAGGCUUUUUUUUUAUGGGGUAGUUGCAAAUUUAGCAAUUAGAUUCAAAAUAAUUAAGUAUAUAGCAACAUUUUAAAAAAUUUGCAAAUAUAGCAAAAUUUGUCAAAUUCUAUCAAUGAUAUAAGUUUAUCAACGAUAGACAAUGUUGCAAAUAUUGGUCUAUCACUGAUAGACCAUACGAAGUGUAUCAGCGAUACAAGUCUAUCAAUGAUAGUUUUGCUAUAUUUGCAAUUUUUUUUAAAUUUUGCUAUAUUCUUAAUUAUUAUUGCUGAAAUGGUUAUCCAUUCCAAUUUCCUUUUUUUUUUUUUUAUGAUUUUCCUUUCUUUUCUUUCCAAAUCGAAUGUUCCUAUCAUUAAUUCCAAUGAAUUUGGUGAUUAUUUCCGAUGAAUUUGGUGAUUAAUUCUGAUGAAUUUGGUGAUUAAUUCCGAUGAAUUUGGUGAUUAACUCAAAUGAAUUGGGUGAUUAUUGUGUAUUUGUGGCUUUUGAAUUUAUUUGAUUUAAGUCAGACUAGUUUACAGUGCUUUAAAUUUAUUAGAUUUAAGCCAAUUGAGUUUACUUUGUGAUAACACGCAGAAAUGUCCGUUAUUAUAGCCCUUUGUAUUAGAAUAAUAAGGUCAAAAACACAUAAAAAGAUGAUCAGAACUCGUAACCUAUGUUGUAAACACACAAGUAUUUAGAAAUAUAACUUACAUAGGUAUCAUGCCUGUUUUACGUGAUUAUCAUGUUUAAAUGCAGGAUAAGUGGACAAGAAAGGAGCAAAUCGCAAAGAACACCUUGCGCAUAAGUCACGCAAUGGGAACUCACCUGGCGAAUAACACCUUCAGGCAAGGAACAAUGUCAUCACGUGCGGAAAGCUCACUACAAGACAAGAAUGGUAGUUGGAAUGAUUUGACGUCCUAAGACCAAAAAUGGUGCUAACAAGAUCAGAGGAACAAAAGUUUUCCACCCAAAGUUGCCUAUAAAAGCACUUCAUCUUCCCCAAGACAAGGAGAGCGACGUCUGAACGAACUGCCACACACACAAAAGAGCUUGAAUGAGCGAAAACCUAGAGAGCCAAUGGCAAGGAUUAGCCUAACCACCAGAUGUACAAUACUUCUUCAUCUUUUCUGAUCAGAGUGUAACACAAAAGCUUAUAUUUUGAAAGGAGAAGAGUCAUCCCCCAUUUCCCCAUAACUUAUGUUUUAGCCGACUCUUCUUUCCAUCCAUUUUUGCAUUUCUGUGUAAUAUAUGUUGUUCAUAUUGUACGAUGACCUAAGACCUACAUUAUUUAUAUAUAUAUUACAUGUUUAUACCUUUUCAAUCCAUCAUUUCUUGACUUUUCACUUGUUAAUGUGUUAUUAGUAGUUAGGUUUGUGUUAAGUUCUUGAUAAGGAGUCUAGCUUAUACAACUUAUCGCAUUAGUUGGGCUAUAUUCAUCACUUGACCAGUGAUAAUCGCUAACUUCCCGAGAGGACAAGUAGCAAGGAUAAAGUUGAUGCGCGCAAGGAGAAUUUUGGUAAUAAACCCUAUCUUAGUGAGAUAACUUUCAACUUUUAUAUCCCGAAAGGCGAAUAAGUGCGGACAUCAGACACUGAGAGGUUGUUGUCGUCCUUAAACGAGAAGUUCUAUAAGUGUUAUAAGUGAAGCCUUCUAGAUAUAUCUGGUCUAAUCAAGCACAGUCAUUUGCAUCCUGAAACGUGUGCAAGUGUGGCGUCUAAACACUUUGAGAGAAGGCUACCUUAAAUCAUGACCUUAUUACGCAAUUUAUACCGUAUCGAGGUUCUGGCGUUAUUUAAUUGCCUAAUAGUGUGUAAACUUUCUUUUCUUUUUUUCUCGCAUGUAAGUUAGUUCACUUAAUCUUCCGUUUUAUCAAACUUUACCCCCCUGUGCAUGAGUCUCUAGGUGAGUGGAAAUAACUUUCGUUUUAUUUUAUACAUAUUCUUUUACCAUAACCAGCAUAAUGCUUGAAGGAUGAGUAACACCCUAGAACUAAUAUCUUGAAACAAUUUCACAUAUUCGACCCUAGAUCACCCUAGGUAAACCUAUGUUUCGCUUGCACUUGGGAAAGCAACAAAAAAACUUAGAUUCAACGAUGACUUAAGCUUCACACGAUAAAAAGGUACAUAGUGAGCCCAUUAUGCUAUGAUCAUGAUCCAUAGCGUGUCGCUUAGAAUGAACCACACAAUACAGAAAGACAUGGUGAGCACACUUAGUUGAUGUGUAUUGUAGUUGCAUUACACAUAUGUUAAAUUACUAAGACUAAGUCUAAAGUAACAUUUGUGUAUUGUUCCAACAAGAGAACAACACACAUACACACACCCAACCAACAACACAAAUACACAGACCCAACCACUAUGGCACUUAUUUUAUUAGAUUUAGGGUUUAUUAGGCUUUUAAUUUGAUUAGAUUUAGGGUUUAAUUUAGCUUUUGUUGAAUUGGAUGUUCAUCAAUUUUGUGGUGUGAAUGAUUUACUUUUUACUUUAAUUUGACUUUUGUUACGUUUUUUUUGCUGCUUAUUAAAUAUGUUGCCAAUAUAAUUGGUCAUGUAUUUAUUUAAUUAAGCACCUGUAUUACAUUUAUUUCACCACUGUGUUACAUCAUUUUGUAUUUAUUUUACCACUGUCUUAUAUCAUUAUGUAUUAAUGUCACCAUUGUGUUGUACCAUUUUGUAUUUAUUUCAUAAUUCUAAUUUAUUUCACCACCUUUCUAUUUCAUUGUGGAUUAUAUCACGCCAUUGUAUUUAUUUCGCAACCUUUUCACAACCUGUUUAUUUCAUUAUAGAUAUGGUAUUUUGUCCUUUUUCUUUUAUUUUUUUAUAUAUUCAUUUAUUUACUUUACUUUAUUUUUAUAAAAGAAAUUUGAAUUUGAAUUUAAUUUUUAUUUAAAAAGCAAAAGAACUAGAACAGAAAAAUAUAUUUCCUCUCCCUAUUUUCUCUCAACCACUCCCUCCAUACACUUCUCCAAAUUUUCUCUCCCAAUGAUCUAUUUUUCCCUAUCCCUCAUCAACACUUCUCCACUUCCUCUACCUUCUGCACUUUUUUGUUUUGAGAGAGGUAGAUUUUUUUACUGUAAAAAAAAAAUCUUUCCAUUUGUUGUCAUUUGGGAUGAAAAGACAGGAAUAAUUUUUUUAUCCAAAAUCAAAAGUAUUUUUCCUUUCUUUUUCAAAUUGGAUGAUUUGGAUUAUGAUGGAUUAUGAUGGAACUCGUAGCCAAAUCCAACUGAGAAUUCUAUCUUAUUGAUUUAAUGUAGCAGAACGUACAAUCCUAUGUUCCCUCUCUCCCAAGAAAUAACAGAAAGAUUCAAUAACUCAAAAAAAAUAAAGCCUACCCCUCCCUCUCCUAACAAACUUAUUUAUAUGUCUAACUAACCUAACCUUACCCAACCAAUUACUCACAUAUCCCUCCCUCUCCUAACAAACUUAUUCACACGUGUCUCCCCCCUUAACAAACUUAUUUCCCCUCCUCCGGUAUUGAUAUAAUAUUGGGGGUCUAACAUUACUCACCUUCUCCAAAUUCACCUUGUCCUCAAGGUGAAAAUCUGGAAAACGCUGCUUCAACUCCUCAUAUAGUUCCCAAGUUGCCUCAUGUUGUGGAAGACCCUUCCAUUGCACUAACACAUCCCAAUCUCCCGCUUUGUUUUUUGAAUAACUAUAAACCUCCUCGGGAGUAUCCCUCCAUUCAUGAUUUUCUGUUAAACAGGGAACAUCAUGCUUAUCUUCCUUGUGCUCUCCCAACACCUUUUUUAGCUGUGAUACAUGAAAUAUCGGGUGUAUGGUCGAAUUCUCUGGUAAUUCCAGCUUGUAAGCCACCGGGCCAAUUUUAGCUAUCACCUUGUACGGUCCAAAGAAUUUAGGAGAAAGUUUUUCAUUUCUUUUUCUUCUGAUAGUCACUUGUCGGUAUGGUCUUAUCUUCAAUAAUACCAAAUCUCCAACCUGGUAAUGAACCUCCCUUCUCUUGGUAUUGGCAUAUUUCUUCAUCUUGUCCUGUGCUACUCUCAAGUGUUCACGUAUGGCUCCUAACACCACAUCUCUUUCUUUCAGCUGCUCCUCUAACAUAGAGUUAGUAGUGUCCCUCUCUCCAUAGUAUAUCAAGGGAGGUGGUAAACGCCCGUACAUAACCUGAAACGGUGUGACUCCAAGUGCACGCUAAUAUGUAGUGUUAUACCAAUAUUCUGCCCACGGUACCCAUUUAACCCAUUCCUUAGGCUUUUCUCCACAAAAGCAACGCAAGAAUGUCUCCACUCCACGGUUAACAACUUCUGUUUGACCAUCCGUUUGUGGAUGAUAUGUUGUGCUGUGGUUCAAUUUUGUUCCUGCCACGCGAAAUAAUUCCCUCCAAAAGUGACUUAAAAACACCUUGUCUCUAUCUGAAACAAUGGAUUUGGGAUAUCCAUGUAGCCGCACGACUUCCUUCACAAAUAUUUCAGCUACCGUCUUUGCUGUAUAUGGAUGUUUCAUAGGGAUGAAGUGCCCAUAUUUGCUGAAUCGAUCAACCACUACCAAUAAUACUUCAUACCCUGCUGCUUUAGGUAAUCCCUCUACAAAGUCCAUUGAAAUAUCCUCCCAUACUCGAGUGGGUACCUCUAACGGAGUUAACAGUCCAGCUGGUGAUAGUGCCAAGGUCUUCUUUCUUUGGCAUAUCAUGCACUCUUCGCAAUACUUCUUCACUUCCUGCUUCAUUCCUUCCCAAUGUAGCUCCGCAGCCAUCCUUUUGUAUGUCCUUAAGAACCCCGAGUGACCCCCAAACACCGAGUCAUGAUAAAUGUGUAAGAUGGUAGGAAUCAACUUAGAUGUUUUAGAUAACUCUAUUCGAUCCUUGUACAUCAGCAGUCCCUGUUUGAUUGAAUAUCUUCCCUCCUCCAACUCAUCGGUCUCCCUCAAUUUCUGCAUAACAUUCUUCAGCCUCUCGUCUUGUGCCACUUUUGCCUUGAUGACUUCGAUAUCGAUCAACUUAGGGCCUGUCAACUGAUUCAAGUGUACUGUCGGUGGUAUUCUUGACAGUGCAUCCGCGACUUUAUUCUCUAACCCCGGUUUAUACACCACCUCAAAGGAAUAUCCCAGAAGUUUGGAUAUCCACUUCUGAUAUUGAGGCUGUAUCACUCUCUGUUCCAGCAGAAACUUCAAAGAACGUUGAUCAGUCUUGACUAGAAAGCUCUUCCCCAACAAAUAUGGACGCCACCUUUGCACUGCCAUUACUACUGCCAUCAACUCUCUCUCAUAUACAGGUUUGACUUUAUCCCGUACUGCCAGUGUAUGACUAUAAUACGCAAUUGGACGUUGGUUCUGGAUUAAUACAGCCCCCAACCCUAAUUCAGAAGCGUCAGUUUCUAUUUCAAAGGGCAUAUUGAAAUUAGGUAGAGCUAACACUGGAAGAGUCAUCAUGGCUUGUUUCAGCCUAUUGAAUGCUUCAUGAACCUCCCUCGUCCAUUUAAAUCCUCCUAUCUUCAAUAGUUGUGUCAAAGGGGCUGCAACUGUCCCAUAAUUCUGGACAAACUUGCGAUAAUAUCCUGUCAGACCAAGGAACCCCCUUACUUCCCUUACGUUAACAAGAACGGGCCACUCCGUUAUUGCCCUGAUCUUCUCAGGAUCCACCUCAACUCCAUCUCCUGAAAUAAUAUGUCCUAAGUAGUCCACCCGGGACUGUGCAAAGUUACAUUUCUUCCUGUUUGCAUAGAGUUCAUUCCUCCUUAAUACUUCUAAUGUUGAUCUCAAAUGACUCAGAUGAUCUUUCAACCCCUAGCUGUAGAUCAAAAUGUCAUCAAAGAACACUAAGACGAACUUUCUUAGGUAAGGUCUGAAUAUAUUAUUCAUCAAGGAUUGAAAAGUGGAUGGUGCAUUAGUCAACCCGAACGGCAUUACCAAAAACUCAUAGUGACCCUCAUGAGUUUUGAAUGCUGUCUUUUCAAUGUCAUCAGUACUCAUUCUAAUUUGAUGAUACCCUGAUUUUAGAUCAAUCUUCGUAAAAACCGUGGCUUCAUUCAACUCAUCAAACAACUCCUCAAUCACUGGGAUUGGGAACUUGUAUGGUACGGUAACAUUAUUCAAGGCCCUGUAAUCUACACAAAAACGCCAGCUUCCAUCUUUCUUCCUUACCAAUAAUACUGGACUGGAAUACGGGCUUGUGCUUGGCCGUAUUACUCCUGAUGCUAGCAUUUCUUCUACCAGUCUCUUCAUUUCUGCCUUCUGUUGAUAUGCAUACCUAUAGGGUCGUACAUUCACUGGAUCGCUUCCCUUCUUUAGAUGAAUCUGGUGUUCUAUUACUCUUCGUGGUGGCAAAGUUUCGGGCCACUCAAAGACAUCUUCGAAGCUUUUCAGCACUGCUGCUACUGACUCCUCUACAGUCAAGACUUCAUCAUUCGAGUUAUCCCUUUCUAAGGCUUCCCUUCUUUCUAAAGCUCUGCAUUCGACCAAAUAUCCUUGGUCCUCGUCUCCCCAAGAUUUCAUAAGGGUCUUUAAGCUGACUCUUGCCUUUGUUAGACUGGGGUCUCCCUUUAUAACAAUCUUCUCUCCGUGGUGAGUAAACGUCAGAAUCAAGUUUUUCCAGUCUACUUCGGUUAUACCAAGAGAGUAUAACCAUUGCAUUCCCAAAAUUGCGUCCACGCUUCCUAGCUCCAGUGGCAAGAAAUCAUCAAUAACUCUCCAUUCCCCAAUUUUCAUUUCUAUGGCUUCACAAAUUCCCUUCCCUUUUAUGGCUGUUCCCGAGCCUUGACUCCAUAAUUUGUAGUACUCUUCGUGCUUAUCUGCAGUUCCUCCACCAAGCUUUCAGAAAUGAAGUUAUGUGUAGCUCUGCAAUCUACUAAUACAAUGAUCUCCCUUCCUCGUAAUCUUCCCUUCACCUUCAUAGUUCCUGGAUUAGAUAAUCCCACGACUGAGUUUACCGACAACUCCACCACAGUCUGCUCUUCUUGGAGAACUUCAGCCCCAUUUAACUCUUUCUGUUCUGCCUUCUCUUCUUCAACGAUUUCAUAUUCCUUAUUAUCCCCCAUCACUACCAACAUACGUAACUCCCUCUGCUCCUUCAUCUUACACUUGUGGUCAUGAGAGUAUUUCUCAUUGCAACGAAAACAGAGUCCUCUCUCUUUUCGUGAUUGAAAUUCGACAUCAGACAGUCUUUUCGUUGGACCUGUUUUCCGUGCCUCUUCGCCAGCCGUUCCUCUCAACGUGACAGUUCUCAUCGGCCAGUUCCAAUUUCCCUUACUUUCUCCAGAAUUCCCAGCUGUGCUGGUUUUGCUUCCAGAAUUGCUCAGUUUCGUUCCCGAAUAACCCGAGAGGUUUGCUUCUCGUCUAAUAUCCUCUCUAUUUUCUACUUUCUGCGCGAUCCUCAUCAUUUGUGAUAACCCUCGAGGCUCACAGAAAUCCAUCUCGGCCUGUAUCCAGGGCUUCAAUCCUGACAUGAACGUCUCUUCCACCACUUUAUCGGCCAGAUCCAACAGAGGUGCUACUAAUUUGUCAAACAGGUUUCGGUAUUCUUCCACUGUAGUCGUCUGUUGAAUGCGCAAGAACCGACCGUAUAAAGAUCCUUCCCUUGUUGAUCGAAAUCGAAUAAACACUCUUUCUUUUAGAUUUGACCAAUCAGCGAAUUUAUCCCGUUCUUCUUGAGACCGAUACCAAUUCAGUGCGGGUCCUUAGAAGCUAAUCGUUGCCACGGUCAUCUUUUCGUAAUCAGUUAGCUUAUGAAUUUGGAAAUACCUUUCGGCGCGAAACAACCAUGAAUCUAGAUCAUCUCCAUUGAAGAUUGGCAUCUCCACCUUUUUGAAUUUGUUGCGGUCACUGUUAGCGUCUUCACUCAAUUUUAUUUCCUCCUGCUUCGGUUCGUUUUCGCGAAUAGAAGUCCCUUCGUCGUCAUCGUUGUUCUUCACCGGAGUACCCCGCAUUGAUAUCUCGGUAAGCCUUUCGUUCAUCAUGGACCUCUCUAAGGCGGCCGACUCCAUGAAUCGUAACAUCAUUUGGUUCUGUUUUUCCAUGUUUUUCGAUAUUUCGGUCAACGUUUUUUCGACAAUUGGCAUUUUACUCAACUCCUUCUUGAUGUUUUGAAUUUCCUGGUCAUACGACUCCAUCUUCUCUUCCAACCGAGUUUGCGCCAUCUUUGUUUACUUCUUCCAAGAUCACGCUCUGAUACCAAUUUGAUGGAACUCGUAGCCAAAUCCAACUGAGAAUUCUAUCUUAUUGAUUUAAUGUAGCAGAACGUACAAUCCUCUGUUUCCCUCUCUCCCAAGAAAUAACAGAAAGAUUCAAUAACUCAAAAAAAAUAAAGCCUACCCCUCCCUCUCCUAACAAACUUAUUUAUAUGUCUAACUAACCUAACCUUACCCAACCAAUUACUCACAUAUCCCUCCCUCCCCUAACAAACUUAUUCACACGUGUCUCCCCCCUUAACAAACUUAUUUCCCCUCCUCCGGUAUUGAUAUAAUAUUGG